RNAcentral lists this long non-coding RNA (101195 nucleotides) under Zea mays. Its description in RNAcentral is "long non-coding RNA (ZMAY_LNC003316)". The record is from RNAcentral. Lineage: Eukaryota; Viridiplantae; Streptophyta; Magnoliopsida; Poales; Poaceae.
UCUAUAUAUAACAAGAUUAAAGAAGAAGACAGACAACCUAAUUAAAGAAUUUGAGGAGAGAAAGAAAGAAAGAGUGAUCGUCAUGGAGAGCAGGAGGAAGAAUCAACAGAAGACGAGCUACAUUGUAAUUUCCAUCCAGCUCCUAGCGGCCCUCCUACUCUUGGAGCUUGUGUCGCUAGUGCCGGGGGCGUCAUGCGAGGAGUUGCCCUUGGAUUUUUGGGUGAGUGCACUACGGGGGGUCGGGGCAAAGGACGUUUCAACAGCCGAUGGAUGCACCAAGAAGAAUAAGGACACCGUGCUCUGCUCUGCCCAGGCUAACACGGUAACCAAUUUCAUCAACCCUACCAACUCUGAGGAACAAGGCUAUAGGACCAUCGGGGAGUCCAUCGCUAACAUCCCUGAUGAUAGCACCAAACGGUACAUCCUCAUCCUCAGCGGUGGCACCGUGUACCGAGAGAAGGUAUUGGUGAGCAAAAGCAAGCCAUUCGUCACCAUAAGAUCAGAUGACCCCAUCAACCCUGCCAUCAUUGUGUGGAACGACACUGCCGCCACCCUGGGGAAGGAUAGCAAGCCCCUUGGAGUAGAUGGUAGUAGCACCAUGACCGUAGAGUCCGACUACUUCAUUGCCUAUGGUGUCGUCUUUAGGAAUGAUGCUGCAGCAGCAGCGAAGAAGAAGAAGGCAGAAGGCGAGGCGCCAGCGUUGCGGGUGCUAGGAACAAAGGCAACCUUCUACAACUGCACAAUUGAAGGUGGACAAGGCGCCCUGUAUGACCAGAUGGGGCUGCACUACUUCAAGUCCUGCACCAUCAGGGGCACCAUCGACUUCAUCUUUGGCUCUGCCAAGUCCUUUUACGAGGACUGCGCCAUUGUUUCCGUGAACAACAUGGAGGAGAUCAUGACCUUGCCUGUGGCACCACCUCAACUUGACAUUCACGACAAUCCAAUCAAGGUUGCCCCAGGGGUGGGAGGCUUCUCCUUCAAGACAUGUACCAUCACCGGGGAAGGGCAACAAAUCUUCCUCGGAAGGAUGGGCACGCCUUCCAUCUACUCCUACACCCAGAUUGCUAAGGAGGUUGUGCCCAUAAUCUACGACAAAGGGAACAUCUUCAUGCCCAGUAAUAUGUAUGCCGACCCAUGCAUGCAGCAAAAUCUCUCUCUCUCUCUCUUUAUAUAUAUAUACACUUGUUAUCUCAUAUCUAUAUCUAUGCAGGACUGGUAGACGCUGUGCCACUUUCAAGUGCUAUGGACCUGGGUUAGAGAAAAUAUGGCACGUCAAACUUAGAUACGCUGAAGCCAUAUACUUUCUUGGGACAGAUUUUAUCAACGGAGAUUCAUGGAUCCUGUCCAUACCACCUACUGAUGCUGAAACAUUGCUAUCAGUUUGAAUAUAUAGAAUCCUCAGAGAUCAUCAAAGAUCAUCAUCUACCACUAAUUAAUAAUGAGCCAAAUUAAAUAAGUUUUGCGUAUAUAUUUUAUCCCUAUCUAUAAAUUAUGCAUGUGUUGUAAACAAGUCGUGGAUGGGCUUCAUUUGUUCUCGCGAUUGAAAAAUAACAAAUAAACAAAGUAGAAAAGAGGAUGAACCAGAAGUCUUGUUCAGCAAGAAGGAAGGAGGAAUGACGAUAUUUCCCAUGUGAUACUUGUAAAUCAUAUGUGUAAACUUCGUGGGCGUGCUUGUAAUUUCAUACGAAGUUGUACCUCUCGUCUAUAAAUAGAGUAACAGUGUCAUGCAUAAAUUCACCUUUCGAGAGCUCAAAGCUUUAUUUAGCUCAGCCUUCGAAGUACCUUUGAGCUAUCACUUGUAUGAAGCCGAAGGUAUGUUUGUAAUUGUUUGUUAUAUUGCAAGGAGUGAAAUAAUAAGUGUGGAAGCAUGAAGAUGAGUAACAUGUCUUGCUCGUAAUUGUUUACAUUUCAUCCUUGUUAAUAUAUAAGCAUUUGUGCCCCUUCUUCUUCUCUCUUCAAUUAACCUUCGAAGAAGGAUUAAUUGAAGGGAGAAGUUUAUGAUUUGAUAACUUGUGUUGGCUUGUUUUUGAUGUCCUGUAGCAAUCAAAAGCAAGCGACCAACUGUGUCUAUGGCCAGUGCCAUCGGCCUGGACCCUAUGUUUGUGCGUGUGAAUCGCAGUAGUGCGAUUGGGGAAGGAGGCUUGAUGGUUGUAAGUGCAAUCAACCCAUUUGAGGGUUUUGGUGGUGAUAUGACAACAAAUAAGGUAUCUAAUAUGUUUGCUCCUAGUAUAUGUGUAACACCACAAAAACCAUCAACUAAAAAUAAUGCAUUUAGAUUAUUAGUGGUAAUAAUAUGGUAAUGAUUUUUUCUUUCAAGUGUUUGAUUUUUAUUUGCAUUUACGGGGUGUUUGGAUCCCUUCAUUUUAGAGGAAUUGGAAUUCACUAAUAUCCACCACUUUCCAAAGUUCAGAUAUAAGCUUAUCCCAAAUUCAUGGGGUGGAGAAUGGGAAAUGAUUUUAUGCAUUAGUAGAAUUUGUUUCUACUCUAUAACUUACAUGACACUCUUCGUCUCACUCCUCUAUAGUAAAAAUAUAGCACAUAAAUAUCUCUGACAUCUUGCUAAUAAUAGUAUACAAAUAUAUUUUGUAUAAAACCGAAUUAGCUUAAUUGAUAUAUGCCUAAAUUACUAUUAUUAGUAAAAAUAUAGCACAUAAAUAUCUCCGACAUCUUUCAAGUGUUUGAUUUUUAUUUGCAUUUAGAGUAAUUUUGUUUGCUCAUAUUUGAUUUAUGGAUGCUUAGUAGAAUUUCUUUUAUAUUGAGAAUCCAAUAAUUAAUAUAGAAGUAUUGGUCCAACAAUAAAUAUUUUAGUUAUAAAUAAUUUUGAAAUAAUUAUUAUGAUUUUUUUGAAUUAUUUAAAAAUAUAUUUACUUAUAUUUUUAAAUAGAAAAGAAAACAAAAGAAAAAAACCGAAAACCCUAAACCUAACCGGCCAUUUCGGCCCAUCAGGCCCAUCAGCCACCGCUUCCCUAUUCCCUCCUCCCCAUCUCUCACCGACCAGUGGGGCCCACCCAGGGCCCCUCUCCUUUGUCUCCCUCCCGUGCCCGGCCGAGCCGCGCCGUGCGCCACGCCUGCGCCUCGACGUCCGCGCCAGUCCGUUUCCCCGAACCGGAAACCGCCCGCGCGUUUCCCUCUCUCUCCCUCCCCCACUUCCCUCUCCUUCAAGCCGGUAACGGCCGAGUUAUUAGCUGCUGCCAUUGAUGGCGUUCAUGGCCGACCAUCUAUCUCUCUCCCCGCUCGGCUCUCCCUCUCAUCCCCUCUCUCUAUAAAACCGCCGAGCUCCCACCUCUCUCCCUACCCGAGCUCUCUCCCUCACUCAUCGGCUCUCUCCCUCACCGAAACGCCGACCGCCUGAGCCUUACCGUCGCGCCCGCUCGCUGUCGAGCCUUGCUGUCCACGCCUCGCCCCGCCUCGGACGCGCUCGUUCCCUACCCGACCGAGACCACGCGCGCCCUGCUCCCCUGCUCGCCGAGCUCCAUCCCUACGCGUGAGCAAGAGCUCAAGGUAGAAGAAGCACAUUUUGCAUUUUUGUCCCUACGUGUAAAUAAAAUUAAUUCUGAGAUUUUCAGUUUAGAAACUAUUGAAAAGAGACCCGAUGUAUACGCUAAAUCAUGAACUAGCCCCUGCAACAAUAUUUUGACACGAGUAUUAUUUUAUAUUUCAAAAAUAAAUAAUUUCACUAUUCACUAACUUGGUGAUUUAAAUAUUAGAAAUGUUGGUGCUUAGCAACCCUACCUGAAAGAUGGGCAAGAGGGGUGACAAUGGUUUGGUGGCAGCUCAUGUUAACAUGGGGUGGUAGUCUUGGCUAAGUUACCUCACCUAGAGGGCCAUCAAUACUGACGUGGAAACCUUAGCGGGUGGCUUUGUACUAAGGAUAUUUUGUGAAAGCCUCAUAAUGGAUCCCUAGCUGUCACACCCGGUUUUGGAAGGUAAACCGAAUGCGAUCCAUGUACGUGCCAGGAUCAGAACUCAUGUACACAGCGAUUACAUAAUUGGACAUCAUCACACAAUCCUUGAAUUAAAUAGCGAAGGUACUUAGUUACAUCAAGAUGUCUGAGACAUCCACAGAGUCUAUUACAUAAACAUAAUGUUCAACAUUAAAUCAAAGUGUGGAGUAUCGAAACGUAGAAGAUAAGCCUACACAGGCAACUAACUAGGGGUUUUCCACUAAAGUAAACUAGAACUCAUCGUUUUCCUGGAACUCCUCAAAGUCAUCCAUGUUGCCAACUUCACCUCCUGAGCACUGAGAACAGUGGGGACAACCUGGGGUGGGGUGGUUUGUAAAGCAAGGGUGCGUACACAUCAACGUACUCAGCAAAUGUCUCGUUUGGCUAAGGUGGACUAGCGGUAUGUGGAGUUAAGGUUAAACAGUUGCUUUUAGUGGUCAAGUUUUAUUAUUAUAAGUAGAGCCAAGUUUUAGUAAUAACCCAGUUAUUACCCAGAGGCACUCCCUCCAAGAGGAAAUACCAGAGAUCAGGAUUAUAAUUAUCAUUGUUAAUCAUCAUCAUAAAAGUAACCAUUUUCUUCUAAUCGAAGAGGAUCCCAAGGCUGCUCAUAACAGUGAGCACGACUAAUAUACCAGUUUGUAACACUCUGCAGAGGUUGCACACUUUACCCACAAGCCGUGAUUCCCAUUCUGCCCGGGGUUCUAGCCUCCCCAUUGAUCACUAACAAGGUGACCUAGCAGGGUCUCACUAUGUAGCCUUUACAAAGAUUUCCUAGAGGUCAUAGCCGCCCGUUAGGUUUCUCCAUUUUGAUAAACACAGUACAUCUCCCCAAAGGAAGGGUGACUAACAAAACCAAAUCAAAGAACCUCUGUAACCAACCUCGGCAGAGAAAGUACUGUGUCUGGACCCCAUUGACGUCCUUACGGCGAAGCCAACUACUCCUCUAGUUCCUCUAAUUAAUCAGCUAAGGGCGUCCCAUUCCACCCUCAUGGUUGUAGUGUUAUCCCGGGUUGUCACUCCCCAAACAGGUCCUUACGGAGAGGUACUCAGAAAAGAGCCUAAGCCCCCUAAAGUAAUCACAAGGACCCCAUCGGGAUAACAUCAUCGUAUCAUAAAAGAUCACAUCAUGUUCAUUGAUUAAGUUUAAGCAAUAGCAUAAGCUAACCAUGAUUAACCCAAAAAGGUAAACAAGGGUAAGGGAAAUACAAACUAGUCAAUCCUUAGGUUUCAAUAAAGUAAUGCGGGACAGUGAAUUAUAAAGUAGAGUAGGACAUGAUAGGUCUGAGGACACUUGCCUUCACCAGAUUUUUGCUCAGAGGGAUCUUCGGCAACACACUCACGAACCAUGAGCUGCUCGUUGUCUAAGUAAAGCGAGCAUACAUUCAAUACAUUUGGUAGGUAAAAAUGAACAUCACAUCACACAUGAACAAAUAUUGGCACACAACUCAAGAAGGUACAUUAUUAAGUACAGAGGAAUGAGGUCAAGUUAUAAAAAUGGACUAAUCCUAAUUGGGGAAUUGAUUACUCUCUAAAUGUUUGGAACAUAGCUCAAAAAGGUUAAGUAGUGAUUAAAACAAAUGAAAGCUAGCAUUAUAAGAUAAACUACUCUCAUUUAGAAAUUUGAUUAUCUUUUAAGUAUUAUCCAUAAUUACAUUCCUAAUUCUAUUUAUGUCAUUAAGGCCUAAAGGUUAAGACAAAAAAAAUAUCCAAGUAAUGCAUAACACUAAUCUCACAAGAUUGAAUAUACUUUAUUCCUAGGGUUCUCCUUUUAUUUAUUUCAUUAAAUAAAUAAAUCAAAAGAUACUUUAAUUCUAUAUUCUAAGUGUAAAAAUUAAAGUGUGCAGAUUACAGUUGGUCAUAUUUUAUUUGAACAGAGAAUAAUUUGGUGAACAUUUUGUAAUUUGAACCACUAAAUUUGGAGUUCAUAUGAAAAAGAUAUGAAAUAAACAAGUUUUGAAGUUUGAAAUAUGAAAUUAGGGCUAAAUCUGUGAUUAAAUAAAAGUCCAGGGGUCUAAUUAAAACAAACCAGGGACCUAUGCCCUUAAACAGAGGACGAUGGGUUGAUUUCCUAAAACCAGGGGGUUUCUUAAGCAAAACAGCCACGCGAAGGGGUAUCAGGCUCCCUCAACCGUUGGAUCAGAAACCGACGGCUGAGAUUAGAUCGCGUAGGCGCGGGCGCGCAGGCGCGGCUGACAAGCGGGGCCACGGCCUUCAGCGGCAGAGGGGGAGGGCGCACUAAUCAAGCGAGCCCAGCUCCAGAGGACUUGGGCGCUGACAUGCGAGCCAGGGCGUCAGGCACGCGUGCGCGAAGCGUUAUCCGUGGUCCGAGCCGUUCGAUCUGAAUCGGACGGAGGGGACCAGACCAGGGGGAAACAGACGGCUGCUGGCGGCGCCGCUCCUCUCUGCGGUGUUGAGGUGAAAGGGAAAUGUGCCCUUGGGCCAUUUCUAAGUAUUUUGGUGAUUGAGUGCCAACACAAGUGCUUAAGUGUUAGAGUAUCCCAAGUGAUGGACAAAAUGCAAAUCAAAAGUAAAGGUAUGUUUCUAGACUUAGUACAUUGUUUUAUGGACUAAUGUAUUGUGUCUAAGUGCUGGAAACAAAAAAAAUCAAGUUGGAAAAGAGAUGGCUUUGUUCAGCCAAAGUCUGCUCAGUCUGGGUGCACCGGACUGUCCGGUGGUGCACCGGACAGUGUCCUGUGGUGCACCGGACAGUGUCCUGUUGUCACACCCGGUUUUAGAAGGCAAACCGAAUGCGAACCAUGUACGUGCCAGGAUCAGUUAUUCACGUACACAGCAGUUACAUAACAUGGACAUCAUCACACAGUGCUCAAAAUAGUAUUAAUAAGGGAAAUAGUCGAUUACAUUAUACGUCUGAGACAUCCAUAUAGUUCUUACAAUAAAUCAAAGUGCGGAAAAGAAACGUAGAUAACCGCGGCCUUCACAGGCAGCCGACUGGGGGUUGCCGCUAACCCACACCUAGAACUCGUCGUAAUCUUGGAACUCCUGGAAGUCUCCUUCCACAGCUUCAUCUUCGCCUGAGCAGUGGUUGCAAUGCUGACAACCUGGGGAUGGGGGGGGUUUGGUGUGUAGAGCAAGGGUGAGUACACAUCAACAUACUCAGCAAGUAUCCUGUUUGGCUGUAGUGGACUGGCUGUAUGUGGGGAUAAGUCAAGCAGUUGCUUUUAGUUGGUCAGAUUAUUACUUACUAGUAGAAAGCCAAGUUUUAGCAUUAACCCAAGUUAUUAACCCAAACGUACUCCUUUCCAAACGGAAAGAGUACCACUUACCUGCACCAUAGUCAUAACCAGAAUCAUCGAUCUCAUAACCACCUGUACCAAAGUAUCUCUGAUCAAGUACCACUAAUCACUGGAGCUCCCUUGGCCGCUCAUAACCGUGAGCACGGCUGAUAUAUCAGUUUUUCAAACACUCUGCAGAGGUUGUGCACUUUACCCAAAAGCCGUGAUUCCCAUUCUGCCCGGAGAUCAUGACUCUCCAUUGAUCACUACCAAGGUGACCCAGCAGGGCAUCACUACGUAGCCUUUACAAAGAUUCCCCGGGGCUGUAGCCACCCGUUAGGUUUCCUAAAUGCACCGCACUCCUCCCCAAGGGGCGAACCCAAACUUGGCAGAGCGAGCCGCAUACACCGAGCCCCAUUGACGGCACGACGGCUAAGUGAACUACACCCCGGAUCCUCUAAUUAUUCAGCUAAGGGCACCCCAUUCUACCCUCAUGGUUGCACUGUUUUCCCGGGCGGUCAUCCAUAGAACAGGUCCUUACGGAGAGGCACUCGAGAAACCGCUCGAGCCCCCUUGAUGACCACAAGCACAACAUCAUAAUAAGAGAAGGGAAAACAGCGUAUCAUAGAUAUUCUCAUCAUGUUCAUUGAUUAGAGUUGAGCAAUAGCAUAAAGCUAAACAGUAAUAAUCCAACCCAAAUAGGUAAACAAGGACAUGGAUAACAAAAGCUAGUCAAUCCUUAGGCAUAAAUGUGUAAAGCGGGAGGUGAAUUAAAUAAUGAAUAGGACAUAGAUAGGUCAAGGGACACUUGCCUCCACCAAACGACUGCUGCUCAGGGGCUUCUCCUGCGGGUUCCUCGGGCUCUUCAACCGGAUCGUUCUCUAUACGAGCGCAAACAUACAUACAUCCACACAUUUAAUACAAAAGAACAGUACACCAUACAAUAGAAUGCAAUAAGUAAACAGACGUUCCACGCAGGCUCGCGAGUACUGUUAAGAGAGAAAGAGGAAAAGACAGUCGAGAAACGAUAACGUUACAUGAUUAUAAAUUAACCACUCGCUUAAUGGACGGAAAUUUAAUGUAGACACUAUGUUUAGCGUAAAGUAAAGUCAUGUUUCAUGUCUAAUUAUUAUAAGCAGGUGGAGAUAAAUAAAAAGAUGGUCGCGCGGCGAAACGCGCGACAAAGCUCUCUAAAACAAAUUAAGAAGUUAACGACUCGUCGCGCGACCGAGCACGCAACGAGACACUUCACCUUAGUUACGAGGAGACGUUAAACGUCGCGCGACGAAGCGCACGACGGCAUACGUCGACUAAACUGAGUCCAAAGUGGAACAUCGCGUGAAUACACACGCGGCGUUACCCCUUAAACAACCUGAAACAAAAAUGGAUCGUCGCGCGACGAAGCGCACGACGCAACACAAGAUAGAAUCUGAAUUUAGACAAAUCCGUCGCGCGGCGAAGCGCGCGACGCAACACGCUAAUUAACGAAUAAUCACCGCGAGCGCGGGCGAGCGAAGAUACGGUCGGGCGAGGCCGGGACGGGGGAACGGGCGGGCGAGCUGGGGCCGGGGCGGUUGAACCGGCCAGGGGGGCGGUUGAACUGGCCGGGGCCGAGCGGGCGGGCCGAGGGCGGGCGCCGAGCGCCGCCGCGGGGAGGGGCCGAGCGGGCGGGCCGAGCGCCACCGCGGGCGAGCGGGCAGGGGGCCGAGCCGCCGCGCCGAGGGGCCGAGCGGGGGCCGGGCGGGCGAGCCGGGGCGCCGCCGCGGGGAGGGGCGGGGGCGGGAUCGCCGCGGGGAGAGGCGGGGGCGGGAUCGCCGCGCCGGGCAGGGGAGGGGCCGAGCGGGCGGGAGCCGCCGCGCCGGGGAGGCCGAGCGGGCGGGACGCCGGGGAGGGAGGGGGAAGGGGGCCGAGCGCCGCCGGGGAGGGAGACCGGGCGGGCGCCGCCGGGGAGGGAGCGGGGAGGGGAGCCGAGCGCCGCCGCGGGAAGGGGCGGGCAGGGGGCCGAGCGCCGCCGCGGGAGGGAGCGGGGCGGGCGGGCGAGCGGGGCCGAACGCCGCCACGGGCGAGCGCCGCCGGGGCCGGGGUCGCGCGCGGGCAGGGGGAGAGGGAGGGCGCGCGUGGGGAAGAAGAGGAGGGAGAGGGAGAGAGAGAGAAGGGGAGGGGAGCUCACCUCGGGGUCCAAAAUCCGGUGAUCGCCGUCUCCAAAUCCUAGGGCACCACGGGGAGAGAGAGGUGGAAGAGGGAGAGGAGAGGUUGUUGCGCGGGAGAUCCAAAUGAGAGAGAGAGAGAGGGGAGGGGGGCGCAUGGGGGGUUUUGGGCGCUAGGGGCGCGCAGGCCGGGGCGGGCCGGGCCGGCUGGGCUGGGCUAGGUUGGGCUGGGCCGGGCCACUUCGCGGAUCGAAAACCCACGACGAGCGCGACCACUAAACGGAAUUAAAUCGCGAACCGAAAUCCGGAACGGAACGAGACGAACAUUCAACAUCAGACAAAGAAAUGUGCUUCGGCAUGAUGCAACACCUAUGAGACUUAGGUUUUGGUUUAUACAUGACACGGACACCUGCCGCUAUACUGGUUUGAAAUUGGGAAGAAAGAGCAAACGGGGAAAGAGAAAAGAGAGUAACGCCCGAAUUUGGUGAGAGAAAAGAAGAAAAAAUUCUACCCCCAAAUUCAGGGCGUUACAAACCUAUCCCCCUUAAAAGAAUCUCGCCCUCGAGAUUCAGGGUUGGCUAGCAAAGAGCUCAGGGUAUUUAGCCAUUAGAUCAUCUUCACGCUCCCAGGUUGCUUCUUCCUCAGAGUGAUGAUCCCAUCUGACUUUGCACAUUCUGAUGGUCUUCCUUCGGGUGACUCGGUCUACAACCUCAAGGAUUUGCACUGGCUUCUCAACGUAGGUCAAGUCCUCCUGGACUUCAAGACCUUCCACUGGCAACUGCUCUUCUGGCACACGCAAGCACUUCUUCAACUGAGACACAUGAAAGACAUCAUGCACAGCUGACAAAUUCUCUGGCAAACUGAGCUGAUAGGCCACUUCUCCACGUCUUGCAAGAAUCUGAUACGGACCAAUGUAGCGGGGUGCUAGCUUGCCUUUCACUCCGAACCUUCUGACUCCUCUGAUCGGUAACACUUUCAGAUAAACAAAGUCUCCGACUUCAAAACUCAGCUCUCUUCUUCUUGUGUCUGCAUAGCAUCGCUGCCUCGAUUGCGCUAUCUUCAGAUUCUCGCGGACCAUCUUGAUGUUCUCUUCGGCUUCAAGCAAAAUGUCUGGCCCAAACACUUGCUUUUCUCCAGGCUGAUCCCAUUGCAACGGAGUUCUACAACUCCUUCCAUAGAGCGCCUGAAAUGGUGACAUCUUCAGACUGGCCUGGUAACUGUUGUUAUAGGAAAACUCUGCAUAGGGCAAUCUCUUGUCCCAUCCGGACUGAUCUUGCAACGCACAGGCUCUCAACAUAUCUUCAAGAAUUUGGUUGGUCCUUUCGGUCUAGCCAUCCGUCUGCGGAUGAUAAGCUGAACUGAAAUUCAGAUGCGUGCCCAAAGCUUCAUGCAACUGCUGCCAGAAAUGAGAGGUGAACUGCGUUCCUCUGUCUGACACUAUCUUCUUUGGCACACCAUGAAGACAAACGAUCUGAGACAUAUACAAUUCUGCCAAUACUGCACUGCUGUAGUUGGUCUUGACAGGUAUGAAGUGGGCUGACUUGGUCAAACGGUCCACUACUACCCAGAUGGAAUCGUAGCCGGCUCGAGUGCGAGGCAAUCCGACUAUGAAAUCCAUACCAAUUUCAUCCCAUUUCCACUGAGGGAUCUGCAACGGUUGCAACAAUCCAGCAGGUCUCUGGUGUUCUGCCUUAAUUCUUCGGCAACUAUCGCACAUAGCCACAUGCUCCGCGAUUUCCCUCUUCAUUCCGUACCACCAGAAUUUCUUCUUCAGAUCCUGAUACAUCUUCUCACUGCCAGGGUGAAUCGAAUAGGCUGUCUCAUGAGCUUCCUUGAGAAUCAACUCCCGAAUGGACUGGACAUUGGGAACACACAAGCGGUCUUUGAACCAUAUCACGCCUUCUGCAUCUUCUCGAAAAUCUUUGCCUUUGCCUUCUAGAAUCAGUCGCCGGAUCUCACUGAUCUUCUCAUCAUUCUUCUGCGCUUCUUUGAUUUCGCGCUCCAAGUUAGGUUCCAACUCAACUGUGACUCCUCGCGAAUUGUUCAGAAAUCCGAGACUCAACCUGUCGAACUCUUUGGCCAACUCAUAAGGCAUCGGACGAGCGACCAUCAAAUUGACUUGACUCUUUCUGCUCAAAGCAUCUGCCACUACGUUUGCUUUGCCUGGAUGGUAAUGAAUCUCCAACUCAUAAUCUUUGAUCAACUCUAACCAUCCUCGUUGCCUCAUGUUCAACUCUGACUGAGUGAAUAUGUACUUCAGACUCUUGUGAUCUGUGUAAACAUCGCAUUUCUGUCCAUACAAAUAGUGCCUCCAUGACUUCAGCGCAUGAACCACUGCUGCCAACUCUAGAUCAUGGAUUGGGUAAUUUUUCUCAUGAACCUUCAGCUGUCGGGACGAGUAAGCCACAACUCUUCCCUCUUGCAUCAACACACAACCCAAACCCGUGUAACAAGCAUCGCAAUACACCGAGAAGGGCUUGUGCACAUCAGGCAAGACUAGGACAGGCGCUGUAGUCAACUUUUCUUUCAGCGCUUCAAAGGCCUCUUGGCAUUUCUGGGUCCACUUGAACUCAACUUUGUUGCCUAGCAACGCUGUCAUUGGUUUCGCAAUCUUCGAAAACCCUUCAAUGAAUCGCCGAUAAUAUCCGGCCAUUCCAAUGAAACUCUUGAUUCCUCUAGCAUCUGUUGGCGCUUUCCAGUUCAAAAUGUCUGCCACUUUCUUCGGAUCCACAGCCAAUCCUUCUUUGUUGAUUAUGUGACCCAAGAACAGGACUUCACUGAUCCAGAACUCACACUUGCUCAACUUUGCGUACAACUGGUGCUCUCGCAAUCUUUGCAAUACCAUCCUCAAAUGAUCUGCGUGCUCUUCUUCGCUUUGAGAAUAAACCAGAAUGUCAUCAAUGAAUACCACCACAAACUUAUCGAGAUAAUCCAUGAAUACACUGUUCAUCAAGUUCAUGAAGAAUGCUGGCGCAUUGGUCAAACCAAAAGACAUCACUGUGAACUCAUACAAACCAUACUUGGAAAUGAAGGCCGUCUUCGGAAUGUCCGAAGGUCGGAUCCUGAGCUGAUGAUAACCUGACCUCAGAUCAAUCUUGGAGAACACACUAGCUCCUCUCAACUGGUCGAACAGAUCUUCAAUUCUGGGCAAAGGAUACUUGUUCUUGAUCGUGACCUCAUUCAAAGCUCGGUAAUCGAUACACAUCCUCUUGGUGCCAUCUUUCUUCUCCACAAAUAGGACAGGGGCGGCCCAAGGCGAGGUGCUUGGCCGAAUGUAACCUUUCUCUGACAGCUCAUCAAUUUGCUUCUUAAGUUCAUCCAACUCUGGUCCAGAUAUUCUGUAAGCUCUCUUGAAGAUAGGGGCGGUUCCAGGAAGAAGCUCUAUAGCAAACUCAACUUUCCGCUCUGGUGGCAUACCCGGUAAGUCCUUUGGGAACACAUCCGGGAACUCAGACACAACCUUGAUACUCUCAAUUGGGUCUGCUCCACUGCUAUCAACAGCUAUCCGAUAACAACUUCCUUUCUUUGGCUCAGGCGGGACUAACUCGGUCACCACUUCCUCUCCUAGUGGGGACACCAACUUGAUUGUCCUUUUAUCACAACUGAUAACUGCCUGAUACUUAUCUAGCCAAUUCAUCCCUAGGAUGACAUCUAUUCCCUGAGUACCCAUUACUAUAAGGUUGGCGGGAAACGCUAUCCCCCUUAUUUUCACACUUAUAUUCAAGCAAAUGCUAUCGGCACGAAUUCUACCACCGGCUGAGUCAAUUUGAAUGGGGGUUGACAUGGUAGUAAUUGGAAGAUUAUGUGCUUCUACCCAUGAUGCAGUAAUGAAAGAAUGCGUUGCUCCAGUAUCAAAUAACACUUCUGCAAUAUGGGAGUCGACUGGGAACAUACCUACUAUCAUGCCGGGGGUCUCCUGAACUGCUUCAGCUUCCAAGUGGUUCAGUCUCCCAUGAUUAUAGCGCGGCUGAGAGCGAUUGCCUGCUCCAGGCUGAGGCACAUUCUGCUUUGCUGGGGCAUUGGGGCCUGACUGCUGCUGGGCUGCCUUCUUCGGACAUUGCAUCACCCAGUGGCCUUGCUCUCCACAGUGGAAACAUGCCCUGUUUCCAACCUGAGCUGGUGCUGCCUGACUGUUCUGCUGGGCUGUUGGGGCAGGAAGGCGAGGUGCCUGCUGAUUCUGCCUCUGAAACUGACCUCCUGACUGAUUGCUCUGACGGUUCUGAUACUGAUUCUGAGGGUACUGUCUUUGAAACUGCUGAUGCUGCUGAGGUGGACGCUGGUUCUGCCUGAACUGCUGAGGCUGAUUGCCUGAGAAACGAGGACGACUGCUGCUUCCAGGCUGGGGUCCACUGAUCUUGCGUUUACGAUCUUCCAUCUCCUUACGCUUUCUCUCCGUCAUGAUUGCUCUGUCAAUCAGGUGCUGGAAUGUCGGGAAGGUGUGAUUCAUCAGCUGAUACUGAAGAGGGUCAACCAAGCCUCUCAGGAAAUGGUACUGUCGCUUGGCGUCGGUGUUGACAUCUUCAGGAGCAUAGCGAGACAAUUGCAGAAACUUGUCUCGGUACUCACUGACAGACAAUGGCCCUUGCUUGAGGGCCAGGAACUCCUCCUUCUUCACUGUCAUCAGUCCUGCAGGCACAUGGUACUGACGAAAGCUACCUCUGAACUCUUCCCAGGUGAUGGCGUCAGGAUGGGCAUGGGUGGCGAGGUAAGACUCCCACCAUGACUGGGCUGCUCCUCUCAACAGACGGGGACCAUACAAGACUUUCUCCCUGUCAUCGCACUGAGCGGUAUGCAACUCCCGCUCCACAGUGCGCAGCCAAUCUUCAGCAUCCAUGGGGUCAGAAGAAUGAGCGAACGUUGGUGGAUGACCUCUCAUGAAUUCAGCACGCUUGUCUCUGGGCAUCUGAGGCAUCUGAGGCUGAGGUGGGGCCUGCUGCUGUUGCUGCUGCUGCUGCUGAAUGGCGGCCAAAGUCUGACCGAUGGCUUGAACUGCCUGGGUCUGCAUCAGAAACAUCUGCUCGAUCGACAUCGGGGGCGGGGGCGGCAGGUGCUGCUGCUGGGGCACCUCCUCCUGUUGAGCGGCUCGCUCCUGCUGAGCACGCCUUCCUCCUCUGCGCCUGUUCUCUGACAUCUGCAGAAUGCAACCACACAUCAGAACUGAUCUGGCAAAUCUUGCAGCAUAAGGAAAGAGAAUAGAAUUCUUCAACAGCACUGAACAGAUGAGCAUCUUCACUGAUCUCCAACACAGACCACACAGCUUCUCAGAUAGAAAGGAAAGUGGAAUAAAAGGGGUUUCCCAACUAUAUAACUAACUCCAUUAACAUAAUAGAUGAGCAGUGUGUCUAAGUCGAGCCAUCUACAAAAGACAUCGCAAGCAAAAGGGUGAGAACAGAAUUAAUAUGACCAGCAAAUAAUGAAUCAUAAGUAAAUGAAGGAUUAGAAUAAAACAUGAUUUUCAGCAAGGUAUAGUAUAUAGUAGAACAUAGGUUUGGUCGGUAUGACCAACUUUUGAAGGGAUAUCAAAGUCAAGGCAGAGACAGAGGUCUAUAGUCCUUAGAACGACCAUUCUACUCUAGGUCAGCGGUCCUACAGUCAGCACGGCUUUGAUACCACUUAUGUCACACCCGGUUUUAGAAGGCAAACCGAAUGCGAACCAUGUACGUGCCAGGAUCAGUUAUUCACGUACACAGCAGUUACAUAACAUGGACAUCAUCACACAGUGCUCAAAAUAGUAUUAAUAAGGGAAAUAGUCGAUUACAUUAUACGUCUGAGACGUCCAUAUAGUUCUUACAAUAAAUCAAAGUGCGGAAAAGAAACGUAGAUAACCGCGGCCUUCACAGGCAGCCGACUGGGGGUUGCCGCUAACCCACACCUAGAACUCGUCGUAAUCUUGGAACUCCUGGAAGUCUCCUUCCACAGCUUCAUCUUCGCCUGAGCAGUGGUUGCAAUGCUGACAACCUGGGGAUGGGGGGGGUUUGGUGUGUAGAGCAAGGGUGAGUACACAUCAACAUACUCAGCAAGUAUCCUGUUUGGCUGUAGUGGACUGGCUGUAUGUGGGGAUAAGUCAAGCAGUUGCUUUUAGUUGGUCAGAUUAUUACUUACUAGUAGAAAGCCAAGUUUUAGCAUUAACCCAAGUUAUUAACCCAAACGUACUCCUUUCCAAACGGAAAGAGUACCACUUACCUGCACCAUAGUCAUAACCAGAAUCAUCGAUCUCAUAACCACCUGUACCAAAGUAUCUCUGAUCAAGUACCACUAAUCACUGGAGCUCCCUUGGCCGCUCAUAACCGUGAGCACGGCUGAUAUAUCAGUUUUUCAAACACUCUGCAGAGGUUGUGCACUUUACCCACAAGCCGUGAUUCCCAUUCUGCCCGGAGAUCAUGACUCUCCAUUGAUCACUACCAAGGUGACCCAGCAGGGCAUCACUACGUAGCCUUUACAAAGAUUCCCCGGGGCUGUAGCCACCCGUUAGGUUUCCUAAAUGCACCGCACUCCUCCCCAAGGGGCGAACCCAAACUUGGCAGAGCGAGCCGCAUACACCGAGCCCCAUUGACGGCACGACGGCUAAGUGAAUUACACCCGGGAUCCUCUAAUUAUUCAGCUAAGGGCACCCCAUUCUACCCUCAUGGUUGCACUGUUUUCCCGGGCGGUCAUCCAUAGAACAGGUCCUUACGGAGAGGCACUCGAGAAACCGCUCGAGCCCCCUUGAUGACCACAAGCACAACAUCAUAAUAAGAGAAGGGAAAACAGCGUAUCAUAGAUAUUCUCAUCAUGUUCAUUGAUUAGAGUUGAGCAAUAGCAUAAAGCUAAACAGUAAUAAUCCAACCCAAAUAGGUAAACAAGGACAUGGAUAACAAAAGCUAGUCAAUCCUUAGGCAUAAAUGUGUAAAGCGGGAGGUGAAUUAAAUAAUGAAUAGGACAUAGAUAGGUCAAGGGACACUUGCCUCCACCCAACGACUGCUGCUCAGGGGCUUCUCCUGUGGGUUCCUCGGGCUCUUCAACCGGAUCGUUCUCUAUACGAGCGCAAACAUACAUACAUCCACACAUUUAAUACAAAAGAACAGUACACCAUACAAUAGAAUGCAAUAAGUAAACAGACGUUCCACGCAGGCUCGCGAGUACGGUUAAGAGAAAGAGGAAAAGACAGUCGAGAAACGAUAACGUUACAUGAUUAUAAAUUAACCACUCGCUUAAUGGACGGAAAUUUAAUGUAGACACUAUGUUUAGCGUAAAGUAAAGUCAUGUUUCAUGUCUAAUUAUUAUAAGCAGGUGGAGAUAAAUAAAAAGAUGGUCGCGCGGCGAAACGCGCGACAAAGCUCUCUAAAACAAAUUAAGAAGUUAACGACUCGUCGCGCGACCGAGCACGCAACGAGACACUUCACCUUAGUUACGAGGAGACGUUAAACGUCGCGCGACGAAGCGCACGACGGCAUACGUCGACUAAACUGAGUCCAAAGUGGAACAUCGCGUGAAUACACACGCGGCGUUACCCCUUAAACAACCUGAAACAAAAAUGGAUCGUCGCGCGACGAAGCGCACGACGCAACACAAGAUAGAAUCUGAAUUUAGACAAAUCCGUCGCGCGGCGAAGCGCGCGACGCAACACGCUAAUUAACGAAUAAUCACCGCGAGCGCGGGCGAGCGAAGAUACGGUCGGGCGAGGCCGGGACGGGGGAACGGGCGGGCGAGCUGGGGCCGGGGCGGUUGAACCGGCCAGGGGGGCGGUUGAACCGGCCGGGGCCGAGCGGGCGGGCCGAGGGCGGGCGCCGAGCGCCGCAGCGGGGAGGGGCCGGGCGGGCGAGCCGGGGCGCCGCCGCGUGGAGGGGCGGGGGCGGGAUCGCCGCGGGGAGAGGCGGGGGCGGGAUCGCCGCGCCGGGCAGGGGAGGGGCCGAGCGGGCGGGGCCGCCACGGGGAGGCCGAGCGGGCGGGACGCCGGGGAGGGAGGGGGAAGGGGGCCGAGCGCCGCCGGGGAGGGAGACCGGGCGGGCGCCGCCGGGGAGGGAGCGGGGAGGGGAGCCGAGCGCCGCCGUGGGAAGGGGCGGGCAGGGGGCCGAGCGCCGCCGCGGGAGGGAGCGGGGCGGGCGGGCGAGCGGGGCCGAGCGCCGCCACGGGCGAGCGCCGCCGGGGCCGGGGUCGCGCGCGGGCAGGGGGAGAGGGAGGGCGCGCGUGGGGAAGAAGAGGAGGGAGAGGGAGAGAGAGAGAAGGGGAGGGGAGGGGAGCUCACCUCGGGGUCCAAAAUCCGGUGAUCGCCGUCUCCAAAUCCUAGGGCACCACGGGGAGAGAGAGGUGGAAGAGGGAGAGGAGAGGUUGUUGCGCGGGAGAUCCAAAUGAGAGAGAGAGAGGGGAGGGGGGGCGCAUGGGGGGUUUUGGGCGCCAGGGGCGCGCAGGCCGGGGCGGGCCGGGCCGGCUGGGCUGGGCUAGGUUGGGCUGGGCCGGGCCACUUCGUGGAUCGAAAACCCACGACGAGCGCGACCACUAAACGGAAUUAAAUCGCGAACCGAAAUCCAGAACGGAACGAGACGAACAUUCAACAUCAGACAAAGAAAUGUGCUUCGGCAUGAUGCAACACCUAUGAGACUUAGGUUUUGGUUUAUACAUGACACGGACACCUGCCGCUAUACUGGUUUGAAAUUGGGAAGAAAGAGCAAACGGGGAAAGAGAAAAGAGAGUAACGCCCGAAUUUGGUGAGAGAAAAGAAGAAAAAAUUCUACCCCCAAAUUCAGGGCGUUACACCUGUGGUGCACCGGACAGUGUCCGGUGCACCAGGCUGGCUCUGGUGAACUUGCUGCUCUCGGGACUUCGACGGCGGUGUACGGCUAUAAAUCACCGGACAGUCCGGUGGUGCACCGGACUGUCCGGUGAGCCGUUCACAGGCGAAGUCGUCGCUCUCGGGAAGUGAUUAACGGCGUACGACUAAAAAUCACCGGUCUGUCCGGUGGUGCACCGGACUGUCCGGUGAGCCAACGGUCAGCCGGGCCAACAGUCGGCCGAGGAUUCCGCGCAUGACGCGUGGCCGAGCCAACGGUCACAUUGGAGCACCGGACAGUGUCCGGUGCGCCAACGGCUUUGAAUCUGCAACGGUCGGCUUCGCCAAAUAAGGAAAGAAAUCCACACCGGACAGUGUCCGGUGGUGCACCGGACUGUUCGGUGCGCCAGGUGACAGAAGGCAAGAAUUGCCUUCCUGGAAUGCUUUCAACGGCUCCUAGCUGCCUUGAGGCUAUAAAAUGGACCCCUAGGCGCAUGGAGGAGAACACCAAGCAUUCCCCAAGCAUUCUAAAGCACCAAGACCUCGAUUCCGCGCAUUUGAUUCUUUGUGAUAGCAUCUAGAGUUUUAUUUGAGUUGUGAACUCGUCGGGUUGUGUUGUGAGCUCUUGUUGCGACUUGUGUGCGUGUUGUCGCUUUGAUUUUGUGUCUUGUGUGCGUUGCUCAUCCCUCCCUUACUCCGUGCUUCUUUGUGAACAUCAAAGUGUAAGGGCGAGAGGCUCCAAGUUGUGGAGAUUCCUCGCGAUCGGGAUAUAGUAAAGCAAAGCAAAACACUGUGGUAUUCAAGUGGGUCUUUGGACCGCUUGAGAGGGGUUGAUUGCAACCCUCGUCCGUUGGGACGCCACAACGUGGAGUAGGCAAGCGUUGGUCUUGGCCGAACCACGGGAUAAACCACUGUGCCAUCUCUGUGUUGAUCUCUUGUGGUUAUUGUGUUUUGUUAAGACUCCUCUCUAGCCACUUGGCAUUAUUGUGCUAACACCUAACACUUAAACAAGUUUUUGUGGCUUUAAGUUUAAGUUUUUACAGGAUCACCUAUUCACCCCCCUCUCCAGGUGCUCUCAAUUGGUAUCAGAGCCGUUCUCUUCAAGAAAGGGACUAAUCGCCUGAAGAGAUGGAUCCUAAGGGGAAGGGAAUUGUGAUCAAUGAAAAGGAGAAGGAGUCCUUCGUCAACGAGCCGAAGGAGGACAAGCCCACUGACUCGGGCUCGGGCCACAAACGAAAAGAUGGGAAGAAGAAGAAGACAAGGCGCAUCAAGGAGAUCGUCUACUACGACGACAGCGACGAGUCCACUUCUUCCCAAAAGGACGACGACAACGACUACGAGAGAAGGAAGGCGGUUAAUUCAAACUUUUCCUUUGAUUAUUCCCGUAUUCCGCAAAGUACCAAUGCUCAUUUACUCUCCAUCACUUGGCAAACCUCCACACUUUGAUGGGGAGGACUACGGAUUUUGGAGUCACAAAAUGCGUAGUCACUAAUUCUCUCUCCAUCCAAACAUAUCGGAGAUUGUAGAGAGUGGAAUGAAAUUUGAUAGCUCGGAUAGUCCCAUGUUUAUAAAUGAACAAAUCCAUAGAAAUGCACAAGCUACUACUGUCCUUUUAGCAUCUUUGUUCAGGGAAGAGUACAAUAAGGUGAGCGGCUUGGACAAUGCCAAGCAGAUCUGGGACACCCUCAGGAUCUCACAUGAGGGGAACGACGUCACCAUGCUCACCAAAAUGGAGUUGGUGGAGGGCGAGCUUGGAAGAUUCGCAAUGAUAAGGGGAGAGGAGCCAACCCAAACAUACAACCGGCUCAAGACCCUCAUCAAUAAAAUAAGGAGCUACGGAAGCACACGAUGGACAGACCACGACGUCGUUCGCCUAAUGCUAAGGUCCUUUACUGUACUUGAACCACAUCUGGUGAACAAUAUUCGUGAAAAUCCUAGGUACACCAAGAUGUCGCCCGAAGAAGUUCUUGGGAAGUUCGUAAGCGGGCGAAUGAUGAUCAAGGAGGCGAGAUACGUGGAUGAUGCGCUAAAUGGCCCAAUCCAUGAGCCUCAAACCAUCGCCCUCAAAGCAACGAGAAGCAAGGAGACGCUACCUAACAAGGUGGCGCAAGUUGAGGCGGCGGGACUAAAUGAGGAAGAGAUGGCCCUCAUCAUCAAGCGCUUCAAGACGACGCUAAAGGGCCACAAGGAGCAUCCCAAGAAGAACAAGACGAAGGGAAAGCGCUCCUACUUCAAGUGCGGUAAGAUUGGUCAUUUUAUUGCUAAUUGUCCCGAUAAUGAUAGUGACCAGGAACAAGAGAAGAAAGGGGAAAAAAAGAAGAAGUACAAGAAGGCUAAGGGCGAGGCACAUCUUGGCAAGGAGUGGGACUCGGAUUGCUCUUCAUCCGACGAUGAAGGACUUGCCGCCACCACCUUCAACAAAUCGGCCCUCUUCCCCAACGAGCGUCACACAUGCCUCAUGGCGAAGGAGAAGAAGGUAUGUACUCGAAAUACUACUUAUGCUUCUUCAAGUGAGGACGAGUCUAGUGAUGAUGAUGAAAUAGAUUAUUCAUGUUUAUUCAAAGGCCUAAAUAGAACCAAGGUUGAUAAAAUUAAUGAAUUAAUUGAUGCCUUGAAUGAUAAGAAUAGAUUAUUAGAAAAGCAAGAGGAUUUGUUGUAUGAAGAACAUGACAAAUUUGUAGAGGCACAAAAAUCUCAUGCUUUAGAAGUUAAAAGAAAUGAAAUGCUUUCUUGUGAACUAUCUACUUGCCAUGAGACAAUUUCUAGCUUAAGAAGCAUAAAUGAUGAUUUGAAUGCUAAGUUAGAAAUAGCUAGUAAAUCAACAUCUGGUGUAGAAAAUUUUGUAAUUUGCAAUAGAUGUAAAGAUUUUAAUAUUGAUGCAUGUAGCAAACACCUAGCUUCAAUUUCUAGAUUGAAUGAUGAAGUGGCUAGUCUUAAUGCCCAACUUAAGACUAGCAAAAGUGAAUUCGAUAAGCUAAAAUUUGCAAGGGAUACCUACACGAUUGGUAGACACCCCUCAAUUAAGGAUGGACUUGGCUUCAAGAGGGAAGCCAAGAACUUGACAUGUCAUAAGGCUCCCAUCUCCAUCAAGGAGAAAGGGAAGGCCCCUAUGGCAAAUAGUAUUCAAAAGAACCAUGCUUUCUUAUACCAUGAUAGGAAAUAUUCUAGGAAUGUUCAUCAUGAUAGAAAUUGCAAUAAUGUUGUUUCACAUGCUUAUAAUUCAUAUGCUAUGACUGCUUCUAGUUCCCAUGUUGUGCAUGGUAGAGAUAUGCCUAGGAAAAAUAUUCAUCAUGUGCCUAGAAAGAAUAUUGUUCAUGUUCCUAGGAAAGUAAUACAUGAACCUUCUACAAUUUAUUAUGCUUGCAAUACGUCCUUUGCUAUUUGUAGAAAGGAUAAGAAGGUAAUUGCUAGGAAGUUAGGGGCAAGAUGCAAGGGAGAUAAAACUUGCAUUUGGGUCCCUAAGACCAUUGUGACUAACCUUGUAGGACCCAACAAGAGUUGGGUACCUAAAACCCAAGCCUAAAUUUGCCUUGCAGGUUUAUGCAUCCGGGGGUUCAAGCUGGAUUAUCGACAGCGGAUGCACAAACCACAUGACGGGGGAGAAGAAGAUGUUCACCUCCUACGUCAAGAACAAGGAUUCCCAAGAUUCAAUCAUAUUUGGUGAUGGGAACCAAGGCAAGGUGAAAGGGUUAGGAAAAAUUGCUAUUUCAUCCGAGCACUCUAUUUCUAAUGUGUUCUUAGUUGAGUCGCUUGGAUAUAACUUGUUGUCUGUGAGUCAACUUUGUAAUAUGGGAUAUAAUUGUUUAUUCACAAAUAUAGAUGUGUCUGUCUUUAGAAGAUGUGAUGGUUCACUAGCCUUUAAGGGUGUACUAGACGGCAAACUUAUUUAGUUGAUUUUGCAAAAGAGGAGGUCGGUCUAGAUGCAUGCUUAAUUGCUAAGACUUGCAUGGGCUGGCUGUGGCAUCACCAUUUAGCGCAUGUGGGGAUGAAGAACCUUCACAAGCUUAUAAAGGGAGAACACGUGAUAGGUCUAACUAAUGUGCAUUUCGAAAAAGAUAGACCUUGUGCAGCUUGUCAAGCAAGUAAACAAGUGGGAAGUACUCAUCACAUCAAGAACGUGAUGACUACAUCAAGACCCCUGGAGCUGCUGCAUAUGGACCUCUUCGGACCCGUCGCCUACCUAAGCAUCGGGGGAAGUAAGUAUGGUUUAGUAAUUGUUGAUGAUUUUUCCCGCUUCACUUGGGUAUUCUUUUUGCAGGAUAAAUCUGAAACCCAAGGGACCCUCAAGCGCUUCCUAAGGAGAGCUCAAAAUGAGUUUGAGCUCCAGGUGAAGAAGAUAAGGAGCGACAACGGGUCCGAAUUCAAGAACCUUCAAGUGGAGGAGUACCUUGAGGAGGAAGGGAUCAAGCACGAGUUCUCCGCUCCCUACACACCACAGCAAAAUGGUGUGGUAGAGAGGAAGAACAGGACGCUCAUCGAUAUGGCGAGGACAAUGCUUGGAGAGUUCAAGACGCCCGAGUGCUUUUGGUCAGAAGCCAUGAACACGGCUUGUCACGCCAUCAACUGGGUGUAUCUUUCUCGCCUCCUCAAGAAGACUUCGUAUGAGCUUCUAACCGGUAACAAACCCAAUGUGUCUUACUUUCGUGUAUUUGGGAGCAAAUGCUAUAUUCUAGUGAAGAAAGGUAGAAAUUCUAAGUUUGCUCCCAAAGCUGUAGAAGGGUUUUUGUUAGGUUAUGACUCAAAUACAAAGGCGUAUAGGGUCUUCAACAAAUCAUCGGGUUUGGUUGAAGUCUCUAGCGACGUUGUAUUUGAUGAGACUAAUGGCUCUCCAAGAGAGCAAGUUGUUGAUCUUGAUGAUGUAGAUGAAGAAGACAUUCCAACGGCCGCGAUUCGCACCAUGGCGAUUGGAGAUGUGCGACCACAGGAACAAAAGGAGCAAGAUCAACCUUCUUCCUCAACAAUGGUGCAUCCCCCAACUCAAGACGAUGAACAGGUUCAUCAAAAGGAGGCGUGCGAUCAAGGGGGAGCACAAGAUGAUCAUGUGAUGGAGGAAGAAGCACAACCGGCACCUCCAACCCAAGUUCGAGCGACGAUUCAAAGGAAUCAUCCCGUCGACUAAAUAUUGGGUGAUAUUAGCAAGGGAGUAACUACUCGUUCUAGAUUAGUUAAUUUUUGUGAGCAUUACUCCUUUGUCUCUUCUAUUGAGCCUUUCAGGGUAGAAGAGGCCUUGCUAGAUCUGGACUGGGAGUUGGCCAUGCAGGAGGAGCUCAACAACUUGAAGCGUAAUGAAGUUUGGACACUGGUGCCUCGUCCUAAGCAAAAUGUUGUGGGAACCAAGUGGGUGUUCCGCAACAAAUAAGACGAGCACGUGGUGGUGACAAGGAACAAGGCUCGACUUGUGGCAAAAGGUUAUGCCCAAGUCGCAGGUUUGGACUUUGAGGAGACUUUUGCUCCUGUGGCUAGGCUAGAGUCCAUUCGUAUUUUGCUAGCAUAUGCCACUCACCAUUCUUUCAGGUUGUUCCAAAUGGAUGUGAAGAGCGCCUUCCUCAACGGGCCAAUCAAGGAGGAGGUGUACGUGGAGCAACCCCCUGGCUUCGAGGAUGAACGGUACCCCGACCACGUGUGUAAGCUCUCUAAGGCGCUCUAUGGACUUAAGCAAGCCCCAAGAGCAUGGUAUGAAUGCCUUAGAGACUUUUUAAUUGCUAAUGCUUUCAAGGUUGAGAAAGCCGAUCCAACUCUUUUCACUAAGACUUGCGAUGGUGAUCUUUUUGUGUGCCAAAUUUAUGUCGAUGACAUAAUAUUUGGUUCUACUAAUCAAAAGUCUUGUGAAGAGUUUAGCAGGGUGAUGACGCAGAAAUUCGAGAUGUCGAUGAUGGGCGAGUUGAACUACUUCCUUGGGUUCCAAGUGAAGCAACUUAAGGAUGGCACCUUCAUAUCCCAAACGAAGUACACGCAAGACUUGCUAAAGCGGUUUGGGAUGAAGGACACCAAGCCCGCCAAGACUCCAAUGGGAACCGACGGACACACCGACCUCAACAAAGAAGGUAAGUCCAUUGAUCAAAAGGCAUACCGGUCAAUGAUAGGGUCUUUACUUUAUUUAUGUGCUAGUAGACCGGAUAUUAUGCUUAGCGUAUGCAUGUGUGCUAGAUUUCAAUCCGAUCCAAGGGAGUGUCACUUAGUGGCCGUGAAGCGAAUUCUUAGAUAUUUAGUCGCUACGCCUUGCUUCGAGAUCUAGUAUCCAAAGGGGUCUAACUUUGACUUGAUUGGAUAUUCAGACUCCGACUAUGCUGGAUGUAAGGUCGAUAGGAAGAGUACAUCGGGGACGUGCCAAUUCUUAGGAAGGUCCCUAGUGUCAUGGAAUUCUAAGAAACAAACUUCCGUUGCCCUAUCCACCGCUGAGGCCGAGUACGUUGCCGCAGGACAAUGUUGCGCACAACUACUUUGGAUGAGGCAAACCCUCCGGGACUUUGGCUACAAUCUGAGCAAAGUACCACUCCUAUGUGACAAUGAGAGUGCUAUCCGCAUAGCGGAAAAUCCUGUUGAGCACAGCCGCACAAAGCACAUUGACAUCCGGCAUCACUUUUUGAGAGACCACCAGCAAAAGGGAGAUAUCGAAGUGUUCUAUAUUAGCACCGAGAACCAGCUAGCCGAUAUCUUUACCAAGCCUUUAGAUGAGAAGACCUUUUGCAGGCUGCGUAGUGAGCUAAAUGUCUUAGAUUCGUGGAACUUGGAUUGAUUUAUAGCAUACAUGUGUUUAUGCCUUUGAUCAUGUUCCUUAUGCAUUUUGUUGUUUAUGUAUGGUGCUCAAGUUGUACAAGCACUCCCCGGACCUCACAAGUCCUUUUGCAUGUGAUGCACAUAUUUAGGGGGAGAUGUGCUACAACUUGACUCUUUGAGACUAACCGCGUGCUUGAGUUUGCUUGAUUUAGUCUCAAAGGAAGGUUGAAAGGGAAAAGAUGGACUUGGACCAUGAAAGACUUCCACUGCCCUCCGAUGAGAGGGUAACUUAUUCCAAGUUCAUCUCAUGUACUCUUAUUGCCCUUGUAUACUUAUUUGAAGAUUUUGGUGAGGCAAUGGGGUUCAAGGGCCAAGAUUGAUCCCGUUUUGGUGCUUGAUGCCAAAGGGGGAGAAAAUAAGGCCAAAGCAAUAAAUGGAUCAGCUACCACUUGAGAAAUUUUGAAAACAGUAGAAUAGAGCUUUUGGUUUGUCAAAACUCUCUUGUUGUUUCUCUUUGCAAAAGUUGGUCUCCUGUGGGGGGAAUGGUUGAUUAUGGGAAAAAGGGGGGAGUUUUUGAAUCUUUGAUCAAUUUCUCUUGGAAUACCUCUCUUUAUGUCUCUACAAGUGAAGUUGACUUAGAGAUAGGAAAUUGAGUUUGAUUUGCAAAAACAAACCAAGUGGUGGCAAAGAGUGAUCCAUAUAUGCCAAAUUUGAAUCAAAACAAUUUUGAGUUUUCAUUUGCAUUGAUAUUGCACUUGUUCUAGUUGCUUUAUGUUGUGUUGGCAUAAAUCACCAAAAAGGGGGAGAUUGAAAGGGAAAUGUGCCCUUGGGCCAUUUCUAAGUAUUUUGCUAAUUGAGUGCCAACACAAGUGCUUAAGUGUUAGAGUAUCCCAAGUGAUGGACAAAGUGCAAAUCAAAAGUAAAGGUAUGUUUCUAGACUUAGUACAUUGUUUUAUGGACUAAUGUAUUGUGUCUAAGUGCUGGAAACAGGAAAAAUCAAGUUGGAAAAGAGAUGGCUUUGUUCAGCCAAAGUCUGCUCAGUCUGGGUGCACCGGACUGUACGGUGGUGCACCGGAUAGUGUCAAGUGCACCAGGCUGGCUCUGGUGAACUUGCUGCUCUCGGGACUUCAAUGGCGGUGUACGGCUAUAAUUCACUGGACUGUCCGGUGGUGCACCGGACUGUCCGAUGAGCCGUUCACAGGCGAAGUCGUCGCUCUCGGGAUGUGAUUAACGGCGUACGGCUAAAAAUCACCGGUCUGUCCGGUGGUGCACCAGACUGUCCGGUGAGCCAACGGUCAGCCGGGCCAACAGUCGGCCGAGGAUUCCGCGCAUGACGCGUGGCCGAGCCAACGGUCACAUUGGAGCACCGGACUGUUCGGUGUGCACCGGACGGUGUCCGGUGCGCCAAUGGCUCUGAAUCUGCAACGGUCGGCUUCGCCAAAUAAGGAAAGAAAUCCGCACCGGACAGUGUCCGGUGGUGCACCAGACAGUCCGGUGCGCCAGGCGACAAAAGGCAAGAAUUUCCUUCCUGGAAUGCUCUCAACGGCUCCUAGCUGCCUUAGGGCUAUAAAAAGGACCCCUAGGCACAUGGAGGAGAACACCAAGAAUUCCCCAAGCAUUCUAAAGCACCAAGACCUCGAUUCCACGCAUUUGAUUCUUUGUGAUAGCAUCUAGAGCUCUAUUUGAGUUGUGAACUCAUCGAGUUGUGUUGUGAGCUCUUGUUGCGACUUGUGUGCGUGUUGUCGCUUUGAUUUUGUGUCUUGUGUGCGUUGCUCAUCCCUCGCUUACUCCGUGCUUCUUUGUGAACAUCAAAGUGUAAGGGCGAGAGGCUCCAAGUUGUGGAGAUUCCUCGCGAUCGGGAUAUAGUAAAGCAAAGCAAAACACCGUGGUAUUCAAGUGGGUCUUUGGACCGCUUGAGAGGGGUUGAUUGCAACCCUCGUCCGUUGGGACGCCACAACGUGGAGUAGCCAAGCGUUGGUCUUGGCCGAACCACGGGAUAAACCACUGUGCCAUCUCUGUGUUGAUCUCUUGUGGUUAUUGUGUUUUGUUAAGACUCCUCUCUAGCCACUUGGCAUUAUUGUGCUAACACCUAACACUUAAACAAGUUUUUGUGGCUUUAAGUUUAAGUUUUUACAGGAUCACCUAUUCACCCCCCCCCCUCUAGGUGCUCUCAUGAGGUCACCGGAGUUGAGGCUAGCGCGAGCUGGAGUGGCUACGGGGUCGCCGGAGUUGGGCAGAGAGGGAGAGGGCACCACGGCGAACUCAAUGGCGGGGAAGAGGCCAUGAAUCCACGUGCAGAGAAGGGAGAACGACGGUGAGAAGGUCUCGGGCAAGCCGGAGUAACUCUGGUGAGCCAUUCUGGCCACGGGAAGGGGACUUAAGGCGCGCUAAGGCCUGGGCUAGCUUCAGCAGAGGCAGGGUUGACAUAGGGACCUACUCCAAGGAACUAGACCGGGCUAAAUCGGCCGGCCACCGCGCGAGCACAGUGGACCGCCGCGGCCGAGCACUGGCGAAGGCGAAAUUGGCCGAGCACAGGGCGCAAUAAGUCAUGACGCAACAUGUCCAACACUAGUUUAGCCAAAUUCAAACUAGGUUUCAAAUUCAAAUAAAUUCAAACUUGUCCAACACUUCAAAGAAUAUUUUAAACUCAGCAUGAUGCAACAUGUCAUGACUCAUAAGGUUUGGACAAAAAUAAAUAAUUAACCUCCACUAGUUUAGGCUAUCUCUAAUCAAAAAGGAAAAAGGGAGAGAGAGAAAACCUAGAGUGAGAAAAAGAAGAGUAACACAUGAUUUUGGGUGAUAAUUAGAAAGAAAUUUUAUACCCUCAAAAUCAGGGUGUUACAGACCUAUCCCCCUUAAAAGAAUCUCACCCUCGAGAUUCAGGGCUGGCUAGAAAAGAGCUCAGGGUACUUGGCUUUUAAAUCAUCUUCUCUUUCCCAGGUUGCUUCUUCUUCUGAGUGAUGGCCCCAAUUGACUUUGCACAUUCUGAUGGUGUUCCUCCGGGUGACCCGAUCUGCUGUCUCCAGAAUUUGAGUUGGCUUCUCAAUAUAAGUCAGAUCUUCUUGAACUUCAAGAUCCUCUGCUAGCAACUGCUCUUCUGGCACUCUUAAGCAUUUCUUCAACUGAGACACAUGGAACACAUCGUGCACAGCUGACAGAUUCUCUAGUAAGCUGAGUUGAUAAGCCACUUCUCCACGUCUUGCAUGAAUCUGAUACGGGCCGAUAUAGCGAGGGGCUAGCUUGCCCUUGACUCCGAACCUCUUGGUUCCUCUGAUAGGUGACACCUUCAAAUAGACAUAAUCUCCCACUUCAAAACUGAGUUCUCUUCUUCUGGUGUCAGCAUAGCUUCGUUGUCUGGACUGUGCUGCCUUCAAAUUCUCCCGGACCAUUCUGAUGUUCUCUUCGGCUUCAAGCAGAAUAUCUGGUCUGAACACCUGUCUUUCACCAGGUUGGUCCGAAUGCAGUGCAGUUCUGCAAUUCCUUCCAUAAAGCGCUUCAAACGGUGACAUCUUCAGGCUGGCUUGGUAGCUAUUGUUGUAAGAGAAUUCUGCAUAUGGUAAUCUCUUGUCCCAACCUAUCUUGUCUUGUAAGGCACAAGCCCUCAACAUAUCCUCCAAAAUCUGAUAAGUUAUCUCUGUUUGACCAUCUGUCUGCGGGUGAUAAGCUGAGCUGAAUUUCAAAUGCGUGCCUAAAGCUUCAUGUAACUACUGCCAAAAAUGAGAGGUGAACUGGGUGCCUCUAUCUGAUACUAUCUUCUUCGGAACGCCAUGCAAGCACACAAUCCGAGCCAUGUAUAGUUCGUCCAACACCGCACUAUUGUAGGUGGUCUUGACUGGUAUUAAAUGGGCCGCCUUUGUCAAACGGUCCACUACUACCCAGAUAGAGUCAUAACCAGUACGAGUGCAGGGAAAACCGACUAUAAAGUCCAUUCCUAUCUCAUCCCAUUUCCACUGAGGAAUCUGCAAUGGUUGCAACAAACCUACAGGUCUCUGAUGUUCUGCUUUAAUCCUCUGACAAUUGUUACAUACAGCCACAUACUCUGCUAUCUCCCUUUCAUACCGUACCACCAAAAUAUUUUCUUCAGGUCUUGGUACAUCUUCUCACUACCAGGGUGUAUAGAGUAUGUUGUCUCAUGAGCUUCCUUGAGAAUCAGUUCCCGGAUUGGUUUGAUAUCAAGAACACACAGUCUGUCCUUGAACCAUACCACUCCUUCUGCAUCUUCACGGAAAUCCUUGCCUUAUCCAUCUAUGAUCAGCUGCCGGAUCUCGUUGAUUUUCUCAUCAUCCUUCUGACCCUUCCUGAUGUCUUUCUCUAGAGUGGGUUCCAACUCAAUUGUCACUCCUUGAGUGUUGUUCAGAAAUCCGAGACUCAACCUAUCGAAUUCCUUCGCUAGCUCAUAUGGCAUCGGGUGAGCGGCCAACAUAUUGACUUGACUCUUCCUGCUAAGAGCAUCUGCAACUACAUUUGCUUUGCCUAGGUGAUAAUGAAUCUCUAGCUCAUAAUCUUUGAUCAACUCUAGCCAUCUUCGUUGCCUCAUGUUUAACUCUGACUGAGUGAAUAUGUACUUGAGGCUCUUGUGGUCUGUGUAGAUAUCACACUUCUGCCCAUAAAGAUAAUGCCUCCAGGUCUUCAAUGCAUGAACCACGACUGCUAACUCUAGAUCAUGAGUAGGAUAGUUCUUCUCAUGAAUCUUCAACUGUCGGGACGAGUAUGCCACUACUCUCCCUUCCUGCAUCAACACACAUCCCAGUCUGGUGUACUAAGCAUCGCAAUACACUGAGAAUGGCUUGUGAUCAUCUAGCAGAAUCAGUACUGGUGCCAUUGUCAACUUCUCCUUCAAUGUCUCAAAGGACUUCUAGCAUGCUGGGGUCCACUUGAACUCAACCUUCUUUGCCAGCAAGGCUGUUAGUGGCCUGGCGAUCUUGGAGAAACCUUCAAUGAAACGCCGAUAAUAACUAGCCAUUCUGAUGAAACUCUUGAUUCCUUGGACAUCUUUUGGUGCUUUCCAGUCCAAGAUAGCUGUUACCUUCUUCGGAUCUACAGCCAAUCCCUCUCGGUUUAUAAUGUGACCCAAGAACAGGACUUCACUAAUCUAGAACUCGCACUUGCUAAGCUUGGCAUACAGCUGACAAUCUCGUAGCCUCUGAAGUACUUUCCUCAAAUGCUCCUCAUGCUCUUGCUCAUUCUGGGAAUAUACAAUAAUAUCAUCAAUGAACACCACUACGAACUUGUCGAGGUAGUCUAUGAACACACUGUUCAUCAGGUACAUGAAGUAAGCUGGCGCAGUCGUCAAUCCAAAUGACAUAACCAUGAACUCAUAUAGUCCAUACUUAGUGAUGAAUGUUGUCUUCGGUAUAUCUGCAGGUCGGAUCCUGAGCUGAUGGUAACCUGACCUCAGAUCUAUCUUUGAGAACAUAGUGGCUCCUCUCAACUGAUCAAAUAGGUCUUCAAUUCGAGGCAGAGGGUACUUGUUCUUGACAGUGACUUCAUUCAAAGCUCUGUAAUUGAUGCACAUCCUCUUCGUGCCAUCCUUCUUCUCCACAAAUAACACUAGGGCUGCCCAAGGUGAGGUACUUGGUCUGAUGUAGCCUUUCUCUAACAACUCAUCAAUUUGUUUCUUGAGUUCCACCAACUCUGGUCCGGACACUCGAUAAGCUCUCUUGGAAAUAGGGGCGGUGCCUAGGAUAAGCUCUAUGGCAAAUUCAACUUUCCUUUCAGGUGGCAUGUCUGGUAACUCUUCAGGGAAUACAUCAGGGAAUUCUGACACAAUCCUAAUUGCCUCAAUCAGAUUGGACUCCUUGUCAUCUACUGAUAAAUGGUGACAAGCUCCUUCUUCUAGUUUAGGUAAGUACAGCUUGGUUACUACUUCCUUUCUGGAUGGGGACACCAACUUAAUUGUUCUCUUGUCACAACUGAUAGUGGCUUGAUUUCUGUGUAGCCAAUUCAUCCCUAGGAUGAGAUCUAACCCUUGGGUUCCCAUGACUACUAGGCUAGCGGGGAAGGCUAUCCCCCUUAUUUCAAUCCUUAGAUUCAGACAAAUCCUAUCAGACUGAACUUUUCCCCCAACUGAAUUAACUCUCAAAGGUGGGAUCAUUGGUUCUAUGGGGAUGUUAUGUGAUUCUACCCAAGAUGCAGAAACAAAAGAAUGUGUGGCACCCGUAUCAAAUAGUACUUUGCUGGGUAGGAUUCGACUGGAAACAUACCUACUGCCAUGUCCUGAGCCUCCUGGAUUGCUUCGGCCUCUAGGUGAUUCACCUUCCCACGGUUGUAGGCCUAACCACGGACUCCUGGUGCUUGCUGUGGUGCUCCUUGUCUUGCUGGGGCAUUGACUGCUGGCGGUUGCUGGGCUGCUUUCUUUGGACAAUUCUUCGCCCAGUGAUUUUGUUCUCCAUAGUAGAAGCAUGCAUGACCUCCUACUUGUGCUGGGGCUACUUGGCCAUUCUGGUUGGUUGUGGGGGCAGGAAUUUGAGCUGCCUGGUUGUUCUGACGUUGGUACUGAUUUCCUCAUGGCUUAGUGUUCUGAUGGUACUGCUGCUGCUGUUGCUGAGGAAACUGCCUCUGGUACUGGUGCUGGUGCUGACUGGUGCUAGUGGCCUUAGUUGAAUUGAUGUGGCUAGUUGCCUGAGUAGCGGGGACGACUGCUACUCCCGGCCUAAGGUCCACCAAUCUUGCGCUUCCUAUCCUCCAUCUCCCGACGCUUACUUUCAGUCAUGAUUGCUCUGUCGAUCAAAUGCUGGAAGGUGGGGAAAGUGUGGUUCAUCAGCUGAUAAUGGAGGGGAUCAACCAAUCCUCUCAGAAAGCGGUACUGCCUCUUGGCAUCUGUGUUGACAUCUUCUGGGGCGUAACGUGAUAGCUGUAAAAACUUAUCCCUGUAUUCACUAACGGACAAGGGACCUUGCUUCAGGGCGAGAAACUCCUACUUCCUCACUAUCAUCAGUCCCUCGAGCACAUGGUAGCAACGGAAGUUGUCCCUGAACGCCUCCCAAGUAAUGGCUUCAAGGUUGGCAUGGGUGGCGAGGUAAGACUCCCACCAAGAUUGUGCUGCUCCCCUAAGCUGUCGGGGACCAUACAACACCUUCUCACGGUCGUUGCACUGGGCAGUGUGUAACUCAUGCUCCACGGUAUGCAGCCAAUCUUCCACGUCCAUGGUGUUAGCAGAGUGGGCAAAGACAGGGGGAUGGCCCCUCAUGAAUUCUGCCCGCUUGUCUCUGGGCACUUGUGGCAUCUGGACUUGCACUAGAGGCUGAGGUGGUGGUGGCUGCUGCUGAACUUGCUGCAUCGCUACUAAUGUCUGACCAAUUGCUUGAACUGCCUGGGUGUGCAUCAAGAACAUCUUCUCAAUGGUCAUCGGGGGUGGCGGUGGCAAAUGCUGCUGCGGAGCUGCCUCCUCUUAGGAUGCCUGCUGCUCUGGCUGUGCACGCCUCACAACUCUGCGCCUGUUCUCAGACAUAUGUAGGAAUCACACACAUAUCAGAUCUGACUUUGCAGUCUUUCAGCAUAAGAAAAGAUAUACGGAAAUCUUCACAACACUGAACAAUUGAUCAUCUUCACUGACAACUUCUCAGAUAAAGAGGAAAGUGGAAAUAAAUGGAUUACCCAACUAAAUAACUGACUUUAUUAAUAACUACACCAAGUUGCAGGAGAUACCCACCCCUUGGUGACAAUCAUUACAAAGAUCCAACUUCAUUACAUGUUCAUCAUGACAAACAUUCCAACAUAUGAUAAGCAAACUAACUCGAACUAAGACUAACUAGACUAAGGCACUGAAUUCAUUAUUACAGACUCUGACUCCACGGAUCUAUGGAUCUAAAUCUAUGCGGGUCCUACAGUCUGGGGUACCAUAGUCGAAGCGACCACGGGGCGGUGAACGGUAAGGGUGCUAAAUCCCUAUAGGGGCGGGAGAACCACCAUCAAGAUAGUGGCAUGCCGCGCAUUCAGCACGCAAUUCCGCAACCUCUGCCCGAACCUUGCCUAACUCGUCAAGGGCGUGGUCCAACUCUGUGUGGAGCACGACGGCCAAGUUGACCAUGCUACUUAGCCUGGGAUUGCCCUCAUCGACUGGCGAGACAAUCACACCUCCAGCACUGCCGAUCAAACGACGAGGGUAGUACUUCAGGUCAAGGCCAUCAGCCCCGCUGAACAACGAGCAAUACUGAGAAAGUGCCCAUCAUGCUGCAUCUUGCAUGGCUGCCUCGGUAGUAUCCCUCUCAGUGAUAGAAUAGUGCUCUGAGAAGUCCUCUGCACCUCGGAGAUCAUCGUCCGGACGACGCACCAAGCAAGUAGCCUCCCACUAGUUCGGGUAUAGCUUGCGAUGAUGCUGGUAGACUACACAACGGUACUUGAUAGACCAAGUGUGCCGGUCGAAAGCCCAACGCAACAAGGUAUCGAGAGCGUCGUGGAAGUGACACCCGCGAGCAGCGUCACGAGUGAUGGGUCUCGCGAUCCAUCCCUCCGGCUCUGGCUCCUUCGAAUGCUCCGUGCCGUGGCUCAAACUGCCACCGGCGUCGUCGCCAUCCUUGUCUCCGUUGGGGUCUCCUCCAGCAGCCGGGAUGCCCUGUGGUGGUGCAGGGGGCAUCUCUGGCUGAGGUGCAGGGGAAGGCGGCCUCUCAGACUCCACCUCCCACUGAGGCAAGGGGGAAGAGUCCUACUGCUCCUGCUCCAACUCCUGGCGUCGGCGCUCCUGCUCCUCGUGUAGGUGACGAUGCAGUCUCUCCAGCUGGAUGGACUGGCCUGACAUCGUGCAACGCAGUGGACGCUCCGCCAGGUGAGAAGGCAAAAAGGGGAUCACAGACUUAUGUGCAGUGCACCUAAUACAGGCCAUCUACAAAAGACAUCGUAAGCACAAGAGUAAGAGUAGAACUAUGAGACUAGAAAGUAAGCAGAAAGAAAAGUGAGACGAAACUUUUUGAGAUAAGCAAAUAACAUAGAGUUGGUCAAGGUGACCAACUUUUGAAAAGACACUAAGGUCAAGGUAAGAGUAGGGGUCUAUAGUCCUUAGGUCGACCAUUCUAGUCUAGGUUAGCGGUCCUACAGUCAGCAAGGCUUUGAUACCACUUAUGUCACACCCGGUUUUGGAAGGUAAACCGAAUGCGAACCAUGUAUGUGCCAGGAUCAGAACUCACGUACACAACAAUUACAUAAUUGGACAUCAUCACACAAUGUUUGAAUUAAAUAGCGGAAAGGUACUUAGUUACAUCAAGAUGUCUGAGACAUUCACAGAGUCUAUUACAUAAACAUAGUGUUCAAUAUUAAAUCAAAGCGCGGAGUAUCGAAACGUAGAAGAUAAGCCUACACAGGCAGCUAACUGGGGGUUUGCCACUAAAGUAAACUAGAACUCGUCGUAUUCCUGGAACUCCUCGAAGUCAUCCAUGUUGCCAACUUCACCUCCUAAGCACUGAGAACAGUGGGGACAACCUAGGGUGGGGUGGUUUGUAAAGCAAGGGUGAGUACACAUCAACGUACUCAGCAAAUGUCCCGUUUGGCUAAGGUGGACUAGCGGUAUGUGGAGUUAAGGUUAAGUAGUUGCUUUUAGUUGGUCAAGUUUUAUUAUUAUAAGUAGAGCCAAAUUUUAGUAAUAACCCAGUUAUUACCUAGAGGCACUCCCUCCAAGAGGAAAUACCGGAGAUCAGGAUUAUAAUCACCAUUGUUAAUCAUCAUCAUAAAAGUAACCAUUGUUCUUCUAAUCGAAGAGGAUCCCAAGGCUGCUCAUAACCGUGAGCAUGGCUGAUAUACCAGUUUCUAACACUCUGCAGAGGUUGCACACUUUACCCACAAGCCGUGAUUCCCAUUCUGCCCGGGGUUCUAGCCUCCCCAUUGAUCACUACCAAGGUGACCUAGCAGGGUCUCACUAUGUAGCCUUUACAAAGAUUUCCUAGAGGUCAUAGCCCCCCAUUAGGUUUCUCUAGUUUGAUAAACACAGUACAUCUCCCCAAAGGAAGGGUGACUAACAAAACCAAAUCAAAGAACCUUUGCAACCAACCUCGGCAGAGCAAGUACUGUGCCUGGACCCCAUUGACGGCCCUAGGCGAAGCCAACUACUCAUCUGGUUCCUCUAAUUAAUCAGCUAAGGGCAUCCCAUUCCACCCUCAUGGUUGCAUUGUUAUCCCGGGUUGUCACUCCCCAAACAGGUCCUUACGGAGAGGUACUCAGAAAAGAGCCUGAGCCCCCUAAAGUAAUCACAAGGACCCCAUCGGUAUAACAUCAUCGUAUCAUAAAAGAUCACAUCAUGUUCAUUGAUUAAGUUUAAGCAAAAGCAUAAGCUAACCAUGAUUAACCCAAAAAGAUAAACAAGAGUAAGGGAAAUACAAACUAGUCAAUCCUUAGGUUUCAAUAGAGUAAUGCGGGACAGUGAAUUAUAAAGUAGAGUAGGACAUGAUAGGUCUGAGGACACUUGCCUUUACCAGGUUGUUGCUCAGAGGGAUCUUCGGCAACACACUCACGAACCAUGAGCUGCUCGUUGUCUAAGUAAAGCGAGCAUACAUUCAAUACAUUUGGAAGGUAAAAAUGAACAUCACAUCACACAUGUACAAAUAUUGGCACACAACUCAAGAAGGUAUAGUAUUAAGUACAGAGGAAUGAGGUCAAGUUAUAAAAAUGGACUAAUCCUAAUUGGGGAAUUGAUUACUCUCUAAAUGUUUGGAACAUAGCUCAAAAAGGUUAAGUAGUGAUUAAAACAAAUGAAAGCUAGAAUUAUAAGAUAAACUACUCUCAUUUAGAAAUUUGAUUAUCUUUUAAGUAUUAUCCAUAAUUACAUUCCAAAUUCUAUUUAUGUCAUUAAGGUCUAGAGGAUAAGCCAAAAAUAAAUCCAAGUAAUGCAUAACACUAAUCUCACAAGAUUGAAUAUACUUUAUUCAUAGGGUUCUCCUUUUAUUUAUUUCAUUAAAUAAAUAAAUUAACAUAUACUUUAGAUGAAAUAUGAAAUUAGGGCUAAAUCUGUGAUUAAAUAAAAGUCUAGGGGUCUAAUUAAAACAAACCAGGGACCUAUGCGCUAAAACAGAGGAUGGCGGGUUGAUUUCCUAAAAUUCUGGGGAUUCUUAAGCAAAACAGCCACGCGAAGGGGUAUCGGGCUCCCUCAACCGUUGGAUCAGAAACCGACGGUUGAGAUUAGAUCGCGUGGGCGCACGCGGGGGCGCAGGCGCGCAGGCGUGGCUAACAAGCGAGGCCAGGGGCGUCAGCGGCAGAGGGGGAGGGCGCACUGACCGAGCGAGCCCAGCGCAAGAGGACUUAGGCGCUGACAGGCGGUCCAGGGCGUCAGGGCACGCGUGCACGAAGCGUUAUCCGUGGUCCGAGCCAUUCGAUCUGAAUCGGACAGAGGGGACCAGACCAGGGGGAAACUGACGGCUGCGGGCGGCGCCGGUCCUCUCCAUGGCGGUGAGGUCGCCGGAGUUGAGCAGAGAGGGAGAGGGCACCACGGCGAACUCAAUGGCGGGGAAGAGGCCAUGAAUCCACGGACAGAGAAGGGUGAACGGUGGUGAGAAGGUCUCGGGCGGGUCGAUGUAACUCCGGUGAGCCAUUUCGGCCACGGGGAGGGGACUUAAGGCGCGCUAAGGCCUGGGCUAGCUUCAGCAGAGGCAGGGGUGACUGAAAGGGAAAUGUGCCCUUGGGCCAUUUCUAAGUAUUUUGGUGAUUGAGUGCCAACACAAGUGCUUAAUUGUUAAUCUAUGCCAAUUGAUGGACAAAGUGCAAAUCAAGAGUAAAGGUAUGUUUCUAAGACUUAGUACAUUGUUUUGAGAACUAAUGUAUUGUGUCUAAGUGCUGGAAACAGGAGAAAUCAAUUUGGAGAUGACUUGGCUCUUUCAGCCAAAGUGUGCACAGUCUGGGUGCACGGGACUGUCCGGUGGUGCACCGGACAGUGUCCGGUACGCCAGGCUGGCUCUAGCGAACUUGCUGCUCUCGGGACUUCGACGACAGUGUACGGCUAUAAAUCACCGGACUGUCCGGUGGUGCACUGGACUGUCCGGUGAGCCAUUCACAGGCGAAGUCGUCGCUCUCGGGAAGUGAUUAACGGCGUAUGGCUAUAAAUCACCGGACUGUCCGGUGGUGCACCGGACUGUCCGGUGAGCCAACGGUCAGCCGGGCCAACGGUCGGCCGGGGAUUCCGCGCAUGACGCGUGGCCGAGCCAACGGUCACAAUGGGGCACCGGACUGUCCGGUGUGCACCGGACAGUGUCCGGUGCGCCAACGGCUCUACAUCUGCAACGGUCGGCUUUGCCAAAUAAAGAAAGAAAACCGCACUGGACAGUGUCCGGUUGUAACACCCCAGGUUCCACAAACAACCCAGAAUGCUACUGAACUACACUUCUGACGUCCAUAUAUAAAAUUUCGGCAGCAUCCCCUUUGCAAGAUUGCAUAAAUAAGGGGGCAACAGGGUAUAAACAUAUAUCAUGACAAAAACAUACUAAGUAUUAUUAAUCGGCUAGCAAGGGAAGAUAAACGUACGACCUGAACUGAAUUAACCAGUGCGCACGACUAUAUAAAAAAACAAACUUCCUUUGACAAUAAGUUUCUAAUUAAAUCAUGGCUGCGCCUGGGCAGCGUUAUUGUGAGAGUGUAAGUGGUCGUGCUGCUACUCCCCUCAUUCCCAACAUGUAUCAAGUACCUGCAUUGAGUAAUGCAAGAGUGAGAUGACACAUCUCAGCAAGUAAAAUAAUAUCAAACUAUUCAACCACAUAAGAACAUUGUUUUACCACCACCUGAUUCCACAACCUUCUUAUUACCAAGAUGCAGCACAUAUACAACGUACAACACACCUAGUUACCACACCUCGCAGGUAGAAACCACAAUAGUAACAUAGUAAUGUCACACUUCAUAUAUUCCUCAUGAAUGCAAAUGUCUGCAAAUGCAAGGAUGACUUCUGCCUUCAUACCUCUAAGGAUAUGAAGCCGCAUCGUACCCCUCCUCGGGCAACGUACGAUGCUAAGAAUGUACCGGUACGGUCGGACCAUAAGAUCACGACAUAACUUCAAAAUGCAAGAUGGAUGAUGCGAUGUGCAUGUCAUGCCUACAACACUUCAUAUAACGUGAUUCAAAAAGAUACUUCAACUUCAUCCAAGAUGGGAAUCAACCACAUAUAUCAUAACCAAAUUAUGAUCAUCCACAAUAUUACACAAUUGAGAACUAAUACUUCCAAACAAAUAAACUUCAUCAUAGAAUUCAAUGAUUAACAUAAAUAAAAACUUAUGCAUACUCAAUGACAGGGAAUAGGAUGCAACCCAAACGGUAGCAACCGCCACUAUAUUUACUUGCCUUUACCGGAAGUUCGGGCAAAUCCCUAAGUACGAUCCGGAAGUCCACCACCUGUUUUUUGACACAUAACUUAGUGCACCUAUUUCACAUAAUCAGGCUCAUAAACGACGCCGCACCUACGCACAAACUCAAACCCCGCCGCGGGUUACAUCUCUCCCCACACCCACCAAACUGCAGCGGCGCUGCUUAAUAAUUUCAUAACUUUAAAAUUAUGACAACAGUGGUAACAAACAAAAACUCCAGAGGCAUCUACAUAAAAUUCCCCACAAGUUUUGUAUACAAUUUAUAAUUAAAUUCUAAUAUCUAAUUAGCCCAAAACAGUCCACAAGAUGAACCCUGUAAUCUGUUUUUUUGUCUUUUGGACAGCGACAUACCCGGAUUCAAACAGCGAUAUCUUUUAAAAUAUAAUUCCAAAUCAAGCGCAUAAGUACUCAUUAGAAAGAUAAGACAAAGCCCUACAUGAUUAUCAUACUGGUUAACACUAAUUACCCACGAAAAAUUCACAGAAACUGCUAAUACUACUGCUAUUCACCCACCUGAAAAAUCUGUUUUUUUUUUACAGCAACAUAACCGGAUUCAAACAACGAUAUCUCCUAAAAUAUAACUCCGAAUCGAGCGCAUAAGUACUUGUUGGAAAGGUAUGACAAAGAUCUAUAUGAUUCUCAUAUUGAUUAUCACUAAUUUCCCACGAAAAAAUCCCCAGAAACUGCUAAUACUACUGCUGUUCAUUCACCUGAAAAUCUGUUUUUUUGGACAGCAACAUAACCGGAUUCAAACAACGAUAUCUCCUAAAUUAUAACUCCGAAUCGAGCGCAUAAGUACUCGUUGGAAAGGUAUGACAAAGAUCUACAUGAUUCUCAUAUUGAUUAUCACUAAUUUCCCACGAAAAAUCCCCAGAAACUGCUAAUACUACUGCUGUUCGUCCUCCCACAAAAAUCUGGACAGCACCUAUACCGAUUCGCAUAGGUAAACAUGUAAACAAUUGGAUUGCAGCACAAAUACUAAAAAGAAUGAUCUUAAAAUCACCUUGGGUUCCUCCUUUCCUCCUUCCAUUCUUCCUUCUUCCUCCCUCCAAACUCCAAUGGAAGACUCGCACCCACACGACGGGGUACCAAGCGGGGAGGAUGCACCAUGGAGAGGAGGAGGGGGGGGGCGGCUAGGGUUGAGGGGUGGUGCUGCAAUCACUUGGGGGAGAAAGAGAGGGAGAGAGAGGGGGGGUGGCGGCCACAAAGGGGAAUAGGGAAGGGGGGGCGGCUGCAACCAAAGGGGAAUAGGGGAGGGGGCGGCUAGGGUUAAGGGGGGAGAACUAAUGGGCUCCCCACCGCCGGAUCGAGAUCCACGGCCCAAACUCGCUCUCACGACCGUUCCCGAUCCCAGGGCACCAGUCCAACAAGAAUUCUACUGUUUUACUAGUGAAUGCUUCCUAAAAGUUCCAAUCCCCUGUAGCACAGGACCCGAAAGAGAAAACAAGGAAAAAAAGAAUAAUCUUCAAUUUCUCUUCCUUUUGGAAAUUGGGUAUCACACUCUACCCUCCUUAAAAAGAAUUCGACCUCGAAUUCUGACGCUUCUAUCGGAAUGACAAAAAAAAAUUAAUGAAUCAACAAAACUCACACAUAACGAAAAGUUUGGGUACUUCUGCCGCAUCAGCUCCUCAAGUUCCUAGGAUUCUAAGAUACGCAGCAGACGACACUCUAGAGUCUGCUCUUGCUACACAGGAAUCGGUUCUAGCUCGAUUUGAUGGUCUGGAUUCCGCAAAUACUUCCUCAACAUAAAGACAUGGAAUACUUGGUGUACUCUGAUCAUAGAUUCCGAUAAUUACAUGCGCUAAGCCCAGCUGCCAACUCGGCCAAGAUAGUAGACGGUCCUAUAUACCUCGGACCAAGCUUUCCUGACACCAAAUCAAUCAUUGACAUAUGCAAGUACUUCAAGGAAUGUAUAUAUGAAUGCAAGGCAUAUAAUGUUCCUAUAGGCUAAACCAAACUUAGCCACACACGAGCAACUUCAAGAGAGUAACUUAAUGCUUGCAUAUUUCUAGAUAGCAGCACAGCGGUUAAUUGUUUUGCACCUAACUCACAAAAAUAUGCAUCGAAAAUUAGUAAACUAGGACUUUAUGGAAAACUUAUAAAGUCCACUAUACCCUUGGUAUUAUCAUCACAACAAGAUUUGACACUUAGAAAGGUCAAACAGUGCUAAACGUAAAUUCUGUCCAGACUUGGACAUAAUUCAACUACUCAAUUCAAAAAUCCAUAAUUGGAGUCUCAAUCAUCCAAUUCAGGUGCUCCCAGACUUUUUAGAAAGCUAGUAGAAUUGUCUAUAAUUUAUUUAUAAACAUAUCAAGUUAAUUCAAUGCAUAUUAAGGUCAAAAGACAUGAGAAAGGCUCUGCUGUCCAAAUUUGGACAGAUUCAGAGAUCACACUUAAAACAGCUGUAACUUAACUUAUAGAUCUCCAAAAAAAAAUUAAUCCAAAAUUUGUUGUAACGAUUAAGAAAAGUACUACAACUUAUUUAUAAUUUAUAAUAAGUUAUUCGAAGUUUAAAUUGGGCAAACAAGGCCAGCUUCGAAAACUGUAUAGAAUCUGCACAGAUUUCAAGACUGGACUUGAGAAAAUCAUAACUCCCAAACUACUAGACAUAUGGUCAUGAAAUUUUUACACAAGUAAUAUAAAGAAGUUGGCUACAACUUUUAUAUAUAACAUCUCUACAGAAAAGAUGGUUUACUUCACUGAACUAGCUGCAUAACUAAAACUGGUCAUGCAGUCCCAAUAGCAAGCAAUAGAUUUUAUCAGGUUCAUUACUCUUCUAAGAUUAAGCGUUCAUUGAAAGACUAAUAACUUUAGGUUCUUCAUUACGAGACACCUAGAACAAAUAUAAGUAUAGAAGCAAUAUGAUAACCUUUUAAAUCAUUUAAGCCUAAUCUCACAUCAUGCAAACAAGAAUCAAUUUAAGCAUGUUAUGUCUGCCCACAUAUUCAUCCAAACACAUUCUAUACAUGAUAUCAACUCCCUGCAGCUAACAAAAAUUUGCAAAUAUAAACUCACUGAAAAGAUUAUAACAUUCCCUAGAACUUUUAUUAUAAUGAGUGUCUCGGAAUUGGUUUUCAAACCGAUAAAACAAUGCAACUCUUUUGUUUCAAAACUGAUAAGAUUGAAACAAUGGACAACUAAAAUUCAAAAACCUAUAACUCCUGCUAUACUCAACUUAAACUACAACGAACACGCGUUGGAAAAGUUUAGAAAAUUGUCCACGACUUUUGCAAUAAAGUUGCACCCAAAUUUAUCCUUAUAGCCCACAACUCUGCAUGACCUACAGCUAAACUCAGCCUGAGAUACUGCACAUUAGAGAUUCGACUUAUAUCCGGGCAACCACCUCUCCAAAUCUAUUUAACAGACAGUUACAAGUAAAUACCCAUUAAAAAGGUACUGAAAAUACCUACAAGUUUUGCUUAAAGAGAAUUCGCAAAUUUGUGCUCUGCAACUAUCAAAACGUGGUCGAUUUAUUGGUGAUUAUAACGACGCCUAAAGUUCAGACACAACAGUGCAACAACUUCAGAGCAACCUAACUCCAAUUAUAUGCAAUGAGAAUUAGAAACCCAUACUCUUUGAAAAGAUCAUGAAAUUACUAAAACUUUCAUAAUCCACAAAGACCAAAUUAUACCGUCUUCAAUGUCUACUCUUCCGUACAAAAUUAAAGACUCACUCUUCUAGAGACACCAACAAAGAUGUUUUAAGAAACCCAUAUCUCUCAAAUGUUUAGACCAAACAUGGUGAUUAAGCAUCCUAUGGAAAGAUGCAGAAACAUACUACAAAACAUUCUAGAUAAGUGAAGCCUGAUUCAGCCUCCAACUAAUUUAAAAUGCCUCCCGAAACCAAACAACACAUUAUCAACAAUAAAAAAAACAAUAUAAAAUGAAACCCAAGUCAUUGGCAGGUGCCAUCAACACUAGGAUUUUCCACUACCAAACUGGGAUGCAACUCCAUAAAGUCUUUAAAUAACACUCUACCAAAUAGGUUAGAACACUAAGCACAACAAUCAAUGAAUUCAACAACCUCGUUUGUUAAUGCCACUAAGGUCAAACAUCCAUGUACCGACAAUGUAUGAAACACCUGACAUACCCGUCUCCAGCUCUAUAAAACAUGGUUGUUAUUACACUAGAAUCCAAGUACUAGAAAUCUCCAAAACUAUUCUGUUGACGUGAAGCAAAUGGUGCUCAUGUCAUAUAACAUCUUUUCCCCCUCUCAAAAGAGAUAAAAUUUGCAAUACUCAUAAAGCAAUGGAGGGAUAACAACAAGAAAAAACUAAUGUACUUCUUGACACAGACUCAUGCAAAAGCUUCAUAAAUAUUACUUUCAACACUAAAAUAAUAACACGAUACUAUGCUCAACAGGAGUAAUUGGACUUCAAUAAGAUAAUCCACCUAACCCAACUACUUUGAUUAACCUCACAUACAACAAUACCUCCUAUUAUUGCACUUGAACAAUUUGUACCUACUGAUGUCAUAGGAUGAAUUCAAAGUAGUAGACAUACAUGAUCUAUCAAACCAUCAUUCAUAUAAUAAAAAUCUCCAUCUAAUGCAACAACCACAUCAUUAUAGAGAUAGAUGACUAACAAACAUAAGCAACUUCCAGUUAAACAUUGACUUUGUUUAAGAUAAAGCGGUCCAAAUAAUAAUUCCACAAGCAUGCAUAGAGAACUGAUCAUAAAAAAAACUACCAUGUAUCAUCGGCGAUUAAAAACAAUAUGAAACGGGUUGUCCAUAUCGUCUGCAUGACUAGCCUCCAACAAAUAAAAAUUAUGCAUAACCUUUUUGGCUAUAGAAACAAACCAUAGAAGGAAAACAUGCAUGCCUCUUCAACUAUAAUAUAGACAUAAAAUCCACUUGAAAUCACCCUAUUUAUUAUGAAAGAUAAGGUUGCACACAAUAAGAAAACCUAUCAUGUAAACAUGGUUGGACUUAUCUACCCACGUCAUCUUGCAAAUUCACUUGAGUUCUUCUAGUCUCAAGAUUUCAUAGACAGUACAACAUUGCCUUUGCUCUAUGGAGACAAACCUAUUGUACUCUAAGAUCAAGUUGGCAAGUAGCCACACUAGCCAAAAAAAAGGUGAGGUGUAAAGCACUGCACCCAUGGAAAUAUUACAUUGAAAAGUUGGGUUGUAACCCAACAGUCAAUCAAACUCAACAACACCAUAAAACUUCAUUGUAUAGUGUUUUCACACUACACCAAGUCGGAUUAGAUCCUCUAUACACAAGCUCAAUAAACAAUCGGUCCUACAAGUACUAGAACCCAAGAAUCCUUUUGGGAAAAAAACAUCCACAGUCAAGCAUAUAGAAAUAUAUGAUGGUAAUAGCUCAGAGAUUAGUAAACAUUGCAUCCCAAAAAAACAUCAUGACGAUAUGUAUAUAAAACAAGUACAUUAGUAGCUUCACUCGCAUAAUAAUUUCAAUAACAAGCACAUCAAGAAACCAAUAUUAAAUAGAAGUAACAUUUCAUAUCAAGCAUUACGUCGUUAACGACAUACCUCUUCAAACCAUAAAGGGGUUUGGAGUAAGGAAAUUCUAGUCAUCUAUACAAUAAAAUACUAAUAUGAAAGAUAUAUGAACCCAUACCCUUCCUAUAUGUGCAAGUGUGUCAAAUUUAUCUACAAAUUGCGUAGAAUCUAAAGCCUAUCCUUUAAUACCAACUGUAACACCCCAGGUUCCACAAACAACCCAGAAUGCUACUGAACUACACUUCUGACGUCCAUAUAUAAAAUUUCGGCAGCAUCCCCUUUGCAAGAUUGCAUAAAUAAGGGGGCAACAGGGUAUAAACAUAUAUCAUGACAAAAACAUACUAAGUAUUAUUAAUCGGCUAGCAAGGGAAGAUAAACGUACAACCUGAACUGAAUUAACCAGUGCGCACGACUAUAUAAAAAAACAAACUUCCUUUGACAAUAAGUUUCUAAUUAAAUCAUGGCUGCGCCUGGGCAGCGUUAUUGUGAGAGUGUAAGUGGUCGUGCUGCUACUCCCCUCAUUCCCAACAUGUAUCAAGUACCUGCAUUGAGUAAUGCAAGAGUGAGAUGACACAUCUCAGCAAGUAAAAUAAUAUCAAACUAUUCAACCACAUAAGAACAUUGUUUUACCACCACCUGAUUCCACAACCUUCUUAUUACCAAGAUGCAGCACAUAUACAACGUACAACACACCUAGUUACCACACCUCGCAGGUAGAAACCACAAUAGUAACAUAGUAAUGUCACACUUCAUAUAUUCCUCAUGAAUGCAAAUGUCUGCAAAUGCAAGGAUGACUUCUGCCUUCAUACCUCUAAGGAUAUGAAGCCGCAUCGUACCCCUCCUCGGGCAACGUACGAUGCUAAGAAUGUACCGGUACGGUCGGACCAUAAGAUCACGACAUAACUUCAAAAUGCAAGAUGGAUGAUGCGAUGUGCAUGUCAUGCCUACAACACUUCAUAUAACGUGAUUCAAAAAGAUACUUCAACUUCAUCCAAGAUGGGAAUCAACCACAUAUAUCAUAACCAAAUUAUGAUCAUCCACAAUAUUACACAAUUGAGAACUAAUACUUCCAAACAAAUAAACUUCAUCAUAGAAUUCAAUGAUUAACAUAAAUAAAAACUUAUGCAUACUCAAUGACAGGGAAUAGGAUGCAACCCAAACGGUAGCAACCGCCACUAUAUUUACUUGCCUUUACCGGAAGUUCGGGCAAAUCCCUAAGUACGAUCCGGAAGUCCACCACCUGUUUUUUGACACAUAACUUAGUGCACCUAUUUCACAUAAUCAGGCUCAUAAACGACGCCGCACCUACGCACAAACUCAAACCCCGCCGCGGGUUACAUCUCUCCCCACACCCACCAAACUGCAGCGGCGCUGCUUAAUAAUUUCAUAACUUUAAAAUUAUGACAACAGUGGUAACAAACAAAAACUCCAGAGGCAUCUACAUAAAAUUCCCCACAAGUUUUGUAUACAAUUUAUAAUUAAAUUCUAAUAUCUAAUUAGCCCAAAACAGUCCACAAGAUGAACCCUGUAAUCUGUUUUUUUGUCUUUUGGACAGCGACAUACCCGGAUUCAAACAGCGAUAUCUUUUAAAAUAUAAUUCCAAAUCAAGCGCAUAAGUACUCAUUAGAAAGAUAAGACAAAGCCCUACAUGAUUAUCAUACUGGUUAACACUAAUUACCCACGAAAAAUUCACAGAAACUGCUAAUACUACUGCUAUUCACCCACCUGAAAAAUCUGUUUUUUUUUACAGCAACAUAACCGGAUUCAAACAACGAUAUCUCCUAAAAUAUAACUCCGAAUCGAGCGCAUAAGUACUUGUUGGAAAGGUAUGACAAAGAUCUAUAUGAUUCUCAUAUUGAUUAUCACUAAUUUCCCACGAAAAAAUCCCCAGAAACUGCUAAUACUACUGCUGUUCAUUCACCUGAAAAUCUGUUUUUUUGGACAGCAACAUAACCGGAUUCAAACAACGAUAUCUCCUAAAUUAUAACUCCGAAUCGAGCGCAUAAGUACUCGUUGGAAAGGUAUGACAAAGAUCUACAUGAUUCUCAUAUUGAUUAUCACUAAUUUCCCACGAAAAAUCCCCAGAAACUGCUAAUACUACUGCUGUUCGCCCUCCCACAAAAAUCUGGACAGCACCUAUACCGAUUCGCAUAGGUAAACAUGUAAACAAUUGGAUUGCAGCACAAAUACUAAAAAGAAUGAUCUUAAAAUCACCUUGGGUUCCUCCUUUCCUCCUUCCAUUCUUCCUUCUUCCUCCCUCCAAACUCCAAUGGAAGACUCGCACCCACACGACGGGGUACCAAGCGGGGAGGAUGCACCAUGGAGAGGAGGAGGGGGGGCGGCUAGGGUUGAGGGGUGGUGCUGCAAUCACUUGGGGGAGAAAGAGAGGGAGAGAGAGGGGGGGUGGCGGCCACAAAGGGGAAUAGGGAAGGGGGGGCGGCUGCAACCAAAGGGGAAUAGGGGAGGGGGCGGCUAGGGUUAAGGGGGGAGAACUAAUGGGCUCCCCACCGCCGGAUCGAGAUCCACGGCCCAAACUCGCUCUCACGACCGUUCCCGAUCCCAGGGCACCAGUCCAACAAGAAUUCUACUGUUUUACUAGUGAAUGCUUCCUAAAAGUUCCAAUCCCCUGUAGCACAGGACCCGAAAGAGAAAACAAGGAAAAAAAGAAUAAUCUUCAAUUUCUCUUCCUUUUGGAAAUUGGGUAUCACACCGGUGGUGCACCGGACUGUCCGGUGCGCCAGGCGAUAGAAGGCAAGAUUUGCCUUCCUGGAAUGCUCUCAAUGGCUCCUAGCUGCCUUAUGGCUAUAAAAGGGACCCCUAGGCGCAUGGAGGAGAAGACCAAGCAUCCCUUGAGCAUUGUUGAUCACUCACACUUCAUUCUUGCGCACUUGUUCGACAUUCUUAGUGAUUUGAGCUCCGUUCUAGUGAGAACCUCGUGAUAUUCUUUUGAGCUCAAGUCUGGGUCUUGUGUGUGCGUAUUUGCUGUGAUUUUGUGUCUCGUGUGAGUUGCUCAUCCCUCCCUUACUCCGUGCUUCUUUGUGAACAUCAAAGUGUAAGGGCGAGAGGCUCCAAGUUGUGGAGAUUCCUCGCGAGCAGGAUAUAGUAAACAAAGCAAAACACUAUGGUAUUCAAGUGGGUCUUUGGACCGCUUGAGAGGGGUUGAUUGCAACCCUCGUCCGUUGGGAUGCCACAACGUGGAGUAGGCAAGUUUUGUACUUGGCCGAACCACGGGAUAAACCAUUGUGUCUAUCUGUGUUGAUCCUCUUGUGGUUGUGGUGUUUUGCAAGAACUCCUCUCUAGCCACUUGGCCUUAUUGUGCUAACGCUUAAUCAAGUUUUUGUGGCUUUAAGUUUAAGUUUUUACAGGAUCACCUAUUCACCCCCCUCUAGGUGCUCUCAAUUGGUAUCAGAGUCGUUCUCUUCACGAAGGGACUAAUCGCCCGAAGAGAUGGAUCCUAAGGGCAAGGGGAUUGUGAUCAAUGAUAAGGAGAAGGAGUCCGUCGUCAACGAGCCGAAAGAUGACAAGCAUACUGACUCGGGCUCGGGCCACAAAAGAAAAGACGGGAAGAAGAAGAAAACUAGGCGCAUCAAGGAGAUAGUCUACUACGACAGCGACGAAUCUUCCUCUUCCCAAAAGGACGACGACAAUGACUACGAGAAAAAGAAAACGGUCAAUUUGAACUUUUCUUUCGAUUACUCUCGUAUUCCGCAAAGUACAAAUGCUCAUUUGCUCUCCAUUCCACUUAGUAAACCUCCUCACUUUGAUGGAGAGGACUACAGAUUUUGGAGCCACAAAAUGCGUAGUCACUUGUUCUCUCUCCAUCCAAGCAUAUGGGAGAUAGUCGAAAGUGGAAUGAAAUUUGAUAGUACUGAUAGUCCCAUGUUUAUAAAUGAGCAAAUUCACAAAAAUGCACAAGCUACUACUGUUCUUCUAGCCUCAUUGUGCAGGGAUGAAUAUCAUAAAGUGAGCGGCUUGGACAACGCCAAGCAGAUUUGGGACACCCUCAAGAUCUCACAUGAGGGAAAUGACGUCACCAUGCUCACCAAGAUGGAGUUGGUGGAGGGCAAACUUGGGAGAUUCGCGAUGAUCAGGGGCGAGGAGCCAACCCAAACAUACAACCAGCUCAAGACCCUCAUCAACAUAAUAAGGAGCUAUGGAAGCACGCGAUGGACGGACCACGACGUCGUCCGCCUAAUGCUAAGGUCUUUUACUGUCCUUGAUCCACAUCUUGUGAACAAUAUUCGUGAGAAUCCUAGGUACACCAAGAUGACGCCCGAGGAGGUACUUGGAAAGUUCGUAAGCGGGCGGAUGAUGAUCAAGGAGGCUAGAUACGUUGAUGAUGCGUUGAAUGGCCCAAUCCAAGAGCCUCAAACCAUUGCUCUCAAAGCAACGAGGAGCAAGGAGGCGCUACCUAGCAAGGUGGCGCAAGUGGAGGCGGCCGGGCUUAAUGAUGAAGAAAUGGCCCUCAUCAUCAAGCGUUUCAAGACGACGCUAAAGGGUCGCAAGGAGCAUCCCAAUAAGACCAAGACAAAGGGGAAGCGAUCAUGCUUCAAAUGUGGUAAGAUUGGUCAUUUUAUCGCUAAUUGUCCCGAUAAUGUGAGUGACCAGGAACAAGGGAACAAGAGAGAAAAGAAGAAGGCAUACAAGAAGGCUAAGGGUGAGGCACACCUUGGCAAGGAGUGGGACUCGGAUUGUUCGUCGUCCGACUCCGACAACGAAGGACUCGACGCAACCGCCUUCAACAAGUCAUCCCUCUUCCCAAACGAGCAUCACACUUGCCUCAUGGCAAGAGAAAAGAUGGUAAGCACUCGUGAUACUAGUACUUACGCUUCCUCAAGUGAUGAAAAAUCUAGCGAUGAUGAAAUAGACUAUUCAUGCUUAUUCAAGGGCUUAGAUAGAACUAAAGUUGAUAAGAUUAAUGAAUUGAUUGAUGCCUUGAAUGAUAAGAAUAGAUUAUUAGAGAAGCAAGAGGACCUUUUAUAUGAAGAACAUGAUAAGUUUGUAGAGGCUCAAAAAUCCCUUGCUUUAGAAAUUAAACGGAAUGAAAUGCUUUCUUGUGAAUUGUCUACAUGCCAUGACUCUAUUUCUAGCUUAAAGUGCAUAAAUGAUGAUUUGAAUGCUAAGUUAGAAAUAGCUAAUAAAUCAACAUCUUGUGUAGAACAUGUUAUAAUUUGCAAUAGGUGUAAAGAUUUUAAUGUUGAUGCUUGUAGUGAACACUUAGUCUCAAUUUCUAAAUUGAACGAUGAAUUGGCUAGUCUUAAUGCCCAACUUAAGACUAGCAAGAGUGAAUUUGACAAACUAAAAUUUGCAAGGGAUGCCUACAUGGUUGGUAGACACCCCUCAAUUAAGGAUGGUCUUGGCUUCAAGAGGGAAGUCAAGAACUUAACAAGCCAUAAGGCUUCCGUCUUCGCCAAGGAGAAAGGGAAGGCCCCUAUGGCUAGUAGUGCUAAAAAGAAUCAUGCUUUCAUGUACCAUGAUAGGAGACAUUCUAGAAAUGCGUAUAGAAGUUAUGAUGCUGUUGAUUCUCAUGCCAUGUUUGCUUCUAGUUCUUCUAUUAUGCAUGAUAGAAAUUUAGCUAGAAAAAAUGCUAUGCCUAGAAGAAAUAUUGUUCACGUUCCUAGGAAAGUAAACAAUGAACCUUCUACAAUUUUUCAUACUUGCAAUGCUUCCUUUGCUAUUUGUAGAAAGGAUAAGAAGGUAAUUGCUAGGAAGUUAGGGGCAAGAUGCAAGAGAGAUAAAACUUGCAUUUGGGUCCCUAAGACCAUUGUGACUAACCUUGUAGGACCCAACAAGAGUUGGGUACCUAAAACCCAAGCCUAAAUUUGCCUUGCAGGUUUAUGCAUCCGGGGGUACAAGCUGGAUUAUCGAUAGCGGAUGCACAAACCACAUGAUGGGGGAGAAGAAGAUGUUCACCUCCUACGUCAAGAACAAGGAUUCCCAAGAUUCAAUCAUUUUCGGUGAUGGGAACCAAGGCAAGGUGAAAGGGUUAGGAAAGAUUGCUAUUUCAUCCGAGCACUUCAUUUCUAAUGUGUUUUUAGUUGAGUCGCUUGGAUAUAAUUUGUUAUCUGUAAGUCAACUUUGUAAUAUGGGAUAUAUGCUUGUUCACAAAUAUAGAUGUGUCUGUCUUUAGAAGAUGUGAUGGUUCACUAGCCUUUAAGGGUGUACUAGACGGCAAACUUUAUUUAGUUGAUUUUGCAAAAGAGGAGGCCAGUCUAGAUGCAUGCUUAAUUGCUAAGACUUGCAUGGACUGGCUGUGGCAUCGCCGUCUAGCACAUGUGGGGAUGAAGAACCUUCACAAACUUCUAAAGGGAGAACACGUGAUAGGUCUAACUAAUGUGCAUUUCGAAAAAGAUAGACCUUAUGCAGCUUGUCAAGCAGGUAAACAAGUGGGAAGUGCUCAUCACAUCAAGAACGUGAUGACUACAUCAAGACCUCUGGAGCUACUGCAUAUGGACCUCUUCGGACCCGUCGCCUACCUAAGCAUCGGGGGAAGUAAGUAUGGUUUAGUAAUUGUUGAUGAUUUUUCUCGCUUCACUUGGGUAUUCUUUUUGCAGGAUAAAUCUGAAACCCAAGGGUCCCUCAAGCGCUUCCUAAGGAGAGCUCAAAAUGAGUUUGAGCUCAAGGUGAAGAAGAUAAGGAGCGACAACGGGUCCGAGUUCAAGAACCUUCAAGUGGAGGAGUACCUUGAGGAGGAAGGGAUCAAGCACGAGUUCUCCACUCCCUACACACCACAGCAAAAUGGUGUGGUAGAGAGGAAGAACAGGACGCUCAUAGACAUGGCGAGGACGAUGCUUGGAGAGUUCAAGACCCCCGAGCGAUUUUGGUCGGAAGCCGUGAAUACGGCUUGCCACGCCAUCAACCGGGUCUACCUUCACCGCCUCCUCAAGAAGACUUCAUAUGAGCUUCUAACCAGUAACAAACCCAAUGUGUCUUACUUUCGUGUAUUUGGGAGAAAAUGUUACAUUCUAGUAAAGAAAGGUAGAAAUUCUAAGUUUGCUCCCAAAGCUGUAGAAGGGUUUUUAUUAGGUUAUGACUCAAAUACAAAGGCGUAUAGAGUCUUCAACAAAUCAUCGGGUUUGGUUGAAGUCUCUAGCGACGUUGUAUUUGAUGAGACUAAUGGCUCUCCAAGAGAGCAAGUUGUUGAUCUUGAUGAUGUAGAUGAAGGCGACGUUCCAGCGGCCGCAACACGCACCAUGGCGAUUGGCGAUGUGCGACCACAGGAACUCGAGGAGCAAGAUCAACCGUCUUCCUCAACAAUGGUGCAUCCCCCAACUCAAGACGAUGAACAUGUUCAUCAAGAAGAGGCGUGUGAUCAAGGGGGAGCACAAGAUGAUCAUGUGAUGGAGGAAGAAGCACAACUGGCACCUCCAACCCAAGUUCGAGCGACGAUUCAAAGGAAUCAUCCCGUCGACCAAAUUUUGGGUGACAUUAGCAAGGGAGUAACUACUCGUUCUAGAUUAGUUAAUUUUUGUGAGCAUUACUCCUUUGUCUCUUCUAUUGAGCCUUUCAGGGUAGAAGAGGCCUUGCUAGAUCCGGACUGGGUGUUGGCCAUGCAGAAAGAGCUCAACAAUUUCAAAAGAAAUGAAGUUUGGACACUAGUGCCGCGUCCCAAGCAAAAUGUUGUGGGAACCAAGUGGGUGUUUCGCAACAAACAGGACGAGCACGGGGUGGUGACAAGGAACAAGGCUCGAAUUGUGGCAAAAGGUUAUGCCCAAGUCGCAAGUUUGGACUUUGAGGAGACUUUUGCUCCUGUGGCUAGGCUAGAGUCCAUUCGUAUUUUGCUAGCAUAUGCCGCUCACCAUUCUUUCAGAUUGUUCCAAAUGGACGUGAAGAGCGCUUUCCUCAACGGGCCAAUCAAGGAGGAGGUGUACGUGGAGCAACCCCUAGCUUCGAUGAUGAACGGUACCCCGACCACAUAUGUAAGCUUUAUAAGGCGCUCUAUGGACUUAAGCAAGCCCCAAGAGCAUGGUAUGAAUGCCUUAGAGACUUUUUAAUUGCUAAUGCUUUCAAGGUUGGGAAAGCCGAUCCGACUUUAUUCACUAAGACUUGUGAUGGUGACUUAUUUGUGUGCCAAAUUUAUGUCGAUGACAUAAUAUUUGGUUCUACUAACCAAAAGUCUUGUGAAGAGUUUAGCAGGGUGAUGACGCUGAAAUUCGAGAUGUUGAUGAUGGGCGAGUUGAACUACUUCCUUGGGUUCCAAGUGAAGCAACUCAAGGACGGCACCUUCAUCUACCAAACGAAGUACACGCAAGACUUGCUAAAGCGAUUUGGGAUGAAGGACGCCAAGCCCGCAAAGACUCCGAUGGGAACUGACGGACACGUCGACCUCAACAAAGGAGGUAAGUCCGUUGAUCAAAAAGCAUACCGGUCCAUGAUAGGUUCUUUGCUUUAUUUAUGCGCUAGUAGACCGGAUAUUAUGCUUAGUGUAUGCAUGUGUGCUAGAUUUCAAUCUGAUCCAAGGGAGUGUCACUUAGUGGCUGUGAAGCGAAUUCUUAGAUAUUUAGUCGCUACGCCUUGCUUCGGGAUCUGGUAUCCAAAGGGGUCUACCUUUGACUUAAUUGGAUAUUCAGACUCCGACUAUGCUGGAUGUAAGGUCGAUAGGAAGAGUACAUCAGGGACGUGCCAAUUCUUAGGAAGGUCCCUGGUGUCGUGGAGCUCUAAGAAACAAACCUCUGUUGCCCUAUCCACUGCUGAGGCCGAGUAUGUUGCCGCAGGACAGUGUUGCGCGCAACUACUUUGGAUGAGGCAAACCCUUCGGGACUUUGGCUACAAUCUGAGCAAAGACCCACUCCUAUGUGAUAAUGAGAGUGCUAUCCGCAUAGCGGAUAAUCCUGUUGAGCACAGCCAGACAAAGCACAUUGACAUCCGGCAUCACUUUUUGAGAGACCACCAGCAAAAGGGAGAUAUCGAAGUGUUUUAUAUUAGCACCGAGAACCAGCUAGCCGAUCUCUUUACCAAGCCGUUAGAUGAGAAGACCUUUUGUAGGCUGCGUAGUGAGCUAAAUGUCUUAGAUUCGCGGAACAUGGAUUGAUUUAUAGCUUACAUGUGUUUAUGCCUUUGAUCAUGUUCCUUAUGAAUUUUGUUGUUUACUUAUGGUGCUCAAGUUGUACAAACACUCCCCGGACCUCACAAGUCCAUUUGCAUGUGAUGCACAUAUUUAGGUGGAGACGUGCUACAACUUGACCCUUUGAGACUAACCAUGUGCUUGAGUUUUCUUAAUUUAGUCUCAAAGGAGGUUUGAAAGGGAAAAGGUGGACUUGGACCAUGCAAGACUUCCAAUGCACUCCGAUGAGAGGGUAGCUUAUUCCAAGUUCAUCUUCAUGCUCUUAUUGCCUUGGUACUCUUACUUGAAGAUUUUGGUGAGGCAAUGGGGUUUAAAGGGCCAAAAUUGAUCCCGUUUUGGUGCUUGAUGCCAAAGGGGGAGAAAAUAAGGCCAAAGCAAUAAAUGGAUCAGCUACCACUUGAGAAUUUUGAAAAUAGUAGAAUAGAGCUUUUGGUUUGUCAAAACUCUUUUGUUGUCUCUUUUGUCAAAAGUUGGCCUCUUGUGGGAAGAAUAGUUGAUUAUGGGAAAAAGGGGGAGUUUUUGAAAUCUUUGAUCAAUUUCUCUUGGAACAACUCUCUUUAUGUCUCUACAAUUGUGUUUGAAUUAGAGAUAGGAAAUUGAGUUUGAUUUGCAAAAACAAACCAAGUGGUGGCAAAGAAUGAUCCAUAUAUGCCAAUUUUGAAUCAAAACAAUAAUGAGUUCUCAUUUGUAUUGAUGUUGCACUUCUUUUAGUUGCUUUUUGUUGUGUUGGCAUAAAUAACCAAAAAGGGGGAGAUUGAAAGGGAAAUGUGCCCUUGGGCCAUUUCUAAGUAUUUUGGUGAUUGAGUGCCAACACAAGUGCUUAAUUGUUAAUCUAUGCCAAUUGAUGGACAAAGUGCAAAUCAAGAGUAAAGGUAUGUUUCUAAGACUUAGUACAUUGUUUUGAGAACUAAUGUAUUGUGUCUAAGUGCUGGAAACAAGAGAAAUCAAUUUGGAGAUGACUUGGCUCUUUCAGCCAAAGUCUGCUCAGUCUGGGUGCACCGGACAGUGUCCGGUGCGCCAGGCUGGCUCUGGCGAACUUGCUGCUCUCGGGACUUCGACGGCGGUGUACGGCUAUAAAUCACCGGACUGUCCGGUGGUGCACCGGAAUGUCCGGUGAGCCAUUCACACGCGAAGUCGUCGCUCUCGGGAAGUGAUUAACGGCGUACGGCUAUAAAUCACCGGACUGUCCGGUGGUGCACUGGACUGUCCGGUGAGCCAACGGUCAGCCAGGCCAACGGUCGGCCAGGGAUUCCGCGCGUGACGCGUGGCCGAGCCAAUGGUCACAAUGGGGCACCGGACUGUCCGGUGUGCACCGGACAGUGUCCGGUGCGCCAACGGCUCUACAUCUGCAACGGUCGGCUUCACCAAAUAAGGAAAGAAAUCCGCACCGAACAGUGUCCGGUGGUGCACCGGACUGUCCGGUGCGCCAGGCGACAGAAGGCAAGAUUUGCCUUCCUGGAAUGCUCUCAACGGCUCCUAGCUGCCUUGGGGCUAUAAAAGGGACCCCUAGGCGCAUGGAGGAGAAGACCAAGCAUCCCUUGAGCAUUGUUGAUCACUCACACUUCAUUCUUGCGCACUUGUUCGACAUUCUUAGUGAUUUGAGCUCCGUUCUAGUGAGAACCUCGUGUUAUUCUUUUGAGCUCAAGUCUGGGUCUUGUGUGUGCGUAUUUGCUGUGAUUUUGUGUCUCGUGUGCGUUGCUCAUCCCUCCCUUACUCUGUGCUUCUUUGUGAACAUCAAAGUGUAAGGGCGAGAGGCUCCAAGUUAUGGAGAUUCCUCGCGAGCGGGAUAUAGUAAACAAAGCAAAACACUGUGGUAUUCAAGUGGGUCUUUGGACCGCUUGAGAGGGGUUGAUUGCAACCCUCGUCCGUUGGGACGCCACAACGUGGAGUAGGCAAGUUUUGUACUUGGCCGAACCACGGGAUAAACUACUGUGUCUAUCUGUGUUGAUCCUCUUGUGGUUGUUGUGUUUUGCAAGAACUCCUCUCUAGCCACUUGGCCUUAUUGUGCUAAUGCUUAAUCAAGUUUUUGUGGCUUUAAGUUUAAGUUUUUACAGGAUCACCUAUUCACCCCCCCUCUAGGUGCUCUCAGUGACACAGGGACCUACUCCGGGGAACUAGACCGGGCUAAAUCGGCCAGACACCGCGCGAGCACGGUGGACCACCGUGACCGAGCACCGGCGAAGGCGCAAUUGGCCGAGCACAGGGCGCAAUAAGGGAAAUUGGGCACGGGGACGGGUGUCUCACCUCGGGGUGGAGCUCGGGGAGGCUUGGAGCAGUCUCUAGUGAGCUGGAUGGCCGGGAACACGGGCGCGGGUCUCCGGCGGCGGCUGGCGGCGUGGGCAGAGCGCGAGAGAGGGUGAAGCAGCGCGAAAUGAGGUGAGGGGUGUGCACGGGGCACUUGCGGGGCUCUAAGAAGGGAGAUGGGCGCGUAGGCGGGCGUCGUGGCCGAGAAAUCUGGUGACGUGCGCGAGUGCACACGCGCUGGUCCACGGCGAGUGCGGAGGGGGCGGAACAGACAGGUAGGGUCCACGGCGCAGAGAGAGAAGAAAGGGGCGUGCGGGGCAACGGCUCGGCGACUAGCGGACCAGGCCCGCGAGACAAAGAGAGAGAGGGAGCGCGCGCGCGCAGAAAACUGGCGCCAACAGGCUGGCCCCACUGGGCAGCGAGCGAGGGAGGGAGGGCACGCGUGAGGGAGAACUGCCGCUGACAGGCGGGGUCCGCCUGUCAGACGGCGCGGGCGCGCGGCCUGGCUGGGCCGACUGGGCUGGUUUGGGCUGCUUUCUCCUUUCUUUUUCUUUGAAUUUUCUAAUUCCUUUUUCAUUUCUUUUUCUAUUGGGUUUUUCAAAUCCAAAUUCAAACUAGGUUUCAAAUUCAAAUAAAUUCAAACUUGUGCAACACUUCAAAGAAUAUUUUAAACUCAGCAUGAUGCAACAUGUCAUGACUCAUAAGGUUUUGGCAAAAAUAAAUAAUUAACCUCCACUAGUUUAGGCUAUCUCUAAUCAAAAAGGAAAAAAGGGAGAAUGAAUCUAGAGAGAGAGAAAACCUAGAGUGAGAAAAAGAAGAGUAACCCAUGAUUUUGGGUGAUAAUUAGAAAGAAAUUUUAUACCCCCAAAAUCAGGGUGUUACACUAGCCAUUCACCUCGGCAGUGUUUAUGGGUCUGAUCAACCCAGACUAGAUUGGAUACAUGGCUUGUGGGUAAAGUUGUACCACCUUUGCAGGGUGUAAAACUGAUAUGUCAGCCGUGCUCACGGUUAAGAGCAACCUGGACCCUCACAUGAUAAUUGAACUUAAAGAUGGAAAAUAAAUCAUGAUCUGAGGAUCUACCAGUGGUUUGCUUAAGUGAUUUCACUUAAGUGUUUUUGAUACAAUCUUAUGCCUUUGAUUAAUUGUGAAAUUUGGGAUACACACUUAUUAGUAAGACAGGUGUUGCUAGUAAAAUAUUGACCAACUAAAAUGCUUACCGCUUAUCUAUAGCCUACCUUGUUAACUUGCAUUAAUUUCUCCCACUUGCUGAGCCCCAACCAUAAGUGAGCUCACCCUUGCUAAUAUUUUGAUCAGAGGGUGAUGACGAAGACUUCGCAGAUGACGUUGAUGAGUUUUGAAUCUAACGAUGCGCCAGUCACCUUCCUAUGGAAGAGUGUCCAUGUUUAGUUUCGUCAUACUUUGAUUAUGAUACUUGUUAAGAUACAAUGUUCUGGAUGAUGUAAUAAAGUUACUCUACUCUCUUUACGCCUUUAUUGCAUUGUCUUUUGAUAUAUUACACUUGUGACAUCAACAUAUGUGUGGAAAAUGGAUCCUGGCUCACAAAUGCUAUGCGUUCGGUUUUGCCCCUAGAACCGGGUGUGACAGAAGUGGUAUCAAAGCUAUGCUGACUCUAGGUCGUUAGACUAGUUAGAAAUAGAAAGCCUAGUCUGUUCAAAACAUGCUAAUUUUGUUCUUACAAAAUUAUUUUAUUAACCUUACCUCUUUAAACAUCAACUAAGUUGACAUUUUCUCUUAUAGAUGGUUCGUACGAUUCAAACCACUCGAAUCAACACCAACUACAUCCCUCCGGCACGCCAAGUUCCUGUCUACCCAGUGGUAGUUGAGGAAAUCCUUGUGAAUCUCCCUCACAUUCGUGUGGUGAACAGAGUCAUUCUGGAGGACAGCUCGGAGGAGUUUCUGCAAUAUCCCAAAAAAAUGUUGACCAAAAGUUAAUCUCUGGUGCGUGGAUGAGGUAAAUGGUUGUGGGCCAUUGGAUGCAAAGAUAGAAGUCAUCUGAGGCGUCGUUUCUUUCUCCCACAAAAACCCUAGGUGGCCACCCCUUUUUUUUCCCUUCACCCCCCCUCUUGGCCGCCACCCCCUUUUCUCCCCCUUGGCUGGACGCCCCCUCCCCCUAUGGCAGCCAUCAUCCAUUGCUUCCUCCCCCAAGAUCUCCCCCUACGCAGCAAGGAUCGAGAAAAGGAGGGGCACGUUGAAUUGAAGAGGAAGAGAGGAUCAAGGAGAUGUUCUUCCCCAUCUCUUCUUGAAGAUUUCUUGGGGAAACCCUAGGUAUGGAUGAGAUCCUUGUUCCUCCCUGUAAUUAUAGGCUUUUGGAGGUUGUGGAUCAUGGGAAUUAAAGGAUUAGAGGUUGGAUUUGAUGUGGGGUUAGGUUUUGAUCCCGAAUUUAGUUUUCUGCAGAAUGGCAGAUUCGACAGUUUCUGUUCAUGCCAGUUUUCCGUGGUCUUAGUGGCCUCAAAAAAAUGAAAAGUCUAUGUAUGAGUCGUAGAUGAUUUGUAGAUCUUUCCGUGGCCGCGAAGAACACCUCAAUCGGACAUCCGACCAGAAAGUUAUUGCAGUUUUACUAUAGCAGUUUUUCAGUCUCAUAAUUCUGUGCAGAAUCUGUUCUCUUAAGAUUUAGGAAAUUUUAUCAACAGAAUUAAACUGUGGGUUGGUAAAAGAAGUUGUAGAUAAUUUCAUAAGCUUUCCAGAUUGUUAAAGAGUGCAUUCAUAUGAUUUGUGAAACUCCAGUUAUGUUUGUUUUACUGUGGCUGUUUCUGUUUACCUGACAAAAAUGAGUGGGUCUGUUCACUGGUGGGUUUCAUCUAGUAAAUGGCCGAAUUGGCUCUUCCAACUAUGGAGACUUUUGUAGAGGAAUAAAAGUUCUUACUUCCAGCAGAAUUUCAUAAUUUUUGGUUCAGUAGUUUGGGAGAUAUCGAAUUUUAAAGUUAACCAUACUGCUGUCUAAAACAGAUUCAGUCAGUUAUCUUGUCAGAUGUUUUAGAACUUGUAGAUGGCAGAAUUUAAUUAUCUAUUGAAUACUGAAGUUGUAGAGUAUUUUGUGUAGAUACUCCUAGAGUAUUUGUUUGAUAUCACCGCUGUUUUAAUUUUAAAGAUACAAAAUUAACAAACAGCGUUGCUGCUGUAUGGCAUGUGGUUCAGGGUGGGAGUCUUUCCACUGGGUCUUGGUUUCAAGUGUAGGAGUGUUUUGUUGAUUGAUGGCAAAUGUUUGUGAAAUAUUUGUACUAAGUUUUAUGCCCACUAGCAGGUGGCUACACUCCAGAUCAUGUCUAGUACAUUUCUUCUUCUUCAAUGAAGGCAAGUGAAUGUAGCGGUGGUUGCUUCCGUUCUGACCUGUUAUUUCUAUUGCCUACACUCUAAUAUUCAGAAGUAUCAGAUUCUUUCAUAAUUGGACUCUAUGGUGAUGCUUUACUUGCUUGCAUUAUAUUGAUGCUCAAUCAUAUAUUGAUGAUGAUUAUGAUUUGAGUAUGACUCACGAGAUUAAUUCACAUAUCUGAAGGUAAAUGAAGUAUUAUUUGAGGUUGGUAUUGUAUCUGAAGAUAAAUGAAGUAUUAUUUGAGGUUUGUGUUGUAUCUGAAGGAAGUGAAGUUUAUUGAUAAAUGUAGCAUGCCAUAUACAUUGCAUGACUCAUUUGCAUAUGAAGUUUUGUCGUGACCUAUGGUCCGACCGUACCGGUACAACUUAGCAUCGUACGUUGCCCGAGAAGGGGUACGAUGCGGCUUCAUACCCUUAGAGGUAUGAAGGCAGAGGACAUAUGCAUUGCAUUCAUAUGCAUUCAUUGAAGUGAUAUUUGCAGAUGAUGUGGUUUUAUACCCCCAGAGGUAUGAAGAUAGAGUACCUACGCAUUGCAUUCAUAUGCAUUCAUUGAAGUGAUAUUUGCAGAUGAUGUGGUUUUAUACCCCCAGAGGUAUGAAGAUAGAGUACCUACACAUUGCAUUCCUAUGCAUACAUUGAAGUGAUAUUUGCAGGUAUUGUUGACGCAGGGAAGUGUUAUAGAACCUAUUGUGGUUGUUCGAGGAAAUGAGAUGGUAUUGGUUAUAGUGGGACUACUGUGUUCUAUAUCUACAAGUAUUUCUGAUUUUUUAUUGUGUCUCUUUUAAAAUGUUGAUGAAUUCAAUUUGUGGUUUAAAUAUCUCGUCAGAACAAUUAGCUUGCUGAGAUGUUUCAUCUCACUCUUGCAUUACUCAAUGCAGGUGCUUGUUGCUCAUCAAGGGGAGUGGGAAGUAGCAGCACAUCCACCUUCACUCUCAUAAUAAUGCUGCCCAGACACAGCCAUGAUUUAAUUAGAAACUUCUUGUCAAAGGAUGUUUGUUUUUAACUAGUCGUGCGCACUGAUUAAUUUAGUUCAUUGUUGUUAUGGUUGUCUUCCCAUUGCUAGCAGAUUAUUAAUGUCUUAUAUGUUUUCUUAUCAUGAUAUCUAUUUAUACUUUGUUGCUUCCCCCGUUUAUGCAAUUUUCAAAGGAGAUGCUGUCGAAAUUUUAUAUAUGAAUGUUAGAUGUGUAGUUUAGUAGCAUUCUGGGGUGUUUGUGGAUCCCGGGGUGUUACAGUUGGUAUCAAAGCAUAGGCUUUAGAUUCUUGGCAAUUUGAAGAUAAAUUUGACACACUUGCACAUAUAGGAAGGGUAUGGGUUCAAAUAUCUUUGAUAUAUAUUAAUGUCUUUGGAGUGCAGAUGACAAUAGUUUCACCCCUCCCUAUUCCUUUACGGUGAUGUGGUAAGUUGUUUAUGGCUUAAUGCUUGAUAUAAUUUAUUUCUGAAAUUUUGAUAUUGUUUUAUUAAUGCGGUAGAUAUCGCUGGUCAUUGGUGAGAAUGAAGUUGUUAUUAUGCUUGUGAUAUACAAGUAUGCCUAUGUCGUUUUCACCAUGUUUUUCAUGGUUGAGUUUUAUUACAAUAAUAUUGUUAUAUAUGCUUGAUUGUGGAUGUUUCUAAGAGGAGUGUGAAUUGCGUGUUUUGGGGUACAAGGUAAUCAUCAAUUUGAAUUUAAGUUGUUGAGCGGUUGGUGGAUAGCUCCAACUAUCAUUGCAAAGAAUGAUUGUUUAUGUUGAGAAACCAGUUUUGAAAGAAAUGAAUAUUGGUACUUUAUAUGGAUUUUUGGGGGAAGUCUUUUCAUAGCCAGAAUGGCUUACAUGUCUCUCUCAUAUUGUGUGUUCUAGUUGCCACAAAGCCUAGAUGUGGUUUAAAGUGGUUGCCUAUUAGUCAUACUAAUUGUAGAAUAAAUCUUUGAUUCUCUUGAUCCAUUGAUUAUGUAUUGAUACAUUGAGGAUCUGAUGGUUCCCUUUUCGAUGCAUGCUUGUGGAGCCAUUUUUUUAGACCACCUAUCUAUUGGUUUGAAGGAAGUCCUUGCCUAGCCUAGAGUUGGUUGGGUGUGGCUAGUCACCUACUCCUAGAUGAUGUGGUGUUUACAUCAGCUUAAUAUGUUUGUCAAAUGUGUGAAGGAUUAGGGGUUAUUAUUAUUGACUUUGUAUGUCUGGUACUUUGAGUGCAUCGUAUGAUAGAAUGAAAUGUAAGUUUCUGAACUACAGUAGAUGAAGACUUAUAUUAUGUGUAGGUUAUCCUUACUAGUUGGAUAUUUUUCUUAGUUGAGAUGUUGAAUGAAGUAUAGUGACAUGGGUUAAGCAAGUAUUGUGUUGUUGUUGGGCUAUCAGUGCUCUAUGUAGAGUUUUUGGCAUUUCUUCGAUGAACUAUGCCGCACAAGAUGUUAUUGGCUUCUUUUGGCUUUAUUGCUCCAUUAGUUCUAUAGAUUUUCUCCCUUUUGGUGGGGUGUAAGGAAUGUUAGAUUACAUGAUUAUCUUUUCAUGAUGGCAAGAAUAAGGUUUAGAAAGAUUAGGAGUUUUGUUCCAAUAGAACUACUUGUUUCAUGGUGCUUUAAGGUGAGGUGUUUGAUCUUAUUAUACAUUCGUCGGGUGUAGAUGUUUCACCAUUUAAUUAAAAUUAAUGGUUGAAGUUGGUAAGGGUUGUGCUUGGUCCAUAUUACCCCUUCAUAAAAGAGUGUUGUCUUAAGGCAUUGAUGUUGAUGUAUAGCUGCAUCCAAAUUUGAUGGUGUGAAAUUGUAGUGUUGAUUGCAACUAUGACAUGCUUUGAGCUUCAUUACAUGUUGUUUCAUGCUUGAUGUCAGGUCGUGUAGUUUCCUUAGACAAUUAGUCCAAGGUAGAAGUUCUUGUGUUAAUUAAGACCAAUAAUGGAUCCAUGUUUUGAAUUGUGGUGCUAUAUGGGGUACCUUGGGUGUUUUGCUUGGAGUGGCCGAAUUCGAGGUCGAAUUCUUUUUAAGGGGGGUAGAGUGCAAUAUCCCAAAAAAAUGUUGACCAAAAGUUAAUCUCUGGUGCGUGGAUGAGGUAAAUGGUUGUGGGCCAUUGGAUGCAAAGAUAGAAGUCAUCUGAGGCGUCGUUUCUUUCUCCCACAAAAACCCUAGGUGGCCACCCCUUUUUUUCCCUUCACCCCCCCUCUUGGCCGCCACCCCCUUUUCUCCCCCUUGGCUGGACGACCCCUCCCCCUAUGGCAGCCAUCAUCCAUUGCUUCCUCCCCCAAGAUCUCCCCCUACGCAGCAAGGAUCGAGAAAAGGAGGGGCACGUUGAAUUGAAGAGGAAGAGAGGAUCAAGGAGAUGUUCUUCCCCAUCUCUUCUUGAAGAUUUCUUGGGGAAACCCUAGGUAUGGAUGAGAUCCUUGUUCCUCCCUGUAAUUAUAGGCUUUUGGAGGUUGUGGAUCAUGGGAAUUAAAGGAUUAGAGGUUGGAUUUGAUGUGGGGUUAGGUUUUGAUCCCGAAUUUAGUUUUCUGCAGAAUGGCAGAUUCGACAGUUUCUGUUCAUGCCAGUUUUCCGUGGUCUUAGUGGCCUCAAAAAAAUGAAAAGUCUAUGUAUGAGUCGUAGAUGAUUUGUAGAUCUUUCCGUGGCCGCGAAGAACACCUCAAUCGGACAUCCAACCAGAAAGUUAUUGCAGUUUUACUAUAGCAGUUUUUCAGUCUCAUAAUUCUGUGCAGAAUCUGUUCUCUUAAGAUUUAGGAAAUUUUAUCAACAGAAUUAAACUGUGGGUUGGUAAAAGAAGUUGUAGAUGAUUUCAUAAGCUUUCCAGAUUGUUAAAGAGUGCAUUCAUAUGAUUUGUGAAACUCCAGUUAUGUUUGUUUUACUGUGGCUGUUUCUGUUUACCUGACAAAAAUGAGUGGGUCUGUUCACUGGUGGGUUUCAUCUAGUAAAUGGCCGAAUUGGCUCUUCCAACUAUGGAGACUUUUGUAGAGGAAUAAAAGUUCUUACUUCCAGCAGAAUUUCAUAAUUUUUGGUUCAGUAGUUUGGGAGAUAUCGAAUUUUAAAGUUAACCAUACUGCUGUCUAAAACAGAUUCAGUCAGUUAUCUUGUCAGAUGUUUUAGAACUUGUAGAUGGCAGAAUUUAAUUAUCUAUUGAAUACUGAAGUUGUAGAGUAUUUUGUGUAGAUACUCCUAGAGUAUUUGUUUGAUAUCACCGCUGUUUUAAUUUUAAAGAUACAAAAUUAACAAACAGCGUUGCUGCUGUAUGGCAUGUGGUUCAGGGUGGGAGUCUUUCCACUGGGUCUUGGUUUCAAGUGUAGGAGUGUUUUGUUGAUUGAUGGCAAAUGUUUGUGAAAUAUUUGUACUAAGUUUUAUGCCCACUAGCAGGUGGCUACACUCCAGAUCAUGUCUAGUACAUUUCUUCUUCUUCAAUGAAGGCAAGUGAAUGUAGCGGUGGUUGCUUCCGUUCUGACCUGUUAUUUCUAUUGCCUACACUCUAAUAUUCAGAAGUAUCAGAUUCUUUCAUAAUUGGACUCUAUGGUGAUGCUUUACUUGCUUGCAUUAUACUGAUGCUCAAUCAUAUAUUGAUGAUGAUUAUGAUUUGAGUAUGACUCACGAGAUUAAUUCACAUAUCUGAAGGUAAAUGAAGUAUUAUUUGAGGUUGGUAUUGUAUCUGAAGAUAAAUGAAGUAUUAUUUGAGGUUUGUGUUGUAUCUGAAGGAAGUGAAGUUUAUUGAUAAAUGUAGCAUGCCAUAUACAUUGCAUGACUCAUUUGCAUAUGAAGUUUUGUCGUGACCUAUGGUCCGACCGUACCGGUACAACUUAGCAUCGUACGUUGCCCGAGAAGGGGUACGAUGCGGCUUCAUACCCUUAGAGGUAUGAAGGCAGAGGACAUAUGCAUUGCAUUCAUAUGCAUUCAUUGAAGUGAUAUUUGCAGAUGAUGUGGUUUUAUACCCCCAGAGGUAUGAAGAUAGAGUACCUACGCAUUGCAUUCAUAUGCAUUCAUUGAAGUGAUAUUUGCAGAUGAUGUGGUUUUAUACCCCCAGAGGUAUGAAGAUAGAGUACCUACACAUUGCAUUCCUAUGCAUACAUUGAAGUGAUAUUUGCAGGUAUUGUUGACGCAGGGAAGUGUUAUAGAACCUAUUGUGGUUGUUCGAGGAAAUGAGAUGGUAUUGGUUAUAGUGGGACUACUGUGUUCUAUAUCUACAAGUAUUUCUGAUUUUUUAUUGUGUCUCUUUUAAAAUGUUGAUGAAUUCAAUUUGUGGUUUAAAUAUCUCGUCAGAACAAUUAGCUUGCUGAGAUGUUUCAUCUCACUCUUGCAUUACUCAAUGCAGGUGCUUGUUGCUCAUCAAGGGGAGUGGGAAGUAGCAGCACAUCCACCUUCACUCUCAUAAUAAUGCUGCCCAGACACAGCCAUGAUUUAAUUAGAAACUUCUUGUCAAAGGAUGUUUGUUUUUAACUAGUCGUGCGCACUGAUUAAUUUAGUUCAUUGUUGUUAUGGUUGUCUUCCCAUUGCUAGCAGAUUAUUAAUGUCUUAUAUGUUUUCUUAUCAUGAUAUCUAUUUAUACUUUGUUGCUUCCCCCGUUUAUGCAAUUUUCAAAGGAGAUGCUGUCGAAAUUUUAUAUAUGAAUGUUAGAUGUGUAGUUUAGUAGCAUUCUGGGGUGUUUGUGGAUCCCGGGGUGUUACAGUUUCUGCCUAUGCCCACCCCGUUGGUAGAAUCACUAGCCUUCGCAGCUGGAUCGUCAGCUUCAGCACUGCCAGCACUAGCAGUCCAAGCCCCUGCUCCUGGAGGCAACGACCCGGACGACUCUGGUGACGACGAUGAUGACAAAGAAGAAGAAGUAGAAGAAGAAGAAGAGGAGAACAUCAACGAUGAAGCCAACGAUGAAUAGCAGGACCACUACGUGGGGUUAUGGCCUGUCACUGAACAUUACACAUCAAUGUCCGAGACAGGGCACUUCCCUAACCUGCUGCAGGAUGUUCUGCACUCGUUGGGUACCGACGUCCGACUCCUGUAUGAGACAAGGCGAGUGUACGAGCUUCCUCGGGCUUGCUACUAUAUCACUCACAUUCAUGUCUGGGUGAUGGAUGCAGGUGAUAGAGGGUUCAGGACUCUAUCAGCACAUGAGUCUCUGACGCCGCUAUCCACUUACGCUGCUUCGGUCAGUGACGCUGCUCGGCGAACUCUAUGGUCCCUCAGCCCACCUACCGGUAGCAGCUGUGAGAGCACCUAGAGGGGGGGUGAAUUGGUGAUCCUGUAAAACUUAAAAACUUAUAUCCACAAAAACUUGAUUAGGAGUUAGCACAAUAAUGCCAAGUGGCUAGAGAGGAGUCUUAACAAAACACAAUAACCACAAGAGAUCAACACAGAGAUGGCACAGUGGUUUAUCCCAUGGUUCAGCCAAGACCAACGCUUGCCUACUCCACGUUGUGGUGUCCCAACGGACGAGGAUUGCAAUCAACCCCUCUCAAGCGGUCCAAAGACCCACUUGAAUACCAUGGUGUUUUGCUUUGCUUUUCUAUAUCCCGUUUGCGAGGAAUCUCCACAACUUGGAGUCUCUCGCCCUUACACUUUGAUGAUCACAAAGAAGCACGGAGUAAGGGAGAGAUGAGCAACUCACACAAGACACAAAUAUCACAGCAAAUACGCACACACAAGACCCAGACUUGAGCUCAAGAGACUAUCACGAGUUUCUCACUAGAACGGAGCUCAAAUCACUAAGAAUGUCGAACAAGUGCGCAAGAACGAAGGUACCGUUUGGUUCAAAUAUUUGUAACGUAAUGGGUAAAUGAUUACGUUAAAUCAUGUUUGUUUUAGUCCAACCGUAAUCAGAUACCGUACUAAAAUUUGAUACCGGACUAUUCAAACUUGUUACCGCCCGUAAUCAAGUGUAAACCAUUACCAUUACCCUUUACGUUACAUUUCGUGAACCAAACAGCACCGAAGUGUGAGUGAUCAACUAUGCUCAAAGAAUGCUUGGAUGUCUUCUCCAUGCGCCAAGGGGUCCCUUUUAUAGCCCCAAGGCAGCUAGGAGCCGUUGAGAGCAUUGUAGGAAGGCAAUUCUUGCCUUCUGUCGACUGGCGCACCGGACAGUCCGGUGCACCACCGGACACUGUCCGGUGCACCAGCGGACACUGUCCGGUGCUGAUUUCUUUCCUUCUUUGGUGAAGCCGACCGUUGCAGAUCCAGAGCCGUUGGCGCACCGGACACUGUUCGGUGCACACCGGACAGUCCGGUGCACCAAUGUGACCGUUGGCUCGGCCACGCGUCACGCACGGAAUCCUCGGCCGACCGUUGCCCCGGCUGACUGUUGGCUCACCGGACAGUCCGGUGCCUCACCGGACAGUCCGGUGAAUUAUAGCCGUACGCUGUUGAUGGCUUCCCGAGACCGACGACUUCGCCUGUGAACGGCUCACCGGACAGUCUGGUGCACCACCGGACAGUCCGGUGAUUUAUACCGUACACCGCCGUCGAAGUCCCGAGAGCAGCAAGUUCUCCAGAGCCAGUCUGGCGCACCGGACAGUCCGGUGCACCCAGACUGCGCAGACUUUGGCUGAACAAAGCCAUCUCUUUUCCAAUUCGAUUUCUCCUGUUUCCAGCACUUAGACACAAUACAUUAGUCCAUAAAACAAUGUACUAAGUCUAGAAACAUACCUUUUGACUUGAUUUGCACUUUGUCCACCACUUUGCAUAGAUUAACACAAAAGCACUUGUGUUGGCACUCAAUCACCAAAAUACUUAGAAAUGGCCAAGGGCACAUUUCCCUUUCAAUCUCCCCCUUUUUGGUGAUUUAUGCCAACACAACAUAAAGCAACUAGAACAAGUGCAAUAUCAAUGCAAAUGAAAACUCAAAAUUGUUUUGAUUCAAAUUUGGCAUAUAUGGAUCACUCUUUGCCACCACUUGGUUUGUUUUUGCAAAUCAAACUCAAUUUCCUAUCUCUAAGUCAAACACACUUGUAGAGACAUAAAGAGAGUUGUUCCAAUAGAAAUUGAUCACAUGUAUCAAAAACUCCCCCUAUUUCCCGUAAUCAACCAUUCUCCCCACAAGAGACCAACUUUUGACAAAAAGAGCCAAUAAGAGUAUUUUGACAAAACAAAAGCUCUAUUCUAUUAUUUUCAAAAUUCUCAAGUGGUAGCUGAUCCAUUUAUUGCUUUGGCCUUAUUUUCUUCCCCUUUGGCAUCAAGCACCAAAACGGGAUCAAUCUUGGCCCUUGAACCCCAUUGCCUCACCAAAGUCUUCAAAUAAGAAUACAAAGGCAAUAAGAGUACAUGAGAUAAACUUGGAAUAAGUUACCCUCUCAUCGGAGUGCAGUGGAAGUCUUUCAUGGUCCAAGUCCACCUUUUCCCUUUCAAACCUCCUUUGAGACUAAAUUAAGAAAACUCAAACACAUGGUUAGUCUCAAAGGGUCAAGUUGUAGCACAUCUCCCCCUAAAUAUGUGCAUCACUUGCAAAUGGACUUGUGAGGUCCGGGGAGUACUUGUACAACUUGAGCACCAUAAGUAAACAACAAAAUGCAUAAGGAACAUGAUCAAAGGCAUAAACACAUGUAUGCUAUAAAUCAAUCCAAGUUCCGCGAAUCUAAGACAUUUAGUUCACUACGCAGCCUGCAAAAGGUCUUCUCAUCUAAAGGCUUAGUGAAGAUAUCGGCUAGCUGGUUCUCGGUGCUAACAUAAAACACUUUGAUAUCUCCCUUUUGCUGGUGGUCUCUCAAAAAGUGAUGCCGGAUGUCAAUGUGCUUUGUGGGGCUGUGCUCAACAGGAUUGUCCGCUAUGCGGAUAGCACUCUCAUUGUCACAUAGGAGUGGGACCUUGCUCAGAUUGUAGCCAAAGUCCCGGAGGGUUUGCCUCAUCCAAAGUAGUUGCGUGCAACACUGUCCUGCAGCAACAUACUCGGCCUCAGCGGUGGAUAGGGCAACAGAAGUUUGUUUCUUAGAGUUCCAUGACACCCGGGACCUUCCUAAGAAUUGGCACGUCCCCGAUGUACUCUUCCUAUCGACCUUACAUCCAGCAUAGUCGGAAUCUGAAUAUCCAAUCAAGUCAAAGUUAGACCCCUUUGGAUACCAGAUCCCGAAGCAAGGCGUAGCGACUAAAUAUCUAAUGAUUCGCUUCACAGCCACUAAGUGACACUCCCUUGGAUCGGAUUGAAAUCUAGCACACAUGCAUACGCUAAGCAUAAUAUCCGGUCUACUAGCACAUAAAUAAAGUAAAGACCCUAUCAUGGAUCGGUAUGCGUUUUGAUCAACGGACUUACCUCCUUUGUUGAGGUCGGUGUGUCCGUCAGUUCCCAUCGGCGUCUUUGUGGGCUUGGCGUCCUUCAUCCCAAACCGCUUUAGCAAGUCUUGCGUGUACUUCGUUUGGGAGAUGAAGGUGCCAUCCUUGAGUUGCUUCACUUGGAACCCAAGGAAGUAGUUCAACUCGCCCAUCAUCGACAUCUCGAAUUUAUGCGUCAUCACCCUGCUGAACUCUUCACAAGACUUUUGGUUAGUAGAACCAAAUAUUAUGUCAUCGACAUAAAUUUGGCACACAAAAAGAUCACCAUCGCAAGUCUUAGUGAAAAGAGUUGGAUCGGCUUUCCCAACCUUGAAAGCAUUAGCAAUUAAAAGUCUCUAAGGCAUUCAUACCAUGCUCUUGGGGCUUGCUUAAGUCCAUAGAGCGCCUUAGAGAGCUUACACACGUGGUCGGGAUACCGUUCAUCCUCGAAGCCAGGGGGUUGCUCCACGUACACCUCCUCCUUGAUCGGCCCGUUGAGGAAAGCGCUCUUCACAUCCAUUUGGAACAACCUGAAAGAAUGGUGAGCGGCAUAUGCUAGCAAAAUACGAAUUGAUUCUAGCCUAGCCACAGGAGCGAAAGUCUCCUCAAAGUCCAAACCUGCGACUUGGGCAUAACCUUUUGCCACAAGUCGAGCCUUGUUCCUCGUCACCACCCCGUGCUCGUCCUGUUUGUUGCGGAACACCCACUUGGUUCCCACAACGUUUUGCUUGGGACGAGGCACCAGUGUCCAAACUUCAUUCCUCUUGAAAUUAUUGAGCUCCUCUUGCAUGGCCAAUACCCAGUCCGGAUCUAGCAAGGCCUCUUCUACCCUGAAAGGCUCAAUAGAAGAGACAAAAGAGUAAUGCUCACAAAAAUUCACCAAUCUAGAGCGAGUAGUUACUCCCUUGCUAAUAUCACCCAAUAUUUGGUCGAUGGGAUGAUUCCUUUGAAUCGUCGCUCGAACUUGGGUUGGAGGUGCCUGAGGUGCUUCUUCCUCUUCGACUUGGACAUCCUGUGCUCCCCCUUGAUCACUCCUCCACUUGAGGUACCUGUUUGUCAUCUUGGGUUGGGGGAUUCACCAUCGUUGAGGAAGAAGGUUUAUCUUGCUCUUUUUGCUCCUGAGGCCGCACAUCUCCAAUCGCCAUGGUGCGUAUCGCGGCCGUUGGAACGUCUUCUUCAUCUACAUCAUCAAGAUCAACAACUUGCUCUCUUGGAGAGCCAUUAGUCUCAUCAAAUACAACGUCGCUAGAGACUUCAACCAAACCCGAUGAUUUGUUGAAGACUCUAUACGCCUUUGUAUUUGAGUCAUAACCUAACAAAAACCCUUCUACAGCUUUGGGAGCAAACUUAGAAUUUCUACUUUUCUUCACUAGAAUGUAGCAUUUGCUCCCAAAUACACGAAAGUAAGAUACAUUGGGUUUGUUACCGGUUAGCAGCUCAUACGAAGUCUUCUUGAGGAGGCGGUGAAGGUAGACCCGGUUGAUGGCGUGGCAAGCCGUGUUCAUGGCUUCCGACCAAAAGCGCUCGGGGGUCUUGAACUCUCCAAGCAUCGUCCUCGCCAUAUCGAUGAGCGUCCUGUUCUUCCUCUCUACCACACCAUUUUGUUGUGGUGUGUAGGGAGCGGAGAACUCGUGCUUGAUCCCUUCCUCGUCAAGAUACUCCUCCACUUGAAGGUUCAUGAAUUCGGACCUGUUGUCGCUCCUUAUCUUUUUCACCUUGAGCUCAAACUCAUUUUGAGCUCUCCUUAGGAAGCGCUUGAGGGUCCCUUGGGUUUUAGAUUUAUCCUGCAAAAAGAAUACCCAAGUGAAGCGGGAAAAAUUAUCAACUAUAACAAGACCAUACUUACUUCUUCCUAUACUUAGAUAGGCGACGGGUCCGAAGAGGUCCAUAUGAAGCAUCUCCAAGGGUCUUGAUGUGGUCAUCACAUUUUUUGUGUGAUGAGAGCUUCCCACCUGUUUGCCUGCUUGACAAGCUGCACAAGGUCUAUCUUUUUCGAAAUGCACGUUAGUUAGACCUAUCACGUGUUCUCCCUUUAGAAGCUUGUGAAGGUUCUUCAUCCCCACAUGUGCUAAACGGCGAUGCCACAGCCAGCCCAUGCAAGUCUUAGCAAUUAAGCAUGCAUCUAGACCGGCCUCCUCUUUUGCAAAAUCAACUAAAUAAAGUUUGUCGUCUAGUACACCCUUAAAAGCUAGUGAAUCAUCACACCUUCUAAAGACAGACACAUCUACAUUUGUGAAUAAACAAUUAUAUCCCAUUUUACAAAGUUGACUAACGGAUAACAGAUUAUAUCCAAGCGACUCAACUAAAAACACAUUAGAAAUAGAGUGCUCGGAUGAAAUAGCAAUCUUCCCUAACCCUUUUACCUUGCCUUGGUUCCCAUCACCGAAUAUGAUUGAAUCUUGGGAAUCCUUGUUCUUGACGUAGGAGGUGAACAUCUUCUUCUCCCCCGUCAUUUGGUUUGUGCAUCCGCUGUCGAUAAUCUAGCUUGAACCCCCGGAUGCAUAAACCUGCAAGGCAAAUUUAGGCUUGGGUCUUAGGUACCCAACUCUUGUUGGGUCCUACAAGGUUAGUCACAAUGGUCUUAGGGACCCAAAUGCAAGUUUUAUCUCCCUUGCAUCUUGCCCCUAAUUUCCUAGCAAUUAACUUCUUAUCCUUUCUACAAAUGGCAAAUGAAGCAUUGCAAGCAUGAUAUAUUGUUGAAGGUUCAUUGAUUUUCCUAGGAACAUUAACAACAUUUCUCCUAGGCAUAUGAUGAACAACAUUUCUCCUAGACAAAUCUCUACCAUGCAUAUAGGAAGAACUAGAAGCAAACAUGGCAUGAGAAUCAAAAGCAUCAUAACUUCUAUAGGCAUUCCUAGAAUGUCUCCUAUCAUGAUACAUGAAAGCAUGGUUCUUUUUAGCACUACUAGCCAUAGGGGCCUUCCCUUUCUCCUUGGCGGAGAUGGGAGCCUUAUGGCUUGUUAAGUUCUUGGCUUCCCUCUUGAAGCCAAGUCCAUCCUUAAUUGAGGGGUGUCUACCAAUCGUGUAGGCAUCCCUUGCAAAUUUUAACUUAUCAAAUUCACUCUUGCUAGUCUUAAGUUGGGCAUUAAGACUAGCUAGUUCAUCAUUUAACUUUGCAAUAGACACUAGGUGUUCACUACAAGCAUCAACAUUAAAAUCUUUACACCUAGUGCAAAUCACAACAUGUUCUACACAAGAGUUAGAUCUAUUUGCUACUUCUAGUUUAGCAUUUAAAUCAUUGUUAACAUCUUUCAAACUAGAAAUUGUCUCAUGGCAAGUAGAUAGUUCACAAGAAAGCAUUUCAUUCCUCUUGAUUUCUAAAGCAAGGGAUUUUUGAGCCUCUACAAACUUAUCAUGUUCUUCAUAUAAAAGAUCCUCUUGCUUUUCUAAUAAUCUAUUCUUAUCAUUCAAGGCAUCAAUUAAUUCUUUAAUCUUAUUAACCUUGGUUCUAUCUAGACCCUUGAAUAAACAAGAAUAAUCUAUUUCAUCAUCAUCACUAGACUCAUCCUCACUUGAAGAAGCAUAAGUAGUAUUGUCUCGAGUACAUACCUUCUUCUCCUUCGCCAUUAGGCAUGUGUGACGCUCGUUGGGGAAGAGGGAUGACUUGUUGAAGGCGGUGGCGGCGAGUCCUUCAUUGUCGGAGUCGGAUGACGAACAAUCCGAGUCCCAUUCCUUGCCAAGGUGUGCCUCGCCGGCUCGCCCUUAGCCUUCUUGUAUGCCUUCUUCUUCUCCCUCUUGUUCCCUUGUUCCUGGUCACUAUCAUUAUCGGAACAGUUAGCGAUAAAAUGACCAAUCUUACCACAUUUGAAGCAUGAGCGCUUCCCCUUUGUCUUGGUCUUGCUUGGCUGCCCCUUGCGACCCUUUAGCACCGUCUUGAAGCGCUUGAUGAUGAGGGCCAUCUCUUCAUCAUUGAGCCCUGCCGCCUCAACUUGCGCCACCUUGCUAGGUAGCGCCUCCUUGCUCCUCGUUGCCUUGAGAGCAACGGGUUGAGGCUCAUUGAUUGGACCAUUCAACGUGUCGUCCACGUAUCUCGCCUCCUUGAUCAUCAUUCGCCCGCUUACGAACUUCCCAAGAACUUCUUCGGGCGACAUCUUGGUGUACCUAGGAUUUUCACGAAUAUUGUUCACCAGAUGUGGAUCAAGUACAAUAAAAGACCUUAGCAUUAGGCGAACGACGUCGUGAUCCGUCCAUCACGUGCUUCCGUAGCUCCUUAUCUUGUUGAUGAGGGUCUUGAGCCGGUUGUAUGUUUGGGUUGGCUCCUCUCCCCUUAUCAUUGCAAAUCUCCCAAGCUCGCCCUCCACCAACUCCAUUUUGGUGAGCAUGGUGACGUCGUUCCCCUCAUGUGAGAUCCUGAGGGUGUCCCAGAUUUGCUUGGCAUUGUCCAAGCCGCUCACCUUAUUGUACUCUUCCCUGCACAAAGAUGCUAAAAGGACAGUAGUAGCUUGUGCAUUUUUAUGAAUUUGUUCAUUUAUAAACAUGGGACUAUCCGAGCUAUCAAAUUUCAUUCCACUCUCUACAAUCUCCCAUAUGCUUGGAUGGAGAGAGAACAAGUGACUACGCAUUUUGUGACUCCAAAAUCCGUAGUCCUCCCCAUCAAAGUGUGGAGGUUUGCCAAGAGGAAUGGAAAGCAAAUGUUUAUUUGAGCUAUGCGGAAUACGUGAAUAAUCGAAAGAGAAGUUUGAGUUAACCGUCUUUCUCUUGUCGUAGUCGUUGUCGUCGUUGUCCUUUUGGGAAGAAGUGGACUCGUCGCUGUCGUCGUAGUAGACGAUCUCCUUGAUGCGUCUUGUCUUCUUCUUCCCGUCUUUUCGUUUGUGGCCCGAGCCCGAGUCGGUAGGCUUGUCGUCUUUCGGCUCGUUGACGAAGGACUCCUUCUCUUUAUCAUUGAUCACAAUUCCCUUCCCCUUAGGAUCCAUCUCUUCGGGCGAUUAGUCCCUUUCUUGAAGAGAACGACUCCGAUACCAAUUGAGAGCACCUAGAGGGGGGGGUCAAUAGGUGAUCCUGUAAAACUUAAAAACUUAUAUCCACAAAAACUUGAUUAGGAGUUAGCACAACAAUGCCAAGUGGCUAGAGAGGAGUCUUAACAAAACACAAUAACCACAAGAGAUCAACACAGAGAUGGCACAGUGGUUUAUCCCGUGGUUCAGCCAAGACCAACGCUUGCCUACUCCACGUUGUGGCGUCCCAACGGACGAGGAUUGCAAUCAACCCCUCUCAAGCGGUCCAAAGACCCACUUGAAUACCACGGUGUUUUGCUUUGCUUUUCUAUAUCCCGUUUGCGAGGAAUCUCCACAACUUGGAGUCUCUCGCCCUUACACUUUGAUGAUCACAAAGAAGCACGGAGUAAGGGAGGGAUGAGCAACUCACACAAGACACAAAUAUCAUAGCAAAUACGCACACACAAGACCCAGACUUGAGCUCAAGAGACUAUCACGAGUUUCUCACUAGAACGGAGCUCAAAUCACUAAGAAUGUCGAACAAGUGCGCAAGAACGAAGUGUGAGUGAUCAACUAUGCUCAAAGAAUGCUUGGAUGUCUUCUCCAUGCGCCAAGGGGUCGCUUUUAUAGCCCCAAGGCAGCUAGAAGCCGUUGAGAGCAUUGUAGGAAGGCAAUUCUUGCCUUCUGUCGACUGGCGCACCGGACAGUCCGGUGCACCACCGGACACUGUCCGGUGCUGAUUUCUUUCCUUCUUUGGCGAAGCCGACCGUUGCAGAUCCAGAGCCGUUGGCGCACCGGACACUGUCCGGUGCACCAAUGUGACCGUUGGCUCGGCCACGCGUCACACGCGGAAUCCUCGGCCGACCGUUGCCCCGGCUGACCGUUGGCUCACCGGACAGUCCGGUGCCUCAUCGGACAGUCCGGUGAAUUAUAGCCGUACGUCGUUGAUGGCUUCACGUGACCAACGACUUCGCCUGUGAACGGCUCACCGGACAAUCCGGUGCACCAUCGGACAGUCCGGUGAUUUAUACCGUACACCGCCGUCGAAGUCCCAAGAGCAGCAAGUUCGCCAGAGCCAGCCUGGCGCACCGGACAGUCCGGUGCACCCAGACUGCGCAGACUUUGGCUGAACAAAGCCAUCUCUUUUCCAAUUCGAUUUCUCCUGUUUCCAGCACUUAGACACAAUACAUUAGUCCAUAAAACAAUGUACUAAAUCUAGAAACAUACCUUUUGACUUGAUUUGCACUUUGUCCACCACUUUGCAUAGAUUAACACAAAAGCACUUGCGUUGGCACUCAAUCACCAAAAUACAUAGAAAUAGCCAAGGGCACAUUUCCCUUUCAAGCUGCACAACACGAAGUACAUGCAUCUUCCUCUGCGUAUUCGUGGAGAAAACCAGACCAACAUUGUUCCAGUUGGAGCUAGAGAAGAUCGCCUCAACACCCUAGCUGGUGUGCUGGCAGGUCUUAACACCGACCUAGAUAGUGCUACCCUGGACCUCUCUAGGGUACACUUGGAGAUGGAUGAUGCACACGCAAGGAUCGUAGACCUGAAAGCUUAGCUUGAUGGAAGGAAUCCCCCUGAAGUUCAAGUCCCUGCCAUGGCGUUAUCCCCUCCCCGCAAGAGGAUCCGCUAUGGAGAACCAGGAUCCAUCACCAGGCUGCGUUAGAUUCUUCAAUUAUGUUGUAAUAAGUUAUUUUUCACGUUAGACCAAAAACACCUUUAUAUUACUACACCAUUAAUAAUAACAACCAUGUGAUGGUGUUGUUUGAAAUGAUUGAUUUGGAUUUUUGCUUUAGUGCAAUGGUCUUAUGGAACGAUGGCCAUAAGAGCAUAAAAAAUAAUAAUAAUAAAUUUCACCUUAAUAAUAAGCUAUUUCCCCUAGAAUCUUCUCUACUCCUCACUUACCUCGGGAUUGCACUUUCUAACCAACCACAUGGUGAACACUCGAUUAGGUCCCAAUAACCAUCAGAACUAGUGUGGUCAGCAGUUGCCACCACCACCACCCAACCCCAGUAUGGAUCAAUUCAUCAAAGCGCAGAUGCAACUUCUGCAAGGACUCACAGCUUCGGUGCAGCAGAUUCGACAAAAUCAACAGAACCAACAGUACCAACAACAACAACAUGCACCCCAAGCUAGAGACAAGCACUCGGACUUCAUGAGUCAUCACUCGCCUGCUUUCUCUCAUGCAGUAGACCCUUUGGAUGCCAAUGACUGGCUUAAGGUCAUUGGGAAGAAAUUGGACAUCACCAAGUGCAAUGACCGAGAAAAGGUCUUGUAUGCUUCAGGAAGACUCGAAGGAGCCGCGUCCGAUUGGUGGGAUGCCUUCAUCGUGGCACAUGCCAUAACCUAGCAUGAAUUUUAGGUGAACUUCUAUGCUCACCAUAUUCCCUUGGGAAUAAUGAAGCUCAAGAAAAAGGAGUUCCUUUCCCUCACACAAGGGAACAUGUCCGUUAGUGAGUAUCAUGAUUGCUUCACCCAUCUUUCACGCUACGCCCCAGAAGAAGUGGACACUAACGAGAAGCGCCAAGAACGUUUCUUAGAAGGUUUGAUUGGGCCUUUAAACUAUCAGCUACAGAGCCACAACUUUCCCAACUUUCAGACCUUGCUUAACAAGGCAAUUGGCCUUGAAAGCAAAAGUAAAGAGUUGUCGGAUCACAGGAGAAAGUACCAAGGGCAGACCAGUAGGAAUACCCGUCAAAACAACUCCCAAGGUUCUCAGUUCCGCUCCGGAAAUCAGAGUGGAAACAGCAACUACCAGGUACGGUGCUCUGGACAACAAGGUCAGAGAAGCAACCAAUACCCAAACCAACAGACAAGCAGCACUCAGACCGGUCAAAGGUCUAGUGGUCAACAACAAAAUCGUCAAGGAAGUGUCCCAAACAAACCGGCCAGAAACAACAACACAACUACCCCAGUUCAACCUAAUGGUUGUUUCAAGUGUGGCGAACUUGGCCACUAUGCCAACAACUGCCCAAGGCGUAAUCAACAGACACCCCAAAAGAACACCAACCAGAGGACUGACCAGAACACAUCUCCUCGUGGAUCUGCAAAGAACAAGACUUCACAGAACCAGAGUAGAGGAAGAGUCAAUCUUGUGACAGCGGAAUCGGUUCCUGAGGAUGCCGACAUGGCGUAUGGUAUGUUUCUUAUUAACUCCAUACCUACAUCAGUUUUAUUUGAUUCUGGAGCAUCUCACUCCUUUGUAACAAAGUCAUUCGUGGAAAAACAUAAUAUACCAAACUAUCCCUUGAAGAAGAAACUAUUAAUUCGAUCACCAGGAGGUGAAUUUAGAGCCACACGCUCAUGCCUUCAGACUAAGAUUGAAAUUAGAGGCCUAAGCUUUCUAGUAGAGCUGAUAAUUUUGGAAUCGAUGUGAUACUUGGAAUAGACUACUUGACCAAGUAUGAUGGAAUAAUAUCCUAUGCCAAAAGGAUGGUUUCAUUAACCAGUCCGCAAGGAGAAAGAAUUGAAGUCAAUGUCAGUAUGCCAGCAAUAGCAGAGGUAAUGGUAAAUUAGUUGGAAGAGAAAUCUUUGGAGCACAUCAGAAUAGUGUGUGAAUACCCAGAAGUAUUUCCGGAAGAAUUACCAGGUAUGCCACCUGAUCGUCAUAUAGAGUUUUCUAUUGAACUAUUACCUGGAACCGCACCAAUUUCAAUAAAAGCUUACCGAAUGGAUGUCAAAGAUUUAAUUGAACUGAAGAAACUAAUAGAAGAAUUACUAGAAAAAGGUUUUAUUCGCCCCAGUUUGUCUCCAUGGGGAGCCCCAGUUCUAUUUGUGAAAAAGAAAGAUGGUUUAAGGAGAAUGUGUGUGGACUAUAGAAGCUUGAAUGAAGUAACGAUUAAGAAAAGUAUCCGUUACCUCGGAUUGAAGAUCUGUUUGAUCAGAUGAGAGGAGCUAAAGUAUUCUCAAAGAUAGAUCUAAGAUUAGGAUAUCAUCAGUUGAAUAUUCGAACCGAAGAUAUACCUAAAACAACUUUCACUACAAGAUAUGGACUAUAUGAAUUUUUAGUCAUGUCUUUUGGACUAACUAAUGCACCAGCUUACUUUAUGAACUUGAUGAAUAAAGUAUUCAUGGAAUACCUUGACCAGUUUGUGGUGGUAUUCAUCGACGACAUACUAGUAUACUCUCAUAGUGAAGAAGCACAUGAAGAUCAUCUGAGAUUAGUUCUACAGAAACUUCGUGACAAUCAGUUGUAUGCGAAAUUUUCGAAGUGUGAUUUUUGGUUGAAAGAAGUUGCUUUCCUAGGUCAUAUUACCACCAAUGGAGGAAUCAAGGUAGACCCCAGUAAAAUAAGUGAAAUACUAAAUUGGAAACAACCCACAGAUGUGUCCAAGAUCAGAAGUUUUCUUGAAUUAGCAGGAUACUACAGAAGAUUUAUUGAAGGCUUCUCCAAAAUAGUGAAACCCCUUACUUCACUGUUGGAGAAAGGUAAAGAGUUUAAGUGGGAUGAAGCAUGUCAGAAAUGUUUCGAGGAAUUAAAGGAAAGGCUAACCACUGCACCUGUGUUAAUUAUGCCUGAUAUUCAUAAAGGAUUUGAUGUGUAUUGCGAUGCAUCAGAUCUAGGACUUGGAUGUGUGUUAAUGCAAGAAGGAAAAAUGAUUGCCUAUGCUUCAAGGCAGUUACGGAAGCAUGAAAAGAAUUAUCCUACGCAUUAUUUGGAAUUAGCCAUCGUAGUGCACGCUUUGAAGAUUCAGAGGCACUACAUGAUUGGAAACAAGUGUAAAAUCUUCACAGAUCACAAAAGCUUGAAAUACAUCUUCACACAGAAAGAACUCAACCUAAGACAGAGAAGAUGGCUUGAGUUAAUUAAAUACUAUGAUUUGGAAAUACAAUAUCACCCAGGAAAAGCAAAUAUAGUGGCAGAUGCUUUGAGCCGUAAAGGUCAAGUGAACAGCAUCACUACUCAUUUGAUGUCACAGGAAUUGUGCUAGGAAAUGGAACAACUCAACCUUGGAAUGCUCAAUAAUAUGGAAGCAACAGUUAUGGAAGUUGAGUCUACUUUAGAAGAAGAAAUUCGUAAAGGAUAAGAGUCUGAUGAGAAAAUCAAGGAAAUUAAGACACAAAUUAGUUUGGGAAAAGCCCCAAAUUUCACAGAAGAUGAACAAGACACAGUAUGGUUUAAAAAGAGAAUCUAUGUACCAGAGAUCGAGCACCUACGCCAACUUAUUUUAAGGGAAGUCCAUGAUUCGGCUUAUUCUAUUCACCUUGGAAGUACUAAGAUGUACCAGGAUCUAAAGGAAAAGUAUUGGUGGUACGGUUUGAAAAGAGAUGUGGCUACUCAUGUUGCACUAUGUGACGUGUGUCAAGAGUUAAAGCCAAACACCAAAGACCAACAGGAUUGCUACAACCUCUCAAGGUACCGGAAUGGAAAUGGGAAGAAAUCAGUAUGGAUUUCAUAGUUGGAUUACCCCGUACUCAGGAUGGCUAUGAUUCAAUAUGGGUUAUAGUGGACAAGUUGACUAAAGUGGCACACUUUAUACCUAUGAAGACAACCUACUCGAGAGCCUAGUUAGCAGAGUUAUACAUGUCAAGAAUUGUUUGUCUGCAUGGAGUACCAAAGAAGAUCGUAUCAAAUUGAGGAACCCAAUUUACCUCGCGCUUUUGGAAAAGACUACAUGAGUCCAUGGAUACCAAGCUAAACUUCAGUUCAGCUUAUCAUCCGCAAACGGAUGGGCAAACGGAAAGAACAAACCAAGUGUUGGAAGAUAUGUUAACAGCUUGCGCUCUAAAGCAUGGUAGAAGCUGGGAUAAAAGUUUGCCUUAUGCAGAAUUCCCGUAUAACAAUAGUUAACAGGCAAGUCUAAAAAUGGCACCGUUUGAAGCACUUUAUGGAUGAAAGUGUAGAACACCACUUUAUUGGAAUCAGACUGGAGAAAGUCAAGUAUUUGGCCUAGAAAUUCUCCAAGAAGCAGAAAAGCAAGUAUAGAUUAUCAAAGAGAAUUUGAAAUCAGCACAGUCGAGACAGAAAAGCUAUGCUGAUAAUAGAAGAAGAGAGUUGAUCUUUGAAGUAGGAGACUUUGUAUACCUUAAAAUUUCACCGAUGACAGGCAUGAAAAGAUUUAAGGUUAAGGGUAAACUAUCUCCUCACUACAUUGGCCCGUUCAAAAUUUUGGAAAGAAAAGGUGAAGUAGCAUACCAGUUAGAGCUACCCGAUAGUUUGUCGGAUGUGCAUGACGUAUUUCAUGUGUCACAACUUAAGAAAUGCUUAAGAGUACCUGAAGAACAAUUACCUAUGGAAGAACUCAAUGUUAAGGAGAAUUUGACUUAUUCGGAAUACCCUAUUAGAAUUUUGGAAGCAUUUUGCAGAAUUACAUGGAGUGAAGUUAUCAACAUGUGUAAAGUUAUCAACACCACAAAAACCAUCAACUAAAAAUAAUGCAUUUAGAUUAUUAGUGGUAAAUAUGGUAAUGAAUUUUUUUUCAAGUGUUUGAUUUUUAUUUGCAUUUAGAGUAAUUUUGUUUGCUCAUAUUUGAUUUAUGGAGUAAAAUUUCUUUUAUAUUGAGAAUCCAAUUAAUUAAUAUAGAAGUAUUGGUCCAAAAAUAAAUAUUUUAGUUAUAAAUAAUUUUGGAAUAAUUAUUAUGAUUUUUUUGAAUUAUUUAAUAUGGCGGAACCACCCAAAUUAUUCCAGCUUAAGUGCCCAAGUCACAUCCUUAAAAGUAGCAACACACUUAAACCGGAAUAACCUGUUAGUCCCUCGAAUAUAGUCCGAUAAAGCCACUUACCAAGGAUCGAAUACCACUAGCUCACUCAAAGGUGAGGCACAGAGAAAUGCAAUAAAGCAUAAUACCAUAAAUUAAGAAAGUAUCAUUAGUGAUUACAUUAUCAGAGUUUCAAAAAUAAUAACCAUAAAUUUUAAUGCAGCAGAAAUAACUAACGGAGAAAACGAGUAACAUGGUGAAGCCUGGCCACGCUACUCCUCCUGGUCCUCUCCUGUGGAAGCAGUCACCCACUCGACCGUCUAUCGCGGUGGCGGGGAUGAAGGCCAAGUCACACCAUCAACCAAAUCAAGGAGGUACCUGCAAAAAUUAUGCCACAAGCAAGGCUGAGUAUACUAAUACUUGGCUAGACUUACCCGGUGUGAGGAGUCUACUCCUCUACCUCUAGACCAUGAAGUUGUUUGGCUGAGGGGUUUGUUUCGCCAAAAGCACUAGCUGAGUCUAAAAUCAAGUUUUAUCUUUUCAAGUUCUAGGAUAAUAAUUUAGACUAGAUGAGCACCUGACUAACCAUACAUGGUAUCAAGCAAUUUAGUCAAUCAACAUCUUUUGCCAGUAACCUCAUUUCACUUCUUACUCGAUGCAGCAGCAUGGAUCAAACAGUCUCAUUAGUUGCGAGAAGCAGACGAUUCGAAUAGAGUUUUAACCUUGCAAGGUGAACCUAAACACACGACAUGUAGGGGCACUCCAUCCCCACACACAUCAACCGUCCCCAUCGAUUCCCUAGCAAUAGAAUAGGGCCCACAACCUUGGCAUACAAUGCUUCACUAACCUCGGCUGCCGCCGUACAGUGACCGCACUUGUACCCACCAUCACUAGCAUGGGAGACCACGUCUCAGGUUAGGUGAGGAGAGAAGUCUACGGGCAGGUUCACUCAGGUACUAGGCUUAACAAUUUACCAUAUUUCUUGGCAUGUGUUUGGUACGUUCAAACGCUUGACACACGGUACCACACAUUAAUCCUUAAUCCAAUUUCGUCUCGUAGACAACGCAUCCCCAUGGAUCCAUGUCCACAGACCAUCAUCAUUCUGUUAUCAAAAUGGAUACAACCAAUUCCUGACCUCGCGCGAGUGCUAGAAAAAUCACUCGACUUCUACCGAGAUCCUGAUUUAACAUAGCAGCUACUCGACCUAGCUUACUAGUAUCCAUCUCAAAAGGAAUCCUGAGUUCAUGCAACUAGGGUUUUAGGCAACUCCUACACUUAAGUGCACAGUACAAGCCUACAAAUAUUAAGUGCAGUAAAAUAGCAUAUAUAACGGUUAUGUAUAAAACCGGGGGCUUGCCUAGAAUUCAACACUAGAUAGUGUCUACUAGAGGGUACUCGCUUGGUGAGCAUCCAUUGGUCAUAUCCAUCCUUCUUUGGGUCAUCCACCAACUGCAUCUUGUGGUUGACACCACAUCACUUGCACGAUCAUCAUCUCUCGGUCCUAAAUGAGAUACAGGAUGCAUAUGUAUGAAUAUGAUGAAAGUAGAAAAAGGUAUUCAAAUACACGGUAGCGAACUAAACACCAAUUAGUAAGACACUGCAACAGCUAUACGCAAGCGCUAGUUAUUUAUGUCAUUGGGCACACGUAAACACUACCACUGGAAAGAUGAUGACACUUACUAUACUUAAUCAAUGCAAUCAUGACAUCACAAGUAUGAGCAUUUAUUUAAUUUGCUACGACUUUUCAUUAGUUCUUCUAUUAAUCACACAAAAGCAUCCUAGACAACACAAGUUUAAUAGAGGACAUAGACAUCAAUGUCUAUGGAACUCCUAUAUCACAAUCAACUAGAGAAAGAAACAUAUAAAACAUGUCACACAUUCAUUAUUAAGCUUAUUCAUGGCAAGUCUACAUUAAUCAAGUGCUAACCAAACAUUUUUAGCAAAAUGGGUGAACUAAACAAUCAAAUGUGCGCUUGCAGAUUUUUGGACAGCAACACAACAGUUAUCGUUUUAAUCAUUACUCUUUAAAUAUUAAUAAAAAAGUAGCAAACUAAGACUUUCUAGAAAGCUUAAAAAAUGAACUACAACUUUGGUAUUUUUAUCUCAACAUGAUUCAAUACUUAUCAAGGCCAAAAAGUGCUAACACGACAGCUCUGUCCAGAUUUGGACAGAUUCAGACUUGCGACUUUAAAAUUUAUAACUAGAGAUUCAUGCGCCCAAUCCAGGUGAUCCCAGAUUUAUAGAAAGAUAAUGAAAUUUCCAACAGAACAUUUAUAAACAUCUCAAGGUGAUUCAAUAUGCAAUUAAGGAUAAAAGACACUAGAAGGCUUUGCUGUCCAGAUUUGGACAGAUUCAGACUUCACACUUCAAACACCUAUAACUUAAUCUUCAGACCACCCAAAAGAGUGAUCCAAGACUUUUUGAAAAGCUUAGCAAAAGUAUAACAUAACUUUUAUAAUCACCAAGAAGUGAUUCUAUGUUUAACUAAAUCAAACAAUACAGUUUUCAAAAUCUGUUCUCACAGUGGACAUAACACAACAACCAUUUUGUAAAAUUCAUAACUCUUGAACUAUCAGGCCUAUGGUUAUGAAAUUUUAACACAAGCAAGAUAAUAAAAGCAUCUACAACUUUUGUAUAACUACCAUGAACUGAUUGUAACAUUAACUUAAGAAAGCAAUGCAAUCUCUGAAAUCUGUACAUAAAUUGGACAUAUUCAGGUACUGGACUUGUGAGAAACAUAACCUCUAAACGAUCAAACUUAUGGCUGUCAAAUUUUAACACAAGCAAGAUAAUAAAGUUAUCUAUAACUUUUAUAUAUGACUUUUCUACAGAAAAUAUAAUUUAGUUCAUUAAACAAAUAGCACGGCGAAAAUAGUGUGUGCAGCCCAAAACAACAACUAAUAAAUUUUAGCUCCUAUUUACUUCAAGAAUGACCAUAUUGUAGAGACUUGAAUUACUCUAAGGUGCCGUUUGGUUCAUAUAUUGGUAACGUAAUAGGUAACCGAUAACAUUAAAUCAUGUUUGUUUAAGUCUAACCGUAAUCUAUACCACACUAUAAAUGGAUACCGCCUUAUUCAAAUUUGUUACCACCGAUAUUCAAGUGUGAAUCAUUACCAUUACCAUUUACGUUACAUUUUGUGAACCAAAUGGCACCUAAUACUUUACCAUUUAUUAAAGUUAAAACAAUCAAAGGAGGACCAAUAAGUCGACUUACAAAUUUCAUCCAAGUCAUUUCAUCCGCUAGAAUUACCACACACCAUUAACAACGCCUUCACCACAAUAAUCAUACCCGAUAUAUAUGUAUAUAGAUGCACUCUUCACACAGUAAUUUUGCAUUUUUACUUAGACAUCACAUGAACACUACUACUUUUCACCUGCGACUAUAACCAUGCGCCUUUAGACUACACCAAGCAAAUCAUCGUGACCACGAGCUUAACCAAAGCCAUCUAACAAGUCGGCUAACCAGAGCAACGACAUAGUCCGCUAUACAACAUACAUGUCGGCUUGUCUAUUAUUAUCAAAAUCUGAGACACAACAUACACUACAACAUUUUUAUAAACAUACAUAUUCACACAUAUAUUCUCACAUCGACCAAAUCAUACGAACUGUAAACCACCAAUCUCCAACUCGCAACCACCAUGCACUUACUUCCCAAAUCAUGAACACAUACAUGUUUAUCAUAUUAAUAGAGCAUUUCAAUAAUUAUCCCAAAAUAGCUAACUCCAUUACACAACUUGUAUCAUGAACUGUUGGGGGCCUUCGGCUUCCGAAGGUCCUCAAAAACAUGAUUUAACAAUGUUUCUGGAAGUAUAAUGCAUGAACAGGUACCUUCGAACAUGGACUCUUCGGACGAGUCAAAAUCGUUGUAUGAAGAAACACAAAGAGAACGAAGGAUGGAACAGAGCCGAAGCUGUGCGUAAGGAAGCUUCGGCAUGAUGGCAGAAAAGAGGAAACCGACUUAAAGAGGAAAAGACUAUCUAGACCUCGAUGGAUUACUAUAGAGUUAUUAUCAAAAGCAAAGGACCUGGAUGUAAUUUUACAUGGGCUGCGACCCGUGCCUAUAAAUAGGUGAACAGUACUCCCGUACUGUUCACGCUGACUUGGCAUUCACUUUUGCGUCACACCUGUAUUUUUUCCUUCAAGCCGAAGGUAUAUUUGCAAUAUGUUGUCAUUUCUAUAAUAAUAAAAAUAAAAAGGAGUUAAUAAUAUUUGAAUAUUUAUUUAUGCCAUUUUUCAUACUUUAUAUGAAUCUCUUUUUCAUCAUUUGUUAUACUGAUAAAGGUACGUUCUUCAUAACCUUCGUGCGAAACCCAUUAUGUCCUAAGGGAAAUAAUGCUUUGAGGGACGAAGGACUUUAACAUUUAACGAUUUCUGUGUUGCCUUGUUCUUAAUUCAUAGCAUUUAAGGACAAGUCCCAAACAUGAACCUACUUGAUUACUUGAAGCGUUUACUCGGCGUCUUGAACACAACCCUACACUAGGUGCGAAGUGUAUCUCGAUGAACACAUAAUGUGCAUUGACUCGACUUAUAAACAUAGAGGAGCGAUGACUACUUUAGCAUGUCGCCACCUCUCUAUCUAAGCCAAAACAAUUUCUACCUACACCGACCGAACUUUCGUGUUGAGCACACCUUAUAUUACCUUGUCUCGCAUACAACCAUGUUGCGGCGUGUACUCGAGACACUUCUGUUCAAUUCAACGCAAUCACUACUACAACACACUUCGGCGCACAUGCUUGACAACAUUUAUCAACCAGACGAGUCAAACACCAAACUAAUUAUUCGCAACUCUCGACCUCAAAACCCCAAUCAUAGGUCACAUAAUUUACAUUUUCAACCCAAUCUAACCUACAUCAACGAUGAAUACAUAAAAUAUAAUUAUCAAAGACUAGACUUAUUAGCCGACUGCGGAAGCCACCAAGCAUGCCUUGUGCUUUAUUAAAUUUUCCACAACUAACACACUACCUAACGACGACACCUUUUAAUAAUCCAUCAAUACAUUCGCGACCUAUCCUUGCAACACACAAAAGAACUAUCAUAGCCACACAUCCAUCGAAUCCAACAACAAAAUAACAUAUCAGCUCACCAUAUCAAACCCCGGUCGUGGUCGCUGCUCAGAUGGCGUGAAGACAAACGCACCGUCGAGCACGGGAGACCGAAGUGAAGUCGGAGGAGCACGACGGGAACCGUGGGCGUGGCAAGAGGGAGCACAAGCCACGGAGGGGCUGCUGUGGCUGCCGGUUGGUGCGGCAAAACAGCAAGAACAACGACGUCACGAACAUAGCUUGAGCAUGGUGCAGAGGGGGGCUGCGCCAGCGAGGUUGACGACCAGUUAGGUAGCUCGUCGAGCACCUAGCGGAGCGCGUCACUGCGCGGGACAGCAGGGGAAAACUCGGCUGUAAGGGCCGGCUAUGGAAUGGACAAGGAGAUGGAGCUUGAUGAUGCGUGCAUAGCGAAGUUUGCCGAGCGCGUGCUACAGGGAACGGCGACGUCCAGAUGGGGCUGCGCAACACAUCGAGCACCCGGCGGGCAUCACGGCUUGCUGUCCAUUGCGCAGCACCCCACCUAGACAUUUCGCCGAAUGCUUGGCACACGCGCAGUGGUGGCAAUGAGACGAAGCAAGGGAAAGUCCCCGGGGCUGCAAGGGAAUCCCGGCGGCGAGGGGAUGCGCUGUCCCGGCUUGCUGCACCCUUGGGACAUUUUGUCGAACGACUUACAAGCACGGCGGCUUAUGGGCUUCAGGUAGCAGCACAAGGAGGAAGGGGCGAGCUGCUACAAUGGAGGAAGGUUGUCGACCAUGGGGAAGAUGCAGGGGUGAGCUCACCAGCUGCUGCUGCUCUAUGGUUUGGGCAGAGACGAGGAAGAGAGGAGGGGAGCAGUGGGCAUUUGCUGCUGCAACAGGGAGAAAGGAGGGAGGGAGGGGGCGAGCACCACCAUUGGAGAGGGAGGGAGCUCAGCCACCAUUGUUGUGCUUGAGGAUGAAGAAGGGGGAGGAGGGGAGGGCGCCAUGGACAGGGAAGAAGUUUCCCGCGCCAUGAACAGAGAGGUGGGAGAGUUGUGUGUGAGAGGAAAAAUGGGAGAGGAGAGAGUGGCGGCUAGGGGUGGGAAAUGGAAAAUUUCCAAGCUGAAACAUAUUUAUAGCAGGUAAUUAGGGUUAGCUUUUUAGUGGGCUGGGCUGGGCUGGCACAAAACACUUAAUCGGGUUGCGCUAAUUAUUUCCAUUUUAUUUUAUGUCGUUCGAUUAAACACGGAUUAUCUGAACACUAAUUAUUACCCUCGUACAUAAUUUAGUCUGAUAACACGCACAACCUGGGUCAUGAACUUCAAGCGCAUUCUAAAUAUGACAUUAUAUUUUUAUUUUUCGAUGAGAGUUCAAUUUAGAUAGCGAUUAAAUCGGCUUUGGUUUUUUUUGCGGAGAAGGCGAAUCGUGACAUUUUAAAAUCGCUGUCGGAGUGGGUUUUGAAUUUGGUUCAGACACAAAGAUACUAGGAUGAGUCGAGUAAGAAUUAAUUAGAGGACGACAUACUGAGUAUUCUGUUUGAGAGUACGGAUCCGGAUAAAAUAGCCAAACAUAGAUCAAAGUUCGAGAAAUUGGACUGGGGCUCAGAUCAAAUAACAGCCGUCGAGAGUUUGAUUAAAUGAGCUUUGGAUGAGAUUUACAAGUCAAGAAUGAUUUUUGAGUUUGCAUUCGUCUCGAGAAAUAAAAGUUUUAACAGGCUCCAAAUUUGGCCUCACUCUCUCGAGAUCGAAUAAAAUUAGAGAUCGGUGAAACCUUCACACGUAACUUGAUAAAAGGAGAUAGAUACGAUCGAGAAAUAGAAAUUUUUACUAAGCUUCCGAGAUUAGGAUAAAUCUCCCGACAUAACACAAAAUAGACACCUGAGGUGUCACAUUUAAAAAUAUAUUUAUUUAUAUUUUUAAAUAGAAAAGAAAAGAAAAAAACUGAAAACCCUAAACCUAACAGGCCAUUUCGGCCCAUCAAGCCCAUCAACCGCUGCUGCCCCUAUUCCCUCCCCCUCUCUCACCGACCAGUGGGGCCCACCCGUGGCCCCUCUCCUUCGUCUCCCUCCCGCGCCCGGCCGAGCCACGCCACGCCAGCUCCUCGACGUCUGCGCCCGUCCGUUUCCCCGAACCGGAAUCCGCCAGCCUCGUUUCCCUCUCUCCCUCCCCCACUUCCCUCUCCUUCAAGCUGGCAACGGCCAAGUUAUUGGCCGCCUCCAUUGAUGGCGUUGAUGGUCGACCGUCUCUCUCUCCCCCCUCGGCUCUCCCUCUCCUCCCCUCUCUCUAUAAAACCCGCUCGAGCUGCCUCCUCUCUCCCUACCCGAGCUCUCUCCCUCACUCCUUGUGCUCUCUCUCCCUCGCCGAACCGCCGACCACCGGAGCCUCGCCGUCAGCGCCCGCUCGCUGUCGAGCCUCGCCAUACGCGCCUCGCCCCGCCUAGGCCACGCUCAUUCCCUACCCGACCAAGACCACCGUGCCCUGCUACCCUGCUCGCCGAGCUCCAUCCGUGCGCGUGAGCAAGAGCUCAUGGUAGAAGAAGCACAUUUUGCAUUUUAAUCCCUGCAUGUAAAUAAAAUUAAUUCCGAGAUUUUCAGUUCAGAAACUAUUGAAAAGAGACCCCGAUGUAUAUGCUAAAUCGUGAACUAGCCCCUGCAAUAAUAUUUUGACACGAGUAUUAUUUUAUUUUUCAAAAACAAAUAAUGUCACUAUUCACUAACUUGGUGAUUUAAAUAUUAGAAAUGUUCACGAUUAACUUCGCUUUAGCACAUGGAACAAUAUUUGUUAGUAGUAAUUUAAGUAUUUUAUUGAUAUAAGAAUGUAGAAGAAAUACUAGGCCACGUAUUUUUGGUCAGAUUAAAAAUAUAGGUUUUACUAGUCAUGAUUAAUGUAUUCAUAUGUAUAGCACUUAAUUACUUAGAAUUAGUAAAAUAUUUCUUUAUGUCAAAAUCAUCAUGAUUAUAUUACUAAAGUCCAAUUAGUAGUCUACAUUAACUCUUGGAAUAUUAAUGUUAGGUGAUUUAGAAAUAAACAUUUUUAGCUAUACGUAAAAUUUCUAUCUAGAAAGAAAAGGAUAAAACCCAAAAGUCUAUUAUUAGUAAUAAAAACAAUUAUUUUCCGUAAAGUUUGUUAAGUCAUUUUUAUUUACAUUAUACUAGAUAAACUAGCGUCAUAGUCACCUACUCAUAUUUCCACCAAUGAUAACUCAAAGUAGAAGCCAUAGUGGAUUAAUAAGUAUUUAUGCUUUGGACGUAUUUAUGAGUAUAGUUGUGUGAUGUAUGAAUGUAUAUAUAAUGGUGAAUGAUUACCCAUGUAAUGGUGUAUGUUUAUUUAUUUGGCGUACGUAUUCUUUUGUAUGUAUGAUACGCAAAUCGAUGCUAGAAGUUGACUAUGAGGUAGACGAACCAAACACGUUCGAUGACGACCCAUAGGACACUUUCGAGCAAGGCAAGUGGAUUCUCCCUCUGCAUUUCUAUUUGUACCGAAAUAAUGCAUACAAUAAUGUUUACUUUUGGAUAUAUAUUGCAUAAUUUGAUGGGAUUUUCCUAAAUAAGGAUUUCCUAGAAUUACCAACCCUAUUCCUUGAAUUACCCUGGGAUAAAUGCUAUGCUUAGCAAUUUUUGCUAUUGCUCAACUUGAUAAAUAUGUUGUCACUCUUUUAAAUGAUACUAUGUUUCGGAAAUGAAGUUUUAUUAUGAGGUUAACCCGAUGGCUAAACAAGAACAUUUUGUGUUAAAUGGAACAUGGAGUGACCACCUAGGAUAACAGUGUAACCACAAGUGCUAUAAUGGCUCUGACUUUGGUAAUUAGCUCUAUAGACUUAGUGCUUAGCAACCCUACCUAAAAGAUGGGCAAGAGGGGUGGCAGUGGUUUGGUGGCAGCUCAUGUUAACAUGGGUUGGUAGUCUUGGCUAAGUUACCUCACCCAAAGAGCCAUCAAUACUGACGUGGAAACCUUAGCAGGUGACUUUGUACUAAGUAUAUUUUGUGAAGGCCUCAUAAUGGAUCCCUAGCCAUUCACCUCGGCAAUGUUUAUGGGUCCGAUCAACCUAGGAUAGAUGGGAUACAUGGCUUGUGGGUAAAGUUGUACCACCUCUGCAGAGUGUAAAACUGAUAUGUCAACCGUGCUCACGGUUAAGAGCAACCUGGACCCUCACAUGAUAAUUGAACUUAAAGAUGGAAAAUAAAUCGUGAUAUGAGGAUCUACCAGUGGUUUGCUUAAGUGAUUACACUUAAGUGUUUUUGAUACAAUCUUAUGCCUUUGAUUAAUUGGGAUAUUUGGGAUACACACUUAUUAGUAAGACAGGUGUUGCUAAUAAAAUAUUGACCAACUAAAAUGCUUACCGCUUAUCCAUAGCCUACCUUGUUAACAUGCAUUAAUUUCCCCCACUUGCUGAGCCCCGACCAUAAGUGAGCUCACCCUUGCUAAUAUUUUGAUCAGAUGGUGAUGACGGGGACUUCGCAGAUGACAUUAAUGAGUUUUGAGUGUAACGAUGCGCCAGUCACCUUCCUGUGGAAGAGUGUCCAUGUUUAGUUCUGCCAUACUUUGAUUAUGAUACUUGUUAAGAUACAAUGUUUUGGAUGAUGUAAUAAAGUUACUCUACUCUCUUUACGCCUUUAUUGCAUUGUCUUUUGAUAUAUUACACUUGCGACGUCAACAUAUGUGUGGAAAAUGGAUCCUGGCCCACGUAUUCUAUGCAUUCGGUUUUGCCCCCAGAACUAGGUGUGGCAAUAUGUUGAGUUAUUUCAAAGAUAGAAGCAGUACAAACGUUAAUUUCAAACAAAAAUGGAACACGAAUUGGAUAAGUACUUCAAAUCAUAUGGCGUGUUUCCUGUGAUUCCAUGCAACGACUGAUUCAAAUUCCAUAUUUCUUGAGUUGUAGGAAUCAUCGUACAACUAAGAGGGAUCCACAAAGGUAACGGUGUUGGCAAAGCUCAAGUUUCUCUGUUUCAAAAGCUUAUUUCAAAAAAACAAAUCUUUGGACCUUUCGUGCGAGUCCAACUGGUUCGAGGUUUUGUUGUUGGACUUCCUCUCUGGUCAAAGGCACUUGAACAUACCCUCAGGCGUAGGUCAACUCGCCCAAGCCAGUGGAGCUCUCUGCUCAAAACGGGUUGAACUGACCCUAGGGUGGUUCAACCGAGUUUUCACCAUAGACCUCUUUGCUCAAACCCAGUUGAGUCGGCCCCUUUGGAGUUGUUCAACCACUAUCUCAGCAGUUGGUCAUUUUGCCAAACCUUGUAGCACAGUCUGGCAGCUGUAUUGCAAAGGAGGUUGAACCGGCCAGCUAGUGGCGGCUCAACUAUCCCUCGGUCAGAGGACCAUUCUGCAAAGUCCUGCUAAAUAGGCAGUUGAAUGGGCCCUUAGGGGCGGUUCAACCAGGGUAGGAUGAUUGAACUCCCCAAUUGAGUUGGCUUGUUGAACCAAGUUUAGUUUUGCUAAAAACUAGUUCAAUUGGCUUUGGGGUGUAGUUCAACCGCAUUUCACGCAAAAAGUUCGAACAGUCAACCCCAUUUGAGAGGCCCCUAUAUAUACACUCUCCUCUCUCUCUCCCCCCUCAUUUACUCCGGCUAACCAACACAUUCAUUGUUCACCAAACUUGAGACAAAAAGCUCUAACUUUUCUCUCACACCCCAACUCUCUCCCUCGUCGAUGUUUGAGGCUAAAACCAGUUCAAUUGAUUGAAGGAGCCUUGGUGUGAGGUUUGAGUUCUUUGAUUUCAGACAUGGUUUUUGAUCUCCCUCCUCUUUAUCCAUCCCUUGAGCUUGUUGCAAACACUCUCUUGUGUGGGUUUGUUACUCUUUGAACCUCGUGUUCCAUGACGGUUGAGGUUGCUUAGGAGUCUCUGAAUUUGUGGACAACCCGAAGAAGUUUGUAUCACAUGCUCUUUGAGCAAGUUUGAGAAAGUGGUUGCAUUGACCUUGUUGGUCGGCCUGUGAAGGGCUAGGGCUGGAAAAGACCGGGCCGUAUGUGGGCUGCUCAACAGGGAUUAGGGCACCUUUGUGGUGUGUCCGAACCUCGGCAUAAAUCUCGUGUAUUUGUGUUGUUGCUUUGUUCAUGCGCUGCACUUUAUCUUUGUCAAGAAAGACAUCGAGCGAUUCGUUGUGUGUGUGUGUGGAUUUUCACUUAGAUUAUGCCCUGUUUUUUCGAUUCAAAGAAUCUCUCAUUAUACUUCAUGUUGUUCUUAGCUAGAUCUAUUCUCUCAACUGGACUAGUUCAACAGCCCCUAGUAGCGUUUCAACUGGCCUACACUAAACUAUUGAUUUGACAUCAUUUCCAAGUUUUUGGUGAAUUUUUUAGGUGUAGCCUAUUUACCCCCUUCUAGGCUACUUUCAAUGGUGAAAAUAGUGAAGUUUUAUAUGGAGCUCACCGGGUGUUCACUGUAAUGUCUGAAUCAAAAUCGCCACAUUCUAUCACAAGCCAUUCCCACCAAGAUAAAAGUGUAGCACUAAUAAAUCCAUGAGAUAAUAUUUGUAAAAUAGCAUCAUUUAGUCCAAUGUUGGUUAUGGAACCAAUUCCUAUAAUUAUGAAACCCAUGUGAGAUGCAGAGGAGUAGGCUAUUCUUUUUUUAAAAAAAAAUCAAUGACCAAGAGAGGUUGAAACUGCAUAGAUUAUUUGCACUGCUCCUAUUAUUACCAACCAAGGGGAAAAUAAACAAUGAGCAUGUGGUAACAAUUCCAUAUUGAACCUUAUCAAUCCAUAUCCUCCCAUUUUAAUAGAAUGUUGGCUAAAAGCAUACAUGUACUGUAAUGUGCUUCCCGAUGGGUAUCUGGUAACCAAGUAUGUUAAGCUAUUAUCGUCAAUUUGAUACCAUAAGGAAUAAGGAAACCAAAAUACAAAGCCGUUUUCGUGGAUUUUGACUUAGAUUUAUUAUUGCACAGACUUAGAGUAGCUCAUAGAAAAAGUUUGAUUCUAUUUAGAACAUGUUCAAUUAGUUAACAAUUUUUUGCUUAAUUUCAAGUACUUUUUCCUUUAACAAAUAAAUAACAUAAUAGAAGUAAUAAAAUAAUUAAUUUGUUGUGCUGGUUUUGGGAUUGUAUGAAUUCCAUUGAUCCCAAACACCUAAGUUGAUCCAUGGCAUAUGCAUAAUGUUGUCUAGAACCCUACUUAACAUGAUUAGCGAAAUAAUUAGGGUUUUAUCGGAAAUCAAAUGCAACUUUACUGUGAAGGAAAGUUGUACUCAAGGUUUUGUUGUUUUAGAUUAUUUAUCUUGCACCUAUGUUCAUUCCAUCAUCACAUCAUGAUCAUAUCUUGCAACUUUACUGUUGGGGGCCUUCGGCUUACGAAGGUCCUCAAAAACAGGAUUUAACAGUAUUUCUGGAGUUUAAUGUGUGAACAGGUAUCUUCGGACUCAAGUCGGUAUCACAGCAGACCAGAAUAAUACGAAGGUUGAUACAGCGCCGAAGGUGUGAGCAGGAAAGCUUCGGCAUGAUAGCAACAAAAUGAAACCGACUUAAAGAUGAAAAGGCUAUUCAGACCUCGAUAGAUUACAAUAGAAUUAUUAUCAAAUGUAAAGGGCAUGAAUGUAAUUUUGCAUAGGUUGUGACCUGUGCCUAUAAAUAGGAGAACAGUACCCCCGUACUGUUCACGCUGAUUUGGCAUUCACUUUUGCGUCACGCUUGUACUUUCAUCUCCUUCAAGUUGAAGGUACAUUUGUAAUUCGAUGUUAUUUCUGUUUAUAUAUGAUAAUAAUAUAUAAUAUUUAAUAAUAUUUAAUUAUCUAUGUUAUCCUUUAUAUUUCUUACAAUUCAUUCUUCGUCUUUGUAUAAUGUAUUUAUGAAGGUACGCCCUUCAUAACCUUCGCCCGAAAACCAUUAUAUCCUAAGGGGAAUAAUGCUUCGAAGGACGAAGAACUUUACCGGUUAACAUUUUCUAUGUUGCCUUGUUCUUGACUUUUAGCAUUUGAGAACAAGUCCCCAACAUUGGCGCCCACCUCCGGUGAACUCACUUCCACUCUUUGAGUUUUUUUUGAACACCUUCGGCGAUCAUAAACCUUCGUUAUGGCGCCGAAGAAGGCUUCAGCGACUGGGGCUGCAGCUCUGCAACCGCUGGACCACAAUCAGGAGACAGUCUCCCUUCGGGAGGCCCGAAGCCAGAAAAGGAAGGCUGUCAGCCCGACACCACCAGAGGACGAGAUAGAUCAAGAAAUCAGAGAUAUGGAGAUGCUUCAUCAACAGGUGCAAAGGAAGAAAGAAAAGAUGGCCAGGCUAGCUGAACUGCAGAGGCAGAUAGAUGAAGCCUCUGAAGAAGUUCGUCAUCUUGCCCAGGAUGAGCAACACCGAAGGCCUCAGCACCAAGACCUUCAUCAGGAGGGUUUUCCCAACGAAGAUGACUGGUAUGACAAUUUCCAUCAUGGGAAUUUUGUUUUUGAUGAUGCUUCUCCUCUGUCCGCUGAGCUGCAGGCUACACCUUGGCCUCCGUCCUACAAGCCGCCUCAGCUUCCCGUAUUCGAUGGCCACUCAGACCCGAAGCAGUUUUUGAUGAGCUACGAAGCGACAGUAUCUUCAUAUGGUGGCAAUGCUGCAGUCAUGGCCAAAUCUUUUGUUAUGGCUGUCAGGAGUGUCGCUCAAACCUGGUAUUCCUCCCUUCGACCAGGAACAAUCACUUCAUGGCAGAAGCUGAAGGACUUGUUGUUAACUAGCUUCCAAGGGUUUCAGACGAAGCCGGUUACUGCUCAAGCUCUGUUCCAGUGCACCCAGGAUCACGAAGAAUACCUUCAGGCGUAUGUCCGAAGGUUCUUGCGUUUGAGGGCACAGGCACCAACGGUGCCCAAUGAAAUUGUCAUUGAGGCCAUGAUCAAGGGGCUUCGGCCAGGACCGUCAGCUCAGUAUUUCGCUAGGAAGCCUCCUCAAACUUUGGAGAAGCUGCUCCAGAAGAUGGACGAGUACAUUCGGGCCGAUAAUGAUUUUCGCCAAAGAAGGGAGGAGGCUUUCAGGUUUUCUGAAAUGACCAGGGGCUUCGGAGGGAGGUUCUACCCGAGGCAUGUUAGAUCAAUUUAUAACUCUACACAAAAUGAUGAUAGAGGGAGCCAACAGCAAAGGCCACAAUGUUCCUCACAGGCUUCGGGGCAACAGCAAGGCUCCUUCCGACCACCAGCUCCAAGAGGCAGAGGCGCCAGGGGCUUCGGAGGAAGAUUUGGCGAUCAACCGAGAAGAAUCUUUUGCUUAUUCUGUGGUGAGAACAAAGGUCAUACCACCAGGAUGUGCCAUGUUACCAUCCAGAAGCAAAAAGAAAUAGCCGAAGCGGCAGCACAACAGGCUCAGCCGAAGCAGGUCAUGCACACUGCUUCGUAUCAUUCGCCUUACAUCCCAGAGUAUGUAGGCAAUCAUCCUGCAGUUUCUGUUGCUUCGGCGAGUCAACCUCAGGCUUCCUGGCAACAACCUUCGCCUCCACCACCGCUGCAACAAGGUCAGCAGCCAGAAGGGAGCCAAUAUGCUCCACACCAAAGGGACUUCAGAGAACAGUCCGAAGCUCGCACAGUCAACAGCACUGUGCCAGAGUCAAAGCACAUCUAUUGACAAAUAUCCUACCUUAAUUGCAAUCUUUUUCAUUCAGUUUUAUUUUCUGUAAUAAAGGACAUUGUUCAGGUUUCAUGUAAAUAGUUUCGUUGAUUCCCACAAGGAAAAUAUAUUUUCUUCACAGGCUUAAAUUGGUGAAAGACUUGUGAUAACAAAGAGGACCUUCGAACUAUCAAAAAUUCUUCGAAGCAACAAAAAGUCGUUCUAAGGAACGCAGAGUAAGUUUGCCGAAGUCACAAAAAAGUCGUUGCAAAGGGAGCGCAGUGUAAGUUUUCUGCUCCAAAGUCGUUCCAAAGGGAAUGCAGAGCAUACAGCGAAAAGUCAACACUGAUACCGCCUAAGUAAAAGGCGAAGCGCGAAAAGUCAACGCGAAUACCGCUGAAAGUAAAAGGCGAAGAAGCUCCUAAGGGAGGCUUACAGCGAAAAAUAAACGCUGAUUCCGCUGAAGUAAAAGGCGAAGAAGCUCCUAAGGGAGGCUUAUAGUAAAAAGACAAUGCUGAUUCAAAAGAUUAUGUGUUUUGUCGCAGGAAUGUGUGUAUCUUCGGAAUAAACACCAUCUUACACAGCAUAACAUCAUCGCAUCAUUUCGCAUAGCAUAAGCAUCAUACAUCAUGUUGCAUAUGGCACAAGAGGUGGACAUUAUAUUAAUCUACAGAAGAACGUUUUGAAAAAAGGGAAAAAUCAUAAUGUCACAAGGAGAUACAUUAUUGAUCUUUGGAAGUAUAGCUUCGGAAAGUAUCUUCACGAAGCCUGGACAUUCCUCUUCACGAAGCAUGAAAAGAAGGGAAGGUGUUUUUUCGUCAAAGACUCAAAAGCGGUACGUGUAAAGUUUCAUGCAUCGUAAAGAAUUGAGCAAUAAAAACGGGUAUAUUACAUUCAGGAUUACAAAAUGUUACAAUAUAUUACAUUUCAGAAGUUUAAUUUACAAUAGUAUUUAAUCUUCUCUCAGAACAACUUCUGCAGCUUCAUUCAGGAGCCGAUUGACGACUUCGUCCAUAAUGGCUUCAGCCAUCUUUUUAAUUUCGUCGUCUCCUUUCGGCUGAGGGCCCGGAGACGCUUUAGCAGGAUCUGAAGAAGGACAGGAUACGGCUACAUUGCUAUUACAAAUGGCAAACGAAGCUUAAAACCAAAAAUUACAACACAAUAAAAACUAUUAGUUAAUACCUAAUUGACCUUCGGGCUCAGCGCUCUUUUCAGCAGCCUCAGCCACUUCUCUAGCAUCGUGAAUGCCCUUUUCACUUUUUUGAAUAAUUUCUCCGGCCAUUUCUCGGCCACCAUUAUCCCAGAUAUCAGUGAAAAAUUUUCCACCGAUCAUGCUAGCUUCGGCCGAAGGAUCUCUUGCAUCUUCAAAGGACAAAGCAGCUUCGGAUUGUGCUAAAAUUUUUACAUGUUCGCAGCCCUUCUUCUCUAAAAUGGUGGCAAUUCCUCUGGCACCAGAGAAAGCACAUAUAUCUCCACGGCUAUUUAAAAUUUCUUCGAAGGCCUCAGCUUCGUGGUCGAUCCAUUCGAUGGGACCUUCGGGAUUGCCUCUCGUAAAGUUUUCUUCGCUUGAGAAGGCGCCGACCCUGGCGAAGCUAGCUUUUAACUUCUUAACACACUCUAUAGAUUUGUUAUAGCAUCUCUUCUUGGACGAACGAAGCUCUUCAACAGUUACUUCUAAGUGAUCUGCCCAUUGGUCGCUGAGUUCUCGCCUUGUUUCUUCAAGUAUGCGUUCUUCUUUGGCUCUGGCCAGUUGUUUCCGAAGAUCUUCAAUUUCGCGCUUCUGAGCUUCAGCUUGACCCUUAAAAGCAGCUUCGUCUUCCUUUAUUUUAUUUAUCAAUGAGUGUAAUAUUUUAUCUUUUUCGAGGCCUUCGUUCCUCAGUUCAAUUACUUCAGAACGAAGGUUGCUCAGGGCUAUAGCACACCCUUCGUCUUCAGCAUCUUUCUGUGCCCUGAGGGCAUUGCUAAGUAUCAGGCCCUGCAAAGAGAAAUAUGUGUGUGUCAAUAGAUUUAAACAAACGAAAAAUUUUGGUCUCAACAAAAAAUACAAGGAUCCCAUUUGUCGCACCUUUAAGCUAUUAUAGGCCAGGCUGUCGGCCAGAUCGUUCUUCGACAGCACCGAGAGCCCGUCUUCUAAAGUUGGGAAUCCGAAGCUCUUGCUCAUCUCCCGGCAGACAGAAAUCUCCUUGCUGUCAGGGAGACAAUACAAAAAGUCUUCUUCUCCACUACCAUUGAAUAUUAACGCCCCUUUUGGAUACUUCAGUUUUUGGGCGUAGCGCUGGGCCUCUUGCUCUUCUUUUUCUGAUAGUUUUUCCCCGAAGCAUGACGAACAAUAUAAUCAUGAACUUUAGAGGAUGCUUCGGGGGCAACGACACCGAUUUCUUCAACAAAAGUUGGCUUUAUUAUUUUUUCUUCCUCAGUUUCCAAGGAUUUUAUCUUUACGGGCUCUGAGGACCCAGCUUCGGCUUCAGUUUCUUGCUCUGGAGCUUUUGUAUCAGAAAUUUCAGUUGUUGUUUCAGGAGCGGCAGCAGCCUUCUUCGGAGGUGUGCUUGAAGAUUUGAUUGUUUCCAGUACAUCUAGCACAUUAGCCAUUCUCUUUCUUUUCGGAGUCACUGCUGGCACUUUUUGAUUUUUUACUGUCUUAACAUUUGCUGCAGGACUCACAACUUCUGAUGCUUUUUCUUCAGAUGGUUUUUUCAUUUCUUCCAUUUUUUCUAUGGAUGGCGCUUCGGCCAUUUCUUCGGUUUCUGGUAGCAAAAUCUUCGGUUCUUCCAAUUCUAUCCUUUCUGGCGCUUCGGCCUUUUCUGCAACUACUGGCACCAAGGUUGGUUUGGUUGGCUUUUUAGUCUCGGUGGCCGAAGAAGUUUCUCCGGUAAACUCAGGCACCGAAGCUGGUUCUAUAUAGCGCGGCCGAUGUGUGAGGACCUUUAUCUUCUUUCUUUUCGGUUCUGGCUCGCUAGGAGCAGUUACAGCUUCUUCCUUUGCAGAGGUUAUGUUUUUUCUCUUCUGCCUUCGAAUGGGAUAGCAAUAGUCAGGGUAGACAAACCCAAUUGCAUCAAAUACCCGAUUCAGCCUCUUCUUUUUUCGGCCUCCGAAGGCUGCUGACAUCGCAGUAUCUUCGACCUUCGAAUAAGCCCCAAGCAGCUCAUCACUUAAAUUUUCAAUGCUUUUUAACCAGUCAUCAUCUGGCUCAACGAAUUUAUCUCCAAACUUAAAGGUGUACUUCAGUCUGACAAGUCCACCUUCGUCGGCCUCUUUUAUGGUUUCUUGCGGCAUUUCCCAUUUCUCCGCGAGCGGCCAUACCCGGAAGGCAAUAUGCUCUUGUACUAAAUCUCUCGUUCCAAUAAAAGAACAGAUAACGCCGAAGGCCCUCUGGCAUUCUUCGGCAGCUUCAUUCAUUUCAACCUUCGGCCUCCGAAGGCCGAAGCUUUGCCAAAUAGGGCGCAUAAUUAUACCUUUGAUAUCUUCUCGUACUGACAGGUCAUUCUUCACAUAAAACCAUACCUUCCUCUCAUGUUGACAAGAUGAUUCUCUUUGAUAGUUGAUUUACCAUAAACUGAAUGGCUUGGUCGCCAGGGACGAUCUUCGGAGUCUUCACCACCGCUGUCCACAUCAUAACUGUCGCUGUCACCAGUAUCCUCAGACAAACCUUCUAGAAUUUCCUUGGUGAUUUUUUCCGUGUUGGUCUUCGACAUCGCUAUAAGAAACCCCAAGUUUUUCUCUUCGUCAAGACUCAACUUCGUCUCAGCAGCAGCCUUCUUAUCUCCAGACAUCUUCGGAAACACUAAAAAACUGUUUUCAAAGCCGAAGCUUCAAAACUAAAAGCUCAGAAAAUCUUAGUGCACAAAAGCUAAAAAUCGAGUGAGCGAGAGCAGAUGACAAGAGAGCGUGCCAAAUGAGAUUGCGGUAUGACCGUAUUUAUACGCCCGGUGCGUUGAAAAUUGAAAGACCCCGCUUGUCAGUGAAUGUUGCUAUUCUAGCAAAGGGAAGGUGUUUUUUCGGACCUUCGGCGUAAAGCCUUCGUCCAUAUCGCAAUCUAAAUUUAUUGUUUUAAACAAAUUAAUAUUGCGAGGGGCUACUGUUGGGGGCCUUCGGCUUACGAAGGUCCUCAAAAACAGGAUUUAACAGUAUUUCUGGAGUUUAAUGUGUGAACAGGUAUCUUCGGACUCAAGUCGGUAUCACAGCAGACCAGAAUAAUACGAAGGUUGAUACAGCGCCGAAGGUGUGAGCAGGAAAGCUUCGGCAUGAUAGCAACAAAAUGAAACCGACUUAAAGAUGAAAAGGCUAUUCAGACCUCGAUAGAUUACAAUAGAAUUAUUAUCAAAUGUAAAGGGCAUGAAUGUAAUUUUGCAUAGGUUGUGACCUGUGCCUAUAAAUAGGAGAACAGUACCCCCGUACUGUUCACGCUGAUUUGGCAUUCACUUUUGCGUCACGCUUGUACUUUCAUCUCCUUCAAGUUGAAGGUACAUUUGUAAUUCGAUGUUAUUUCUGUUUAUAUAUGAUAAUAAUAUAUAAUAUUUAAUAAUAUUUAAUUAUCUAUGUUAUCCUUUAUAUUUCUUACAAUUCAUUCUUCGUCUUUGUAUAAUGUAUUUAUGAAGGUACGCCCUUCAUAACCUUUGCCCGAAAACCAUUAUAUCCUAAGGGGAAUAAUGCUUCGAAGGACGAAGAACUUUACCGAUUAACAUUUUCUAUGUUGCCUUGUUCUUGACUUUUAGCAUUUGAGAACAAGUCCCCAACAUUUACUUUACACGUAGAUUAUGUUACGACGAAUCGGUCAUAUUGUGAAGUAAUUCCCAGAGCCUUGUCUUCACUCAAUGGAACUAUUGGGUUUUCUUGGUCAUCUACUCUACACUACAACUAAUGCAAGCCCUAGUGCAUUCAACCCUGUUCCUUGUGUUUUAUAAAACUUUUACCCUAAAUAUAAUGCUUGAUGCAUUUAAGUUAGUAGGAAUUGGUUGAAUACUCGUUGUUGCAUGACUACCCUAGAAUUUCAAUACCUGUUCUUGUUACCGCUUUUGAAAAUGUUGUAAUCUAGAGGUGUAGCCUUGCAUAGCUCUAGAAGAUAGGGUUAACUUUGAAUUCUAUAAAGGCUCCCCAUUCUCCAACCCCUCAUAAAUCACUUCUCAUACUAUUUGCCAAACAAUUUUUGUUAGAUAGGUUCACUUCUGUUAGAGAAUCCCUCAGAAUCGCUCUAUUAGAGAAUCAACUCUCUGAGCUACAGAAUCAUGGAGUAGAGCUCUAUCAAACGAGGACUUUUGAAACAAAAACCUAAACUCAUUUGUUGUAAUAGUAUUUUGAAAUAUAACUUUGAAAAUUUGGUUUUGAAAAAAGAGAAAAAGCCUUUUGGAGAUUUAGUUGAUGUUUUUGAAACUCUUUCUCCACAUAGUGAAAUUAAUGAAAAGGCAAGAAAUCCAAAAACAUAUAUGUAUCAAAUUAUAGGAAUUCUACAAAAUUCCAUAUAAUUCUCAAACAAACUAGCUAAACAAAUGUAUAAAACCUUUUAUAAAAACAAUAGAAAUUUAGUUAGUGUUGUCUAUUGAAAUUGCAAGAUGAUAACAUUGGUUCUACUAGGAUUAUGCGCAAAGGUAGCGACUUAUUCAAUCCAUGAGAACUUUAUUUAGCAUAUAUCAUCUAUAUAUAGGAGUCGCGCGGUUGGACGUUAUAUGAAUCACCUUGGAUCGAAUAAAACCAAUUAUUUGUUUUAUUUUUCCAUCGCUUAUAUAUAUAUGCACCAGAGAUUUUUGUGUUACCCUUGCAUAUAUGCAUGCAUGCAUGUGGAAUGAAUCCAAGUCUAAAAUUAGGCGCCUAAUGGUGACCUUCCAUAUAUUAGACACCUUAAUUAUUUGAAUUGGAUUUUGGAUGCAAACUAGCUUAUUAGCUAUCUAUAUAUAACAAGAUUAAAGAAGAAGACAGACAACCUAAUUAAAGAAUUUGAGGAGAGAAAGAAAGAAAGAGUGAUCGUCAUGGAGAGCAGGAGGAAGAAUCAACAGAAGACGAGCUACAUUGUAAUUUCCAUCCAGCUCCUAGCGGCCCUCCUACUCUUGGAGCUUGUGUCGCUAGUGCCGGGGGCGUCAUGCGAGGAGUUGCCCUUGGAUUUUUGGGUGAGUGAACUACGGGUGGUCGGGGCAAAGGACAUUUCAACAGCCGAUGGAUGCACUAAGAAGAAUAAGGACGCAGUGCUCUGCCCAGGCUAACACGGUAACCAAUUUCAUCAACCCUACCAACUCUGAGGAACAAGGCUAUAGGACCAUCGGGGAGUCCAUCGCUAACAUCCCUGAUGAUAGCACCAAACAGUACAUCCUCAUCCUCAGCGGUGGCACCGUGUACCGAGAGAAGGUAUUGGUGAGCAAAAGCAAGCCAUUCGUCACCAUAAGAUCAGAUGACCCCAUCAACCCUGCCAUCAUUGUGUGGAACGACACUGCCGCCACCCUGGGGAAGGAUAGCAAGCCCCUUGGAGUAGAUGGUAGUAGCACCAUGACCGUAGAGUCUGACUACUUCAUUGCCUAUGGUGUCGUCUUUAGGAAUGAUGUUGCAGCAGCAGCGAAGAAGAAGAAGGCAGAAGGCGAGGCGCCAGCGUUGCGGGUGCUAGGAACAAAGGCAACCUUCUACAACUGCACAAUUGAAGGUGGACAAGGCGCCCUGUAUGACCAGAUGGGGCUGCACUACUUCAAGUCCUGCACCAUCAGGGGAACCAUCGACUUCAUCUUUGGCUCUGCCAAGUCCUUUUACGAGGACUGCACCAUUGUUUCCGUGAACAACAUGGAGGAGAUCAUGACCUUGCCUGUGGCACCACCUCAACUUGACAUUCACGACAAUCCAAUCAAGGUUGCCCCAGGGGAGGGCGGCUUCUCCUUCAAGACAUGUACCAUCACCGGGGAAGGGCAACAAAUCUUCCUCGGAAGGAUGGGCACGCCUUCCAUCUACUCCUACACCCAGAUUGCUAAGGAGGUUGUGCCCAUAAUCUACGACAAAGGGAACAUCUUCAUGCCCAGUAAUAUGUAUGCCGACCCAUGCAUGCAGCAAAAUCUCUCUCUCUCUCUUUAUAUAUAUAUACACACUUGUUAUCUCAUAUCUAUAUCUAUGCAGGACUGGUAGACGCUGUGCCACUUUCAAGUGCUAUGGACCUGGGUUAGAGAAAAUAUGGCACGUCAAACUUAGAUACGCUGAAGCCAUAUACUUUCUUGGGACAGAUUUUAUCAACGGAGAUUCAUGGAUCCUGUCCAUACCACCUACUGAUGCUGAAACAUUGCUAUCAGUUUGAAUAUAUAGAAUCCUCAGAGAUCAUCAAAGAUCAUCAUCUACCACUAAUUAAUAAUGAGCCAAAUUAAAUAAGUUUUGCGUAUAUAUUUUAUCCCUAUCUAUAAAUUAUGCAUGUGUUGUAAACAAGUCGUGGAUGGGCUUCAUUUGUUCUCGCGAUUGAAAAAUAACAAAUAAACAAAGUAGAAAAGAGGAUGAACCAGAAGUCUUGUUCAGCAAGAAGGAAGGAGGAAUGACGAUAUUUCCCAUGUGAUACUUGUAAAUCAUAUGUGUAAACUUCGUGGGCGUGCUUGUAAUUUCAUACGAAGUUGUACCUCUCGUCUAUAAAUAGAGUAACAAUGUCAUGCAUAAAUUCACCUUUCGAGAGCUCAAAGCUUUAUUUAGCUCAGCCUUCGAAGUACCUUUGAGCUAUCACUUGUAUGAAGCCGAAGGUAUGUUUGUAAUUGUUUGUUAUAUUGCAAGGAGUGAAAUAAUAAGUGUGGAAGCAUGAAGAUGAGUAACAUGUCUUGCUCGUAACUGUUUACAUUUCAUCCUUGUUAAUAUAUAAGC